This 109812-nucleotide long non-coding RNA is filed under the name Malus domestica (apple). Lineage: Eukaryota; Viridiplantae; Streptophyta; Magnoliopsida; Rosales; Rosaceae. The record is from RNAcentral.
GCGGGAUGGUGAGGUUUGAGGUGAUCGAGAAGCUUGGUCCUGAUGUUAAGUGUAAGUGUACUGAUCCUGGUUUGUUGCUGCCUCGGGCUAAUUUGACUUUCUGGAGGGACGGGAGUUUAGUGCGAGAACGCAAUGCCAUGCUUCCCACAAUUUCGUCUAAGGUUUGCUCAUUAUUUUCGUUCUUUUACAUAAGAAAAACAUUGAGGGACUCAUCGGUUGAUGUAUGUAUUGAAUUUCUUAAUGUUAUUUUUUGUAUGCGACUUACAUAGUGAGUAAAAUGCAUAACGAUGCCCUGACGAGCCUUCUGUAUGUUCCAACUUCCGAAUACAUAUAUUUGUCUAGUUAUAAACUAUGAUUGACAAUUUGACAUUAUAAAUUCCACAGGGGCUGCAUUCCACUCUUUACAUUGUUUUUCGAACCGUAUUAGCAAGGCUUUCGAAUGUGCAAGCUGAAUAUUGAUACAUUUGAUGUGUCCAUUAGGAAUUAUCAAAUGGUUCAAAUUGAAUUUUUGAAUGCAUAUAUGCAUCUUCAAUCACGUCUAGUGAUGGUUCUGUUGCAUAUGCUUUUGUUUCAAUAUUUGUUAAAGCUUGUUCAAAACUAGUUAAUUAUUUAAUGCCAUUACUUUGAAAAGAGGAGAAUAAGUUUUGAAAGGCUGAGCUAAAAGUCUAAGACUACACUAUUAUAAUCAUCUUUUCUUCAACUUCCACAUGUUUAUUUUCAGUUUUGAAAUGACUUUCGUUUUUAAGAUUCUCAAAUUUAAAUUAUACUACUUUCUUCUGGUAAGCACAGCUUUAUCAUAUUAUUACUAUUUGGUUAACUCUAUUGUUGGUUUGUAAGCAUGGAGUUAUGGUUUCAGUGCAUUAGUGUCUUCUGAUAUGAAGCAUCCUUACCUACAGAUUUCGUAUCACAAAGAUGGAUCUUCUCUUGAGCUAGAUUACAUAAAGGAAUCCCAAGUUUUGAAUAUUUUCAUAAUUAUUAAUUCGUGUCACAAUCUUAAAUUGGUCAUAAGGCUAAUUCUAUACUCUAAUAACCCUGUCUGGACUCUGGGGUGUGGUCUGGUCAUACUUCGAUUCUUAAAAGCAUAAUCAUGAAUUGGCAAACUUUGAAUAGUGUAUAUCAUUUGUGCUUGUGUAUGCUAGCAAUGAUAUGCAUUUGUGAUUGUUCUUCAUUUCUUCUGUUAUUGCUAAAAUGUACUUGUGUAUUAUUUCUACAUAAUAAUAUUGGUAAGUUCUUUAAACUUAUCUUUUGUUCUCACACUCUGAGUUUUCAAUAUAUUCAGGAUUGGUUGGACAUUGAUUUUGGGAUUGCAGAGGGUGUUGAUUUUAUCGCUGUAUCUUUUGUCAAGUCUGCGGAAGUGAUUAAUCAUCUUAAAAGCUAUAUUGCUGCACGGUCACGAGAUAGGUAAAGAACUUAAGUCUUUGAAUACGUAUAUUAUACAUAUACAUAUACAUAUUAUAUUUCGUGGUCAUAUGUUUUCGCUUCAUUAUGAAGCCUCCUUCAUGUUGUUCCUAUUGAGUAUUGAGUCAGUGCUCCUGUUAGGCCAUCUUCAACCGAAAGGGGGCCAAAGGGCCAUGUUUAGCCCUAUAGCCUUACAAGAAAUUAUUUUUUAAUGAACAAUGUUAGGCCAUAUUUUGUAUCAUCUACAACCAAAGGGGCCAAAAGCCAUAGGCCAAAACAUAGCCCUUUGACAAAAAACUCAUCUCCAACCGGAGGGGGCUAUUUUUAAUAUGUUCUAUAAUGAAAAGGACCUCCGAACAAUAACCAACCAACAACAACAACAACAACAAAGCCUUUUCCCACUAAGUGGGGUCGGCUAUAUGAAUCCUAGAACGCCAUUGCGCUCGGUUUUGUGUCAUGUCCUCCGUUAGAUCCAAGUACUCUAAGUCUUUUCUUAGAGUCUCUUCCAAAGUUGUCCUAGGUCUUCCUCUACCCCUUCGGCCCUGAACCUCUGUCCCGUAGUCACAUCUUCGAACUGGAGCGUCAGUCGGCCUUCUUUGCACAUGUUCAAAAUCACCGGAGCCGAUUUUCUCUCAUAUUUCCUACAAUUUCGGCUACUCCUACUUUACCUCGGAUAUCCUCAUUCCCAAUCUUAUCCUUUCUCGUGUGCCCACACAUCCCACGAAGCAUCCUCAUCUCCGCUACACCUAUUUUGUGUACGUGUUGAUGCUUCACCACCCAACAUUCUGUGCCAUACAACAUCGCUAGCCUUAUUGCCGUCCUAUAAAAUUUUCCCUUGAGCUUCAGUGGCCUACGACGGUCACACAACACGCCGAAUGCACUCUUUCCAUCCAGCUCGUAUUCUAUGGUUGAGAUCUCCAUCUAAUUCUCCGUUCUCUUGCAAGAUAGAUCCUAGGUAGCGAAAACGAUCGCUUUUUGUGAUCUUCGCUAGAUUGCUCCGGUCAUUAGUGUGGAUAAGUAUAUAAAUGGAUAGAGAUAGGAAAGCAAAACACAAGAUGUACGUGGUUCACCCAGAUUGGCUACGUCCACGGAAUAGAAGAGUUCUCAUUAAUUGUGAAGGGUUUACACAAGUACAUAGGUUCAAGCUCUCAUUUAGUGAGUACAAGUGAAUGAUUUUAGUACAAAUGACAUUAGAAAAUAUUGUGGGAGAAUGAUCUCGUAAUCACGAAACUUCUAAGUAUCGGAGUGUGGUGUCGUCUUGACUUGCCUUAUCUGUCUCAUAGGUAGAUGUGGCAUCUUCUCUGGAAGUACUAUUCCUCCAUCCAGGGGUGGUAUCUUUAACUGGUGGAGAUGCACAAGGUAAUGUAUCAAUUUCACUUGAGGCUUACUUGUAGUUUCAGGCUUGGUCAAGCGCGAUACAAACCAUGUAGUAGGAGUUCCCCAAGUCGCCGAGCUAGGGGGUCUGCUGAAAGAGGUGACAGACAAGGUAAGCAAUCAGAGCUCCGACUGAUUGUUCACCUUCUCCCCAUCUUGCAGCAGCAUGAAGGAUAAAGAGAGAAGAAAAAUGAGAAGAGAUGAUAUGAGAUACUUUUGCUUUUGAAGAAGUAACUUUCCACAGGCUUAUUCUUGAACUGAGCUGGAGGGUUUUCUGGUUUCCUCCAGAGUAUAAGGCCGACUGAAGAAUUUGAGGGUCAAAAACAAGUCCAUCAAAUCUAGAGUACGUUCCACCCUGCUGAUAUGGGAUACUUUUGCUUUUGACAGAGUAAUGAAUGUAUCGGCACGUGUGCUGUUACGCUUGUCUCCACAUGCUUCCUUGUAUCCUUCGCACUUGCCCUAUCUGUUCCUCAAGCAGAUGCGGAAUCUUCCCUGGAAACAUAAGAUGUUGAAGAUGAGUACUCGAGAGCAAUGCCAGGUAAGUAAUCAGGUAAGGGGUUCCAGGCAGUCAGUUCCUGGCUGGAAGCUUGAUUCCAAGUGCUGACUGAUUGCUCUUUCUCCUUGUCUUGCAGGUAAAAACAAGGCCAAAAGAAAAGACAGGGAAAAAGCAUGAUAUGGGAUACUCUUGCUUUUAACCCUGAUGAUAUGAGAUAUUCUUGCUCUAGUAUAGCUUGUUUGCAGAGGUAUUAUCGGGGGGAAAGAAAGCUGAAUAUUUCGAAAGGCUUCGUUGGGAGUGCCCUCUCAGAUAUGAUGAAGGGUUGAGCAUUUUUGCAGGUCUGCCUGUCCGUUGGGGAUGGAGGUCGACAUAUAUAGGAGUCUCCCUAACAACAAGUAGUAAUGCUAUUCCUUUACCCUGCUUGGUCAUAGCACGGUAGUGGGAGCUGCCAGUUUCACAUGUUUUUAACUCUGUCAGAGCACUUUGAAAAAGUGGUCUGUGGUAUCUGGCUCUCGAGAUUCGGAGAACGAUGCCUCUUCGAUUUUUGAGAAAGCAAUCAUGCUGGGGGUAUGACUCUCGAGAUUCGGAGAGCAGUGUCUCUUCGAUUUUUUGAGGAAGUAAUCAUGUUGGGAGUCUGGCUCUCGAGAUUCGGAGGGCGGUGCCUCUUCGAUUUUGGAGCAAGCAAUCUUGUUGGGAGUGUUGUCUCGAAUGUGAGUAAAGGUUGGGCAUGUUUGCUAGUCUACCUUGCCACGAAGCACAAAGGUUGACACACAGGGACUUUCCAAUUAUCCAGCAAUGGUACUGUUCCUUUACCCUCUCUUCGAUUUUGAGAAAGUAGUCAUGUUGGGAGUCUGGCUCUCGAGAUUCGGAGGACGGUGCCUCUUCGAUUUUGGAGCAAGCAAUCUUAUUGGGAGUGUUUUCUCGAAUGUGAGUAAAGGUUGGGCAUGUUUGCUAGUCUACCUUGCCACGAAGCACAGAGGUUGACACACAGGGACUUUCCAAUUAUCCAGCAGUGGUACUGUUCCUUUACAGUUGUGGGUAAUAAUAUGGUAGCUAGACCUUCAAAAUUUAUGUGUCUAAACUUUUGUUAGUGCUGUUUCUUUGCUAUUCUUUUACCUUUCUUGGUCAGAGCGAUGUAGUGGGAGCUGCAAGCUUCACGUGCUCAACUUUGGCAGAGAACUUUGGCAAAGUUAUUUGUGGUACCCAUGAGCUAUUUAUUGCGUGUGGGAAGUGGGUGAUUGAACAGUAAGAUUCAUGUGUGCUUUCCUACUUCACCAGAAAGUCUUCGACAGAAUGCCCAUAAUUUCUGCAAAGCUGAGUGUGCGUGUGACAGGUGCUGACAAGGCUAGAAAAAGUAGGUGCCUCUUCGAUUUCUGAGAUCGGCCUGGUCUCUUGGUGUCUCUGAGCAGCCCAGCUCUUGAGAAAGCGAGCGCCUCUUCGAUUGAUUCGGAGAACGAUGCCUCAUCGAUUUUUGAGAAAGCAAUCAUGCUGGGGGUCUGGCUCUCGAGAUUCGGGGAGCAGUGUCUCUUCGAUUUUUGAGAAAGUAAUCAUGUUGGGAGUCUGGCUCUCGAGAUUCGGAGGGCGGUGCCUCUUCGAUUUUUGGAGCAAGCAAUCUUGUUGGGAGUGUUUUCUCGAAUGUGAGUAAAGGUUGGGCAUGUUUGCUAGUCUACCUUGCCACGAAGCACAGAGGUUGACACACAGGGACUUUCCAAUUAUCCAGCAAUGGUACUGUUCCUUUACCCUCUCUUCGAUUUUUAAGAAAGUAGUCAUGUUGGGAGUCUGGCUCUCGAGAUUCGGAGGACGGUGCCUCUUCGAUUUUGGAGCAAGCAAUCUUAUUGGGAGUGUUUUCUCGAAUGUGAGUAAAGGUUGGGCAUGUUUGCUAGUCUACCUUGCCACGAAGCACAGAGGUUGACACACAGGGACUUUCCAAUUAUCCAGCAGUGGUACUGUUCCUUUACCCUUGUGGGUAAUAAUAUGGUAGCUAGACCUUCAAAAAUUUAUGGGUCUAAACUUUGUUAGUGCUGUUUCUUUGCUAUUCUUUACCCUUCUUGGUCAGAGCGAUGUAGUGGGAGCUGCAAGCUUCUCGUGCUCAACUUUGGCAAAGUUAUCUGUGGUACCCAUGAGCUAUUGUUGCGUGUGGGAAGUGGGUGAUUGAACAGUAAGAUUCAUGUGUUUUCUACUUCCCCAGAAGUCUUUGACAGAAUGCCCAUAAUUUCCGCAAAACUGAGUGUGCGUGUGACAGGUGCUGACAAGGCUGGAAAAGGCUGAAAAAGUAGGUGCCUCUUCGAUUUCUGAGAUCGGCCCUCGUGGUCUCUGGGGAGCCCAGCUUUUGAGAAAGCGAGCGCCUCUUCGAUUUUUGAGAUCGGCCUUCGUGGUCUUUGAGCAACCCAACUUUUGAGAAAGCAAACGCCUCUUCGAUUUCUGAGAUCAACCCUCGUGAUCUCUAAGCAGCCCAGCUUUUGAGAAAGCAAACGCCUCUUCGAUUUCUGAGCAGGCGCCUCUUCGAUUUCUGAAGCUUCGUCGAGUGCAGAUUUUUAUAGGGGCUGGCAUUAAGUUCCAAAGCACACUUGAAUCUCCACCAGUAGAAGCUUCAUUCUUGCACUUCUAAGAUCUUGAUUUGUCCGACCUCUUCUCUCUUCAACACCUUUGAAAAUGUCUGGCCCCUCCGACCGUCGUUUUGACUUGAACCUUGUUGAAGAGGCAGCCCGCCCUUCUCCAGACAACAUAUGGCGCCCAUCCUUCGUCUCCCCUACUGGUCCUCUUACCGUUGGGGAUUCCGUGAUGAAGAAUGAUAUGACCGCUGCGGUGGUGGCCAGGAACCUUCUCACUCCCAAAGAUAACAGACUACUUUCCAAACGGUCUGAUGAGUUAGCUGUUAAGGAUUCGCUGGCUCUCAGUGUUCAGUGUGCAGGUUCUGUGUCUAAUAUGGCCCAACGCCUAUUUGCUCGAACCCGCCAAGUUGAAUCAUUGGCGGCUGAAGUGAUGAGUCUCAAACAGGAGAUUAGAGGGCUCAAGCAUGAGAAUAAACAGUUGCACCGGCUCGCACAUGACUAUGCUACAAACAUGAAGAGGAAGCUUGACCAGAUGAAGGAAACUGAUGGUCAGGUUUUACUUGAUCAUCAGAGAUUUGUGGGUUUGUUCCAAAGGCAUUUAUUGCCUUCGUCUUCUGGGGCUGUACCGCGUAAUGAAGCUCCAAAUGAUUAACCUCUGAUGCCUCCUCCUUCUAGGGUUCUGUCCAGUACUGAGGCUCCAAAUGAUCCCUCUCUGGUGCCUUCUCUUUCUGGGGCUCUACCGACUGCUGAGACUUCUCCUAAGCAACCUUUGUGAAGGCUCCCUCUUGUGUGCUUAUUUUGACUCAUGUAUAUGUACAUAUUUGUAGCUUAUCGGGGAUAUCAAUAAAUAAGUUUUCCUUCAUUUCAACGUAUUGUGUUAAAUACACCAAAGCCUUCUUCGCUAAGUUCUUUGAAUUUUCUUUUGUUAAAGUUUGUAUGUUGAAGCUUUCUGAGUGGAGCAUGUAGGUUGGGGUAGUGUUCCCUUAAUUAAUUUCCCGAGUGAGGAAAACUUCUCGGUUGGAGACUUGGAAAAUCCAAGUCACUGAGUGGGAUCGGCUAUAUGAAUCUUAGAACGCCAUUGUGCUCGAUCCUGUGUCAUGUCCUUCGUUAGAUCCAAGUACUCUAAGUCUUUUCUUAGAGUCUCUUCCAAAGUUUUCCUAGGUCUUCCUCUACCCCUUCGGCCCUGAACCUCUGUCCCAUAGUCGCAUCUUCUAAUCGGAACGUCAGUAGGCCUUCUUUGCACAUGUCCAAACCACCGUAACCGAUUUUCUCUCAUCUUUCCUUCAAUUUCGGCUACUCCUACUUUACCCCGGAUAUCCUCAUUCCUAAUCUUAUCCUUUCUCGUGUGCCCACACAUCCAACGAAGCAUCCUCAUCUCCGCUACACCCAUUUUGUGUACGUGUUGAUGUUUUCACCGCCCAACAUUCUGUGCCAUACAGCAUCGCCGACCUUAUUGCUGUCCUAUAAAAUUUUCCCUUGAGCUUCAGUGGCAUACGGCGGUCACACAACACGCCGGAUGCACUCUUCCACUUCAUCCAUCCAGCUUGUAUUCUAUGGUUGAGAUCUCCAUCUAAUUCUCCGUUCUUUUGCAAGAUAGAUCCUAGGUAACGAAAACGGUCGCUCUUUGGUAUUUCUUGAUCUCCGAUCCUCACCCCUAACUCGUUUUGGCCUCCAUUUGCACUGAACUUGCACUCCAUAUAUUCUGUCUUUGAUCGGCUUAGGCGAAGACCUUUAGAUUCCAACACUUCUCUCCAAAGGUUAAGCUUUGCAUUUACCCCUUCCUGAGUUUCAUCUAUCAACACUAUAUCGUCUGCGAAAAGCAUACACCAAGGAAUAUCAUCUUGAAUAUGUCCCUGUUAACUCAUCCAUUACCAACGCAAAAAGGUAAGGACUUAAGGAUGAGCCUUGAUGUAAUCCUACAGUUAUGGGAAAGCUUUCGGUUUGUCCUUCAAUGAGUUCUUACGGCAGUCUUUGCUCCUUCAUACAUAUCCUUUAUAGCUUGGAUAUAUGCUACUCGUACUCCUUUCUUCUCUAAAAUCCUCCAAAGAAUGUCUCUUGGGACCCUAUCAUACGCUUUUUCCAAAUCUAUAAAGACCAUGUGUAAAUCCUUUUUUCCCAUCUCUAUAUCUUUCCAUCAAUCUUCGUAAGAGAUAGAUUGCCUCCAUGGUUGAGCGCCCUGGCAUGAACCCGAAUUGGUUGUCCGAAACCCGUAUCUCUUGCCUCAAUCUAUGCUCAAUGACUCUCUCCCAGAGCUUCAUUGUAUGACUCAUUAGCUUAAUACCCCUAUAGUUCAUGCAAUUUUGUACGUCGCCCUUAUUCUUGUAGAUAGGCACCAAAGUGCUCAUUCGCCACUCAUUUGGCAUCUUCUUCGUUUUCAAAAUCCUAUUGAAAAGGUCAGUGAGCCAUGUUAUACCCUGUCUCUCCCAAAAGUUUCUACACUUCGAUUGGUAUAUCGUCUGGGCCCAUAUUGCUUUUUUAUGCUUCAUCUUCUUCAAAGCUACAACCACUUCUUCCUUCCGGAUUCGACGAUAAAAAGAGUUAGUUUCUACACUCUUCUGAGUUACUCAACUCCCUUAAAGAAGCACUUCAUUUCAUGUCCUUCAUUGAAAAGAUUAUGAAAAUAACCUCUCCAUCUGUCUCUAACCGCGUUCUCUGUAGCAAGAACCUUUCCAUCCUCAUCCUUGAUGCACCUCACUUGGUUUAGGUCCCUUGUCUUCUUUUCCCUUGCUCUAGAUAGUUUAUAGAUAUCCAACUCUCCUUCUUUGGUAUCUAGUCGUUUAUACAUAUCGUCGUAAGCCGCUAACUUAGCUUCUCUGACAGCUUUCUUCGCCUCUUGCUUCGCUUUUCUAUACCUUUCACCAUUUUCAUCAGUCCUCUCCUUGUAUAAGGGAUUUACAACAUUCCUUCUUAGCCUUCACCUUUGUUUGUACCUCCUCAUUCCACCACCAAGAUUCCUUUUGGUGUGGGCAAAGCCCUUGGACUCUCCUAAUACCUCUUUUGCUACUUUUCGGAUACAACUAGCCAUGGAAUCCCACAUUUGGCUAGCUUCCCCCUCUCUAUCCCACACACAUUGGGUGAUUACCUUCUCUUUGAAAAUGACUUGUUUUUCUUCUUUAGAUUCCACCAUCUAGUCCUUGGGCACUUCCAAGUCUUGUUCUUUUGUCUUACUCUUUUGAUAUGUACAUCCAUCACCAACAAGCGAUGUUGAUUAGCCACGCUCUCUCUUGGUAUAACUUUGCAAUCCUUACAAGUUAUACGAUCCCCUUUCCUCAUUAGAAGAAAAUCUAUUUGUGUUUUUGACGACCCACUCUUGUAGGUGAUCACAUGUUCUUCUCUCUUCUUAAAGAAGGUGUUGGCUAAGAAGAGAUCAUAUGCCAUUGCAAAAUCCAAGAUAGCUUCCCCAUCCUCGUUUCUCUCCCCAAAACCAUGGCCACCAUGAAAACCUCCAUAGUUGCCUGUCUCCCUGCCCACGUGUCCAUUUAAAUCUCCUCCUAUAAAUAACUUCUCCGUCUGAGCAAUUCCUUGCACCAAGUCUCCAAGAUCUUCCCAAAAUUUCUCCUUCGAACUCGUAUCCAACCCUACUUGAGGUGCGAACGCACUAAUCACAUUGAUAAGUUCUUGUCCUAUUACAAUCUUGAUUGCCAUGAUUCUAUCUCCUACCCUCUUGACAUCUACAACAUCUUGUACCAAGGUCUUGUCCACGAUGAUGCCAACACCGUUUCUCGUUCUAUUUGUGCCCGAAUACCAAAGUUUAAACCCUGAGUUUUCUAGAUCCUUUGCCUUACUACCAACCCACUUAGUUUCUUGUAGGCACAUAAUAUUUAUCCUUCUCCUCACCAUAACUUCCACUACUUCCAUAGAUUUUCCCGUUAAGGUUCCUAUAUUCCACGUUCCUAAACGCAUUUUGCUCUCUUGAACUCUACCCUUCUGUCCUAGCUUCUUCACCCUCCCCCGUCUAAUAGGAUCAAAGUACUUCUUUUGUGUGUCCCGGGUAAAGUUGAUAGGAGCAUAUGCUCCCAAACAACUUUGAGUGGAGUCGUUCGAAAAGAAGUUUCUAUGGCCCCCUUGCUCAUUUAACACUGCAUCCGGGUGCCGAUGGAGAUACAGCGACCCUUGCUCACUUAUCACUGUGCUCAGGCCACACAGCGCGCCACUUACGGGUGACGCCCUAGCUUUAGCGCGAUUUUGUUCUGGAUUCAUUUUCAUAAGGAUUCGACGUGAUCAUGGAGUGCCGGCUGUCGACUACUUGACGCCCUCCCCCUCCUCCUUUAUCCGGGCUUGGGACCGGCCAUGUAAGACAUAGGCGGAGUUCGAACAAUAACCAACCAAUAAUAAAAAAGGUUGUACCUAAAUCAAUGUAUUAAAAGGCAGAGGCAUAGGCGAGGCGUUCCAUGGAUAGCCCCGCCUAGGCAUGAGGCGAAGCCUCAUGGGACCUAAAUAAUUUAAUAUAUAUUGUAUAUAUAAUUACAUAUUGAGAUUAGAAUACUAAAAAACUUGAAUUUUGAAACAUUAUGGUGGUUUGGAGAAUUUUGAAACAAAUUGAGGUAUGAGAUUGGAGUAAAUUUGAAAUAUAGGAUUGGGAUUGAGAAUUUAGGGUUUGAGGAAUUGGGGAAUUGUGGAAUUGGGGAUGUGGUGCAAUAUAGCAGAGAGAAUCAGGUAUUGGUUGGUUACAGAGAAAAUGGGAUAUUGGGUGGUGAAAAUAGCAGAGAAUUGGCAGAGAAGGACUGCUUGGGCCAAGUCUUUGUAAAAAAUAAAAAACCUUUCUUCUUCCUCGUUUGGUUGUCUUCUUCGUGAAGACGCCGCUGCAACAUAGUUAAAGAGCACAGAGUUUUCCAGAAAAUUUCAGAUUUCAAGCAAGAUUUUGGAUAACAGAAAUGCCCAGUCAACGCCUCAGGCGUGCCCCGAUGAAGCCUAGGCAAGUUUCUGCCCAAUCCAAGAAAACAGAGGCGAAAUUGCCGAAGCCCCACCUCCAAGGCCGCCUAGGCGUGCCCCGAGGCGCGUCUUUAAAACACUGACCUAAAUCAACGUCACUAAAUAGUUUAAUGUUAGGUUUAUCAAAUAAAUUAAAUUUAAUUACAUAUAUAUGCAACAUUCCACUGGACCAACCCCAACGAUACUUUGGCUCUUGCAUGCGUCCUGGUUGUAUUAUUAAUUUUUUUAAGCCCAAAUUAAGGUUUAAUUAUUAGUCUGUCCCCAUGCAUGGUAUAAUUCUUUUUGCAAAAGUACAUAAGAUAAUAUACUAAAAAAAGUACAUAAUAUAAGAAAAAUAUAUAAAUAAUAUUAUGAAAUUUUAAUAGUCAAUACUGGGGAUGGGAUUACUUGCAAAAUAUGCAAUUAAAAUGUUUAUUUUGUGUAUGAAAAGAAGAGAUAAUUAAUUAACUUUUUGCUAAAGCUGCUUUAAUUAAUUAAGUUGAUGCAUCACUUAAGAAGAGGUUCUGCUGCAAUAUUGUUUCUUUCAAUCGAUAUGUGAUUAAGCAUGGAACUUGUCUGGUUUAUGGGACCAGAAGGCGCUGGCUGGGCUGCUGCAUCAGGCUGGCUGGCCUGGUGUCUUAUUUAUGGCCUGGUGGGGCCCACAAGCCCUUUGGCCUGGCCCUCGGUUGGAGACAGUUUUCGUGUCAAAACGGGCCAUAUUUUGGCCGAUGGCCCUUUGGCCGGGUCGGUUGGAGAUGGCCUUAGUUCUUUCAGUGUUAAGAGAUUUGAUAUUUCUUUCCACCACCUAUAUAUAUUUUGUAAGGUUUGUGGUUUGUGAAAUUUCUUUUAAUAUGUUGGUUGUGUGAUCAUUUUGAUUGAAUAAUUAAAGGUUAAUAUACCUAUGUGCCACUUGAAUUAGAUAUACUGAGAUAUAUAUCAUUCCUACUGAAUAUUUUGUUCUACUUUGUCCAAGAUGGUUAACAUGUGUUCCUCAUUUAAGAUAAUUUUUUAAAAUCAUUUUGCUGCAGCGAUGUUGCUGUCAUUGCAAAGAUAGAGAGUAUUGACUCACUAAAGAACUUGGAAGAGAUCAUUCAAGCAUCAGAUGGAGCAAUGGUGGCAAGAGGAGAUCUCGGUGCUCAGAUACCACUAGAACAGGUCCCAGCAGCCCAGCAAAAGAUUGUUCAAGUCUGUCGGCAGCUAAAUAAGCCAGUCAUUGUGGCUUCUCAACUACUUGAAUCUAUGAUUGAAUAUCCUACACCCACUAGAGCCGAAGUGGCUGAUGUUUCUGAAGCAGUGAGGCAGCGCGCUGAUGCUUUGAUGCUUUCUGGUGAGUCGGCUAUGGGCCAGUUCCCAGAAAAGUCAUUGGCUGUUCUUAGAAGUGUUAGUCUGAGGAUUGAAAGAUGGUGGAGGGAAGAGAAACGUCAUGAAGCUAUGGAACUGCCAGCUAUUGGAACUUCAUUUUCUGACAGUAUUUCAGAGGAGAUUUGCAUUUCUGCUGCCAAGAUGGGUAAGUAUUCGCUAAAUACGUUUCUAAGUGAGUUAAGCUAAGCAGUUAUCUGUGUGUUUGUAUGUAUAAUAGUACUAAGGUUAGGGAACUCCCUGGGUUGGUCGUGUCUGUCAAUAUAAACUACUUAUAAUAGAUCUACACUGAGAGUCUUGAUGUAAAAGGCUCCUGUGUUCUCUUAGGGUGGAUUUAUGCCAGGAUUUCCAUUAGUGUAGUAUAAAUCGCAUCUUUCACUAUAAGCAAUAAACUAAUAACAAAAGCAAAUUUCUCACUUAUACCAAACACACACACCCACAUGAAAGUAAUGUUGAGAUAAUCAUAUGUGAUUUAUGCAUUUUGGUAGCCACAUUGUAUCUGGAUUCUUUGUUCCGAAAUGUUUUCCUUUUUUUAUUGUAUAAAAUGCACCUCCUAAGUUGCAGCGAAGCUGAACCAACAUAUCCAAAUGACAUAAAAAAUAAUCUAUUUUCUCAUCUUAUAACUGUUUUUUGGGAUAGCAUUUUGGCUGCAUNNNNNNNNNNNNNNNNNNNNNNNNNNNNNNNNNNNNNNNNNNNNNNNNNNNNNNNNNNNNNNNNNNNNNNNNNNNNNNNNNNNNNNNNNNNNNNNNNNNNNNNNNNNNNNNNNNNNNNNNNNNNNNNNNNNNNNNNNNNNNNNNNNNNNNNNNNNNNNNNNNNNNNNNNNNNNNNNNNNNNNNNNNNNNNNNNNNNNNNNNNNNNNNNNNNNNNNNNNNNNNNNNNNNNNNNNNNNNNNNNNNNNNNNNNNNNNNNNNNNNNNNNNNNNNNNNNNNNNNNNNNNNNNNNNNNNNNNNNNNNNNNNNNNNNNNNNNNNNNNNNNNNNNNNNNNNNNNNNNNNNNNNNNNNNNNNNNNNNNNNNNNNNNNNNNNNNNNNNNNNNNNNNNNNNNNNNNNNNNNNNNNNNNNNNNNNNNNNNNNNNNNNNNNNNNNNNNNNNNNNNNNNNNNNNNNNNNNNNNNNNNNNNNNNNNNNNNNNNNNNNNNNNNNNNNNNNNNNNNNGCUCUUGGUGCCUCCGGGAAGCCGGAAAACCGGAGAUUUUUUUGCUGGUUUGGAAAAAUGGGAUUGUGGGGAGGUUGAAGAAGGAUAUAAAAACAGGGAAUGACGCAAAAUUCACAACUUUCAACUGUUUAAUGCAGAAAAAGAUACAUGGUGAAGAUUUUCGAAAAGGGGAAUGCGAGAGAGAGAGAAGGAGAGAGAGAGAGAGAGAGAGAGGGAGGCGGUUGGGGGGGAAGGGAGUUUGAUUCGGUCGGUUUGUUUGGGCAUUGACUAACUGGCUUUCUUUGUUUGAUCUUAGUUCUCCAACUAAAAUUUUGUGAGUAUUAGUUUCCACACUUGCUACAUUUCAUAGCAAGAGCUUAAACAAACCUACUCAAUAAUAAAUCUAGACCGGAACAUCCGACGUCGAUCCUUACGAAUAAACCUAACUGAACAAGGAGUAUAAAAAAUAAAAUAAAAAAUUACCUAAAUCUAAAUCAAGACCAUAGGUUGCUAAACUAUCUGCCACAAAGUUUUUUUCUUUGUAGACAAGCCAAAGUUCGCAUUGCCAAGAUCUUGAAAGCAAUUCUCGACAGGCCAAAACAAGGAGACCUAAAGGAUGAUUAUUCAAAAAGAUCAUAGCUCUACACUAUAACGAAUUCAGGGACCAAUAUGCUCCACAUUGUGUCAAGUUCAUAGGUCGUACUUAUGAAUAUUUUGUUCUAAGUACCGAAUUUUCAAUUGAGCUAAAGUCGAAGGACAUUUGCUCCAAUUUUCUCCAUUGAAAAAAGAGUACAUUGGAGAAUCAACAUACUAGGAGUAGGGAUACAAGGAAGGAAUAAGCUCAUCACACUCUGAGUCUAUCACAAAAUACAUUACUAUCAUCUUUGCCUAUUUGACUCUCUUUCAAACCAAAGAACGUCCCGCAAGAACUGCACCCUUUUAACCACUCUCAAACAGCAUGGAGUACCUCACAUAUUGUGUGAUGUUACCUCACAUCAACGAGGAUUUGCAUGCUUUACCAAUUUGAAUGUCGCAUCUGAAUAAUAUAAAUUCAAAGGAUAUAUUUGCACGUCAAGAUAUUACUGAAAGAUAUCGAACUCACGGACUAGAAGCAUGGAUAGAGUUUAAUCAUCAUCUUCAAGGACGCUCCUACGCCUCUGAAUCUGGUAUAAUAAGAGUGACAGAAAGACGUGUCAAAACCCAGUACAUUUUUCCACGUAAAAAAGAAGGAAAAGAAAAAUCAUUAUAUGAUGGUCACAACUUACAGUGACUUUGGUCUGUUUGGUUGUUUGGUUGUUGAUCUGCUCCAACAACGAGAUGAGUCUCUCCUCAGAUACCUGAAAAAUGAAGCAAUGAGCACUUUGGUUCUGUUCAAACAAACUCGUUACUUCAAAAUAAAAACUAAAUAAGCUGUGUGGAGAAACUAUAAAACCGACCAUGAUAUGAAAUAUCACCCCAUACCUUCUCAACUAUCUGGCCCAUUUGAGCAGCUCUCAGUAUAACAUCUUCAACACCCCUUGCCUUCUCAGGUUUCACCAAAGCAAUUCUAGCAACUGUACAUGCAUAGCAGCAGACGAAUUAGAUCAACAGAUAAGGCUAACCCAAAGUAAUUCUACCAACAAAUCAUUUUUCGAUCCUUCCUACUUUAAACAACCUACUUAUAAUGCCAAAAUACACGAGACAAAGAAUUGGUUAGUAGGGAUGAUAUCCGAAAUUUUCUAAAGUGUACAAGUAAAAUAAUCAUAUUAAGUAAUGGCAACGUUAGAUAUAUCAGCUUACUUCUUUCACGAGCUUCGCCUGACACAAUCUGACUAAGCAUCAUCUGCCUCCGCUCUUCGGCCUCCCUGCAUUAAUUGCAUUAUAUAUUAAUCAAAUCAAUAAGAACAUUUUGGAAAAGGGUUGUCCCAAUUGAUCUGAAACCCAACCUCUUGGCAUCUUCAUUUGCCUUGUGCUGCUCUGGGUUUUGUUGUUGCCCUCCAGACCCUCCCUGUUGAUCAAUGUAAGGUAGUGAGAUCAGCAAGGAAUCAAAAGAAAAUGCAACCAAAAAUUUUGGCGAAAAUAUUCAAACGAACAAAAGCUGAUUGCUGAUUGCUUACCGCACCAUGUUGAGCCAUAAGCUCCUGCAUUCUUCUUUGUCUGAUUGCUUCCAGUUCAGGAUCAGCCUAAAAAAGAGCCCAAAAUUUUAAAAACAACAAAAAUCAAACGAUGGGCAAACAAAAACACUUCAGGAAAAAGCAAACCGUAAUCAUCAUACAGACUUCACCUACAAUAAUAUUUUGCUAACCACAAAGAUACGUAUACCAGAAACUAUAUCUACAGCAUUCAGUUCCUGCCAUUGGCCAUCCAUUGAAACCAACUCAGCUACCUAAGUGAUUCUUUUCAUAAGUAUACACGCACAUAUGGGGAUCCCAUUUCAGCUACAAGGUGCAGAACUUGAAUAGCGCACUUGGAUAGAGUUUAAUGAAAUCUAGGAACUCAGAGCUCAGUGAAAAUAUAACCCGUUUCUGAGUUAUUUAACCCAAACCCAUCUUAGACCAGCAAAGAAACAUGAUUGAGAAAUCGCAACCCAUUUUCCCCAUCCCUCCCAAAAACCCCAUCACAUAGUACAUUUCGCAUCUCAGGUGCCAAAUGAAAAACCAAAAGUCAGGCAGUUUGGAACACCCUACGAAGAACAAGGAAGUCAACGAAAUCUCUUGAAUACACAUACAGACAAUCCACGCAAUGUUCAAAGCCAUGCUUACACAUCUAUGCUCCAAUAUAACUACUAACUCUCUUUGAGCAUGUUUCACAGUUUCGGGAAGUUUUCAAAUCCCAUUAAUUUCCAUGCCUGCUCGGCGUAAAAAUCCACGCCCUAUAAUUCCGAAAGCUACAACACUCUUCCUGUCACAAAAGUUUACAGGCAGCUCCUAUUUCGUAGUAAACAUUGAGCUACCGAUAUUCAUUUCUUAGUCAAUUGCAUACCCAAAAUCCCUUAAAAAUCACAAUCCCACGCGAAAUUAGAAUCGUGCAAACAUAAUCAAAGAGUUUUCAAACCCUGAUUUCCAGAAAGAAGAUUAAAAUCGACAAGAAAUUUAUACAAUUGAGUAAAUUUACAAGCAUUGUAAACCCUAAUCUCUCCAUAUUUGGUAUCUGAAACUAAAAAUAGCAGCCGAAAAAGAUGCAAAAAUGAAAUCGAAAAUAUCAGAGAGAGAAAAUACGUUACCAUUGAUUCGAGUUGUGGAUGAGCGAUCGAGUCUUCGAAACAAGUUGCGUUCGGCAGGCGCGGAUUCUAUAAGCUUUUCAUAUAUCUUUUAUAUGUGUAAAGGGAUAAAAGGGGAAAGAAAACAGUCGCUUUGAAUGAAAUCUUUAAUGAAGGGAUUCUCUUUUCCUUUUUCUUUAUGUUGUGGGAUUCACAUUAUUUUAAACUUUAACUAUUCGAACGGUUUAUUUUUUAAAUUGCAUCUUAUAGAUUAUCUUUGUAAAAUAUUAGUCAAAUUAGAAAUCGGAAAUGUUUAAGACAUCUAAUUGGGCCCAAAGAAAUUAAUGAAUAUUUUGUUAUAUAUGAAAUAAUGAAAUUUUAUCUUAAUAAUUAAAUAAGCAAAUGGUUUCGAAUUGAAUUGAAUUUUUGCAAGGAUGAUCUAUGAAUCGAGACUUACAAAAUAGGCAAUUUAGAUUGUUGAAGUUCGAUGUGGAGUGAGCCCCACACUUAAUCACCAUUUUUUGAAAAAAAAUUGGAGAUCCCUUUGCAUAAAUGCUAUGCACUUUCAAAAUCUCAAAGUUAUGCUACUUAGUAACAAUGUUCUAAAAAACGCUAGGCGCUAGUCGGGUGGCGGCAUGGGGCCUAGUGCUUAAGCGGUUAGACAGAGCUUAGACUGGCGCCUAGGCGAACCAGGCAUAUUUGAAUAAAAUUUAUUAGGGUAAAAUACAAAAAAUUACCUCAAUUACUAGUGUUACAACACUUUCAUACCUCAUAUUUUAAAAUUGACAAUGUCAUACCUCAACUUUUAAAAUUGACAAUGUCAUACCUCAUCUUACGAAUUUGUGCCAAUGUUAUACCUUCCGUUAGGGUUAGCGUGAAUUUCUCAGUUAAAUGCUGACGUGGCUUGAUCCGGGACCAAUUUUCUAUUAAAAAUUAUUAAAAACUAAAAAAAAAAUUAAAUUAAAUAUUAAAAUAAUAAAGAAAAGUUAAAAAAAAAAACUAAGGUCAGUUCGUCCUUCCCCCCCUCUCUCUCCCCCCAUCUUCCUGCAACCCAGAAAGAAAAAGAGGAGGAAGGAAAAAAAAAAAACCCCAACCCAACCCAGUUCUCCCCCUCCCCAACAAACCCAGAAAGGAGGAAGAAGAAGAAAAAAAAAAUAAGAAAAAAAAACAAACAAAACCCAGUUCAUCUAUCCCCCGCCGCACCCACCGUCUUCCCUCCACACCCAUUCCCCCCCAUUUUCUCUGCGCCCAGGUUCUCAACCUUCGAAACCGACCUGGCAAAGGUUUCCCGAUUCCACCUCAACAGGAUCUGGGUUUUUUUUUUUUUUUGGGUUGUAGGUAGUGGGUGUGAGGUUGGGUGCGAAGGUGUGGAGAGUGGGUGCGGGGAAAAGAAGGGGGUGGGGAGGGGGGAAGACAAAUUGGUUUUUUUUUUCUCUUCUUUUUUUGGGUUACAGUUGUAGGAAGGGGGAAGAAGAUGAUGAUGGGGAGAAGAGAGAGAAGGGGGAGGGGACGAAUUGAUUGAGUGUUUUUUUUUUUGAGUAAAUUAUAUAGUAACCCCUCAGGUUUGAGGUCUAUUACAACCUCAUACAACAUCUUUAAAACAUUUCAUUUUUAUACCUCACGUACUAUUUUAUUUCAAAAUGAUACAUCCGUUGGAUUUUCCAUCCAUUAAUCUGUUAAAUGAUGUCGUGGCUGCCACAUUUGUGCCACAUGGCUGCCAAAUGUGUGCUACGUGGCAUAAAAAUAAUUUUUAAUUUUUUUGUUUAAAAAACCCCGAAUCUUCUAAAAAUAAAAAAAUAAAAAAAUAAAAACUGAAAAACACAUAACCCACACCCCACCUUCCCCACAACCCCUCCCCACCCAUCUUUUUCCCCGAGCCCUCCCCUUACCUGCAACCCAAACACCCAUUCCCACACUAACCCCACCUCCCUCGCCAGCCCCCAACCUCACCUCCCCCCAACCCCCACCCCAGCCCACCUCCCUCUCCUCCACCCUCUUCACCUCCCCUCCCAUCCAAAAACCCACCUAAUCAUAUCCAAACAAAAAACCACUAUCGCGAGCGGCGGAACAUGGUACGACGUUGAAGCUAAAAUGGAAACGGAAAACAAGCUCCGCUUGCGGCUGGUAUGGUGGACGGGGGCAGGCGACGAAGGCAAUUUGAUGGUGGAGGACGGCGAGAGGGACGAAAUGGGUUUCGCGAGGGAGUUAAAAUUGGGGCAAGUCCCAAGCUUUAAGUGCUCGGAUGUGGUGCGAGACGGGUUCGAGGCAGAGAACAAGGCAUCGCAAAAGGAGCAUCGGAGCUUCACCGCUUUGGGCAUACCAGUGUCGAUGUUUGUUUGGAUGGGAUUGGGUGGGGUUUUGGAUGGGAGGGGAGGUGAAGAGGGUGGAGGAGAAGGAGGUGGGUUGGGGUGGAGAGUUGGGGGAGGUGAGGUUGGGGGCCUGGCGGGGGAGGUGGGGUGGUGGGAAGGGGUGUUUGGGUUGCGGGGAAGGGGGAAGGCUCGGGGAAGAAGAUGGGUGGGGAGAGGUUGUGGGGAAGGUGGGGUGUGGGUUCUGUGUUUUUCAGUAUUUUUUUUUUCAGAAGAUUCGGGUUUUUAAAAAAAAUUAAAUUUUUUUUGCCACGUGGCACAUAUUUGGCAGCCAUGUGGCACACAUUUGGCAGCCACGUCAGCAUUUAACAGAUUAAUGGAUGGAAAAUUUAACGGAUGUAUCUAUAGACAUCGAAAUUUCGGUAAAUAAAUGUUAACCGAUAAAUCAAAGUUUCAACGCUCAUGUAUUACAUAAAUUUUACACGUAGCGUGUGUCUAAACAAAAAAUCAAAAUAAGUUGGAAAAGUCAUCAAACAUGACACGUGUCAACACCUAGCAGAAAUGACUUAUUUCAUCUGGCAUAUUAUAUUCAAAAUUAGGCCUUGGAAAAUUCUAUAAAUAGAAGCCAAUUUCAUUCAUUUAAGAGGAACCAAAAUCAUUAAGCAAGCUCUGAAGCUCUGAAACUCCGAAGCUCUCAAGCACUCAGGUUCCCGAAGAAUCAAGAAAGUGUUCUUCGUUCUUCGUUCAUCGUUCUUCCAAGAUCAAGCCCCGACGGCCCUUGGAUCAACAAGCCACCGUUCUUCCAAGAUCAAGCCCCGACGGCCCUUGGAUCAACAAUCAUCCACCAAUUCAAGAUCAAGCCCCGACGGCCCUUGAAGAAAGUGUUCUUCGUUCAUCGUUCUUCCAAGAUCAAGCCCCGACGGCCCUUGGAUCAACAAGCCACCGUUCUUCAAGAUCAAGCCCAAAAGCCUUUGAAGAUCCGUUCAUCACUGUUCUUCAAGAUCAAGCCCAAAAGCCCUUGAAGAUCCGCUCAUCACCGUUAUUCAAGAUUAAGCAUCAACGGCCCUUGAAGAAACACUCAUCCUCAAGAUCAAGCCCCAACGGCUCCUUAAAGAUCCGUUCAAAUCCACCUUCAAAGAUCAAGCCCACGGCCCCUUGAAGAAACUUCCAACAGUUCAUCCAAGAUCAAGCCUCAACGGCCCUUGGAUCAACGAAACAUCCACAAAUCAACACCUUACGGAGAUCGAAUCAGAGAAUCAAAAUUUAAGAGAGAUUGUAACCCAAAAUCAUCAAAUACAAAUAUUUGUUUAUGCACGUUGUUCUUGUCGCUUUCGUUUUACGAAAUUUUCGUGUUCACAGUAUCAUUUUGAAAUAAAAUAGUACGUGAGGUAUGAAAGUGAAAUGUUUUUAAAAUGUUGUAUAAGGUUGUAAUAGACUUCAAACCUGAGGGGUUACUAUGUAAUUUACCAUUUAAAAAAAAAAUAUUUUCUUUAUUAUUUUAAUAUUUAAAAAAUAUUAAAUUUAUUUUUUUAGAUUUUAAUAAUAUUUUAAUAAUUUUUUAAUAGAAAAUGGGCCGCAAAUCAAGCCAUGUCAGUAUUUAACUGAGAAAUUCACGCCAACCCUAACGAAAGGUAUAACAUUGUCACAAAUUCGUAAGAUGAGGUAUGACAUUGUCAAUUUUAAAAGAUGAGGUAUGAAAGUGUCGUGACACCAAUAGUUGAGGUAGUUUUUUGUACUUUACCCAAUUUAUUAUAUAUCCUAUAAAUAAGUAUUUAUUUACACCUAAAUGUAUUAGAAAUUUAGAAGAAAAAAAAUAAAAUGUGCAUAAUACAAGUUGUUUUUGUAAUAUGAAGGGGUUUGAAAUGCUUUAUAACUUGGAUAUUAUAUCUUUACAAUGCCAAUGGGAAACCGGCUUCUAAGGUAAGUUGUUCAAAUCUAUAAAAUAAGCCCUCCCACAUCGCCCAAUGAUGUGGAUCUUCUAGGCCUUAUAUGUAUAUUCACAUCUCUACCUAGCACGAGGCAUUUUAGAAGCUCACUAGCUUCGGGUUCUAUCGGAACUCCAAAGUUAAGCGUGCUUGCAGCGAGAGCAAUUUCAGGAUGGGUGACCCACUGAGAAGUUCUCGUGUGAGUUCCUAGAAACAAAACCAUGAGGGUGUGGUCGGGGCCCAAAACGGAUAAUAUCAUGCUACGGUGGAGUCGAGCCCGGGAUGUGGUGGGGUCCGAGCCUGGAUGUGCCACCUAGAGAUUGUAAAAAGAAACCAAAAAGCCAUUGUAGCUCACAUCCCCCAAUGUAUCUAAUUCAAUUAGCGAACCAAACAGGCCAUCCAUGCUUCGAUAUUUACAAAGAACACUCUAGUGUAAAAAAAAAAACAAAAAAAAAACAAAGAACACUCUAGCAAAAGGCGGUGGAAGUUACGUGGGCCAUCACCCUUUUUUUUUCUCUCUGUAAUUUUUUUUUCUCUCAAAUCUUCUUGGUAAUCUCAGAGCAGGAUUAUGAUUCUCUUUCUAGUCAUUUUUUAGAACAUUGCUUAGUAAUACGCUAUAAGAGGAGGAUUCCCUCCCCUUUUAAUUUUUGUCCCUUUCUAAUUUUUUUCCCUUUUCGUCAUUUCUACUCGAACGGUUACGGUUAAAUCAAGUUAACAUCUUAUAGAUCAUCCUUGCAAAAUAUUUCGAACUUUAACGAUUCGAACUGUUUAUUUUUUGGGGUGUGAUAUCCAUACACCCCUUUUUACUUCUUACACACCCUUUUAAUUUCCAGCCUUCGGAUCAGAUGAAUUGAAGAAGAUCAAAAUACAAAAAUCAACAAGGGUGUGUGAGAAGUAAAAAUGGGUGUGUGGAUAGCAUACCCCUAUUUUUUAAGUUGCAUCUCAUAGAUCAUCCUUGCAAAAUAUUAGCCAAAUCGGAAAUCGGAAAUAUUUAAGACAUAUAAUUGGGCUCAAAGAAAUUAACAAAUACUUGUUAUAUAAGAAACAAUGAAAUUUUAUCUUAAUAAUUAAAUAAGCAAAUGAUUUUGAAUUGAAUUGAAUUUUUGCAAGGAUGAUCUAUGAAUCGAGACUUACAAAAUAGAUGAUUCAGAUCGUUAAAGUUCGAUGUGGAGUGAGCCCCAUACUUAAUCACCAUUUUUUGAAAAAAAAAAUGGAGAUCGCUUUGCAUAAAUGAUAUGCACUUUCAAAAUCUCAAAGUUAUGCUACUUAGUAACAAUGUUCUAAAAACGCUAGGCGCUAGUCGGGUGGUGGUAUGGGGCCUAGCGCUUAGACGGGCGCCUAGGCGAACCAGGCAUAUUUGAAUAAAAUUUAUAUAUAUCCUAUAAAUAAGUAUUUAUUUACACCUAAAUGUAUUAGAAAUUUGGAAGAAAAAAAAUGUGCAUAUUACAAAUUGUUUUUGUAAUAUGAAGGGGUUUGAAAUGCUUUAUUGCUUGGAUAUUAUCUCUUUACAAUGCCAAUGGGAAACCGGCUUCUAAGGGAUUUAAUUAUGCAACAAAUUAUUUUGUACAAAUCUAUAAAAUAAGCCCUCCCACAUCGCCUAAUGAUGUGGAUCCUCUAGAUCUUAUAUGUAUAUUUUCAUCUCUACCUAGCACGAGAUAUUUUGAAAGCUCACUGACUUCGGUUUCCAUCGGAACUCCAAAGUUAAGCGAGUUCGCAGCGAGAGCAAUCCCAAGAUGGGUGACCCACUGGGAAGUUCUCGUGUGAGUUCUCAAAAACAAAACCAUGAGGGCGUGGUCGGGUUCCAAAAUGGACAAUAUCGUGCUACGAUAGAGUCGAGCCAGGAAUAUGGUGGGGCCCGGGUGGGAUGUGACACCUAGAGAUUGUAAAAAGAAACCAUAAAGCCACUGUAGCUCACAUCCCCCAAUGUAUCUAAUUCAAUUAGCGAACCAAAGAGGCCAUCCAUGAUUCGAUAUUUACAAAUAACACUCUAGUUCUGUAAAACAAAAAACAAAAAAACAAAGAACGCUCUAGCAAAAGGCGGUGGAAGUUGCGUGGGCCAUCACCUUUCUUUUUUUCUCUCUGCAAUUUUUUUUCUCUCUCUAAUCUUCUUGGUAAUCUUAAAAUAGGAUUAUGAUUCUCUUUCUAGCAUUUUUUUAGAACAUUGAUUAGUACUACGGUCUGAGAGGAGGAUUCCCUCCCCUUUUAAUUUUUUUCCCUUUUCGUCAUUUCCACUUGAACGGUUACAGUUAAAUCAAGUUAACAUCUUACAUUGACUUCUUUUCUUAAUUGUUGAAUUGUAUAAAUUAAACAAAAAUGUAAGUUUUUAAAUCAAUCGCAUAUUACAUAGGAAACUGUUAUUAACAUUCCAAAAUCGAUUGUCUUUCAUUUUGAUAGCGAGUAGUUUUUAUAAUAAUAAGUCAAGGCAAGAAAAAAAUUUAUCCUACACUUCUCACGGAUGCAUUUUUCUUUCUACUUAUAGAAAAUUUGAAGAUUAAAAUAAAUUUUUUUAAGUGCCAAUAAAAAUUCUUUAUAACAUAGUAUCAUAAUGUAAGUUUUUAUCAUAGGCAGCAAUUGGAUUUGGCCCCACAUGGUACUAUGUAGCACUCUUCUUAUCUUUGCUAUGAACAUGAUUACCCGAACAUAAAAGUCUACAUGCCUUUUUAACUAAUGAAGAUAAUAAACACACAUUUUUUUAAAUUAAAUGAAAAUAAGAGACAAAAUUAAACAAAAUCGUGUGAAAGACUAGAAAAGAUGCAUAUUUAUCGUUUCUCUUAACGAGCAUACAACUUCAAACAUUAACCUGCCCUCAUUUUAUUUAGCAAGAUAGUACUACGAUUUAGUGAUAUUUAUUUUUCGGUUAUAAAUGACGGGUAUUAAAUUCGAUUCUCAUCAAAAAAAAUUUAAACCAUAUUUAAAGCGAGUCCACUCCCACACUUCUUAAUAUAUAUAUAAUAUUGUAUGGAGUAAAAAAGAUGUCAUCAUUUCAUUUUGGCUAAAUUGGAUUGUUCAUCCUGUGGUCAUAGGACACUUGCAUGAUGACUCCCGUGGUGAAAAAACUAGGAAUUAAACUCCUGUGGUCUAGAAUGUUAGCAAAUUUAGUCCAAAAGUAAGAUUUCUGUUAAAUGACUGUUAAAAGUUAGGGUAAAACUGUAUUUUCAGUUCCAAUUGACAUUGAAUUUGCACUUUUUUUUAUUUAAAAAAUUAAGCAUUAUUUUUUUUGUUAAUUGUUAUAAAAAAAAUUAUUUAGUUUAAAUGUCAAUUGGAACUGAAAAUACAGUUUUACCUAUACUUUUAACAAUCAUUUAACAGGAAUCUUACUUUUGGACUAAAUUUAUUAACAUUCUUGACCACAUGAAUUUAAUUCCUAGUUUUUUCACCACGGGGGUCAUCAUGCAAGUUUCCUAUGACCACAGGGAUGAAUAAUCCAAUUUGGCCUUUCAUUUUUAUUAUAAUUAAAGAAAUUAUUAUUAACACUUCAAACAUUUUAUUAUGCAUUCAUCACAGGAUUAUUUUUUUCUUCUAAAUAUAUAAAAUUUAAAUUACUAAUAACACCUCUCUAAUUAAAUUUUUUUCUUUUAAUAAUUGCUUAAAUCUACAAAGAAGGCAAAAUAUCUUACAAAACCAAGGGUGAGGGCAGGAAUCUUCACCAAAAAAAAAAGAGGACGCAGGAAAAGAAAAGAAAAUGACUGAUUAAGAAAUAAAGUAAUCCAAAGUCCCGAUCGCCAACCCAUACAACUCACUUUUCCAGCCGUUGGAUUCCGACAAAUCAACAUCUGCAUGGUCCAGGAAAGUGGAAACCGAACAUACUUGUCACAAUCCAACGGUCCAAAAUCCCCAAAUCACAUCUUAAAUCUAAUGCUUGUACAUGUUCAUACCCAAUCACACCUCACUCUGCUGAGAGCUCACUUUUGGUUAACUGUUAAGUCAAAACAAUCAGUGAGAACAUCACAAAAUCAUAAGAUUCAAGAAGCUAAAUCUGCUAAAUCCAAAAUCUUAAAAACCCAAAUCUCCAGUUCCCAAAAAGAUCCAGAAAUCGAGAGAGAGAGAGAGAGAGAGAGAGAGAGAGAGAGGAGAGAGAGAGAGAUCAAAACCCAGGAGAAACAGAGGGUGAAGCAAAUGGGAGUGACAAUGGGUCUGAAUCUGCUGCUGCUGAUGGCUAUGGUGGCCACCAACAUACUCUCACUCUACCACCUCUCCUCCACUCUCCAAACCCCAAAACCCCCAACUCCCCAGCCAGUCCCUGACCACCUUCUCCACCAGCUCCACACAUUACGCGCCACCAUCAACCACCUCACGCGCGACCACCCUUCCCCAUCAACCGCCACCGCCAAAACAACCAAACCCGACAUCCCCUCAGAUCUCCUCCUCUACUCUCAGCUCUCCCCCAUCGCCUCCUCCUGCCACAACCACCCUGACCUCGUCCACAAGUACAUGACCUACACCCCCUUCUCUCUCUGCCCACUCGACUCCGACCUUGCCGAGGCACUCAUUCUCCGCGGCUGCCACCCGCUCCCCCGCCGCCGAUGCUUCACAAGAACCCCACCAAAACCCACUUCUUCUCUCCCCCUGAAUCCGUUUCCUCCUUCGCUUCCGGACUCCAAUGUCUUGUGGGACAAGUAUUCCUGCAAAAGCUUCAGCUGCCUCGGCGGCAAAAACCCCAACUUGGGCUUCGACCUGCCUCACGAAGUGUCCAAUUUCAUGAGUUACAAGUCGGAGCUCGACCUCCCAAUCCCUCAGCUCUUCCAAAUCGCCAAAGCCGCCAACUCGGUCCUCCGUCUCGGCGUCGACAUCGGCGGCGGAACUGGGACUUUCGCGGCGAGGAUGAAGCUCUACAAUGUCACCGUUGUCACGACCACGAUGAACCUUGGAAUCCCCAACAAUGAGGCGGUGGCGCUGAGAGGGUUGGUCCCAAUUCACGCGCCGCUGCAGCAGCGGUUGCCAAUGUUCGACGGGGUGGUGGAUCUGGUGCGUUGCGGGCACGCCGUGAACCGGUGGAUACCGGCGACGGCAUUGGAGUUUUUGCUGUUUGAUGCGGAUAGAGUGUUGAGGGGAGGAGGGUACUUGUGGUUGGAUAAAUUUUUCAGCAAAGGGGUGGAUCUUGAGAAGGUUUUUGGACCGUUGAUUGGGAAAUUGGGGUACAGGAAGGUGAAGUGGGCUACUGCAAAUAAGAACGAUUCCGGCGGGAUCAAGAAUGGUGAGGUUUACUUGUCUGCUCUGCUCCAAAAACCUGUCUCGAAAUGAGGUUGCAAUUUGAGGUACUAAUGUGCUAUUUAUUUCCCAGUUUGUUCCUUGAAUCUGCAAUUUUUGGUAUAAACUGAUUAGUGAAUUAGUUGGAUCUAGCAUUUGUUCGUGGUUAAUUACUUUGUAGCUACAAUGUCAGCUGAAUAUAAAGUGCACUCGAAUUAAGUAGAUUAGAAUCGCGUCGCUGUCUUAGAGCUCGUUUGAAUGUACUUUUAAAAUAGCUAAAAGCGUUUUUAAAGAAAAUGUUUUUUGGUUUCAAAAGCACUUAAACUGCUUUCUGCAAGAAGCACCGGUUUUGUCCGGUUUUGUGCUUCUUCCAGGAAGCACUUUAAGUGCUUUUCAGAAUUUACUUGCAUUUUUAUUAAGGAUUGGUUCCAAAAACAUUUUCAUCAAAAGCGCUUUCAGUCAUUUUAAAAGUACAUUCAAACAAACACUUAGUUUGGUUUGAAGUUUUGCGCAUUAUUUGCAGGUCCUAAAUAUGAUUGUUUCGUCUCUGAUAUGUUUUGCGUGAUCUGGUUGUGGCAUUCAUGUCUUUGUUGGACAAAGUUCUAUGAGAAGUUUUGCGCAUUAUUUGCAGGUCCUAAAUAUGAUUGUUUCGUCUCUGAUAUGUUUUGCGUGAUCUGGUUGUGGCAUUCAUGUCUUUGUUGGACAAAGUUCUAUGAGAAGUUUUGCGCAUUAUUUGCAGGUCCUAAAUAUGAUUGUUUCGUCUCUGAUAUGUUUUGCGUGAUCUGGUUGUGGCAUUCAUGUCUUUGUUGGACAAAGUUCUAUGAGAUCUUAAUACGAACCAGAGCCAGUCACGUUAGUUCCUUCGUUGCUAUCAUAUAGCCUGGUGUUCCAGGAGGAACAUGGCAUUCGCCUUCGGUGUACAUUGUCUUUAGGCCUCUUGAAUUGCUGAGUGUUUGCUAGAAUUUACUUUGUCUGUGAAUAAUCCAAGAUGUGCUACCUGGUAAACCUUGCGUAAAAUUUUCGGAGAGAUGACAUUGACAAUCUGUUUAGCGGGCUACUGUAAUGUGACGUCGUAAGCAGUAGUUUUAAUCAUAUGUGAAUCAUACUCGACAUUUUCUAAGUGCUCGGAAGUGGUGGUGUUGGAUCAUCGCACCAUCUGCACACGGUGAUUAAGGGAACCUUAACUGGUAUUUUUGUGCUACUGACUGUAACUUAAAAUCUGACUGAGAUGGGUUUUGUGCUUGGGCUGCAGGCAUUGCCGUCAAUCGUUGCUGCUAACGAACAUACACCUCUCCUGAGAAGAUGGGCGUCCUUCAUCGAGCAAUGAGACAGUAUACCUACGUUCUCCGAUCUAAAGCGAGUUACACCUCAAGCUACUUGUUAAUGAUGUAAACAAUCGUCGAACGUCGCAAAAUAUGUAACGCUAUCAAAGGUUCCCAAGGAGGGAGAAGCCGAAAUUAGGCGCGUUCUCACCCUCAGUUAAUGGUUUUUGGUAGGAUUACUCUUGACUAAUUGUAAUAUUUAUUCCAAUUAAUUCUUCAUAAAUGAAUCCGAAGAGCAAUUAUGCUUUCCGGUAGCUUUUACACGUUACACAUGAAGUAACUUUAAGUGUUGUGAAAAGCGUGGAUUCCAUGCACGAAAGGUUGGGGAAAAAAGCAAAGGAAAGUAGGUCAUAUUUUUUUGGAACAUUAACGAAAAACUUCGGUACUGUUUAUUUUAACGAAAAACUAAAUUUUAUACUAAAAGGUCAAUCUUGGUAUUAUUCAUUUUAUCUUUUAUUUUGUCGUUAAAACUCAAAAUUUUCAAACAUUUUUUAUUAGUUUUCCUUUUUUUUUUGGUUCAAAUGCAAUUCCUUGUACGGUCUUAGCAGCAACCACUACCAAUUUCUAAAGGGGUGUGAUAUCUAUACAUCUUAUUUUACUCUUCACACAUAUUUUUAAUUUUCAGCUGUCGGAUCAGAUGAAUUGAAGAAGAUCAACGGACAUAAAUUAUCAAGGGGUGUGUGAGAAGUAAAAUAAGGUAUGUGGAUAACACACCCUUUCUAAAAUGCAAUUCCUUGUACGGUCUUAGCACCAACCACCACCAAAGAAAUUGGUUGAGAAAGAGGCCCUGCCUCCGGCCACCAGAGCAGCCGGAGCCCAGCAAUUGUUGCGGCGGCUGAUGCAUUCAGUGCGUUUGUUGUAGAUUCAAUCAAGAUAUUUGUAUCCUGGAUUCAAUCAUGGAUUCGAGAAGAUACUCGUUUCCGUCGACAUCUAGCCAUUUUCUGACUUUUCCGGCAACAAGCUCUGAAAACGGUAGCGGUUUCAGAGAAAACGGUAGCGGUUUCAGAGACGACGGUAGCUUCAAGCAUAAAAGCAAAAUUAAAAAGUUGGAACAUGAUAUCUCUGUCAUCACAUCACAAAGAAAACGGUUGCUUCAAGUAUUUCUUUCAGGCACACUUGCUCAAAGAAAAAAUAAAAAAGACAGUAUUACAAAAUCUCAUACGACGCUUCACGUCACACCAGAGAGUCAGAGACGAUGCCCAACUGAAGCUAGAAACUGGUUUUCCCAUGGCAACAUUUUCUCACACCGCUCCGACGGCUCAAUCGGUAGCUUUCCGCCUCAGAAGGUGUUGCAUGCUGAUUCUGUUGAUCUUAGCAGCAAGUAUGAAGUCAUUCUCGGUCAAUCCACCUGCACAAUGCAUACCAUGUCAAAAGCUAAAUCUCAUGUGCAAUCAAAUCUUCAAACGAAUUGGCUCUUGAAGUAAAUUGAACGACUUUCAGCGUUGUAUUAAGGUGAUCUCUAAAAAGGUGAUCUCUAGCUGGAAAAUAUUUAGGUAACAUUCGGAGUUCGGCUGGUAAGUUUCACUGAGGUAGAAUUCCGUAACCAGUACCAGAACCAGAACCAAAACUAAACAGAAGUUUGAAAUAAGCAACUGGACGAAGCUUCAUGUAUCAUAUGUUCACCUAUUUUCCGCAAGGUAAAGCAAGAGUUGUACAAUACUUUUAUUUCCCAGAAGCGUUAAUGGUGGUAGGAAAACUUCAUUAGCAAAACGUUAUAUACACCGAGAGAAGGGGAUGGAAGAACCUCACCUCUGCCCUCCAAGACGACCUAAUGCAUAAUGGUUUUAUUCAAGAAACAUGUAUAAAUACAUAGUACCAAUUAAUUAAUGGCGAAUCCUUACCAACCGCAUGUGUCCAAAUCUCGACUGUUACAUUGUUCCAUCCAACUAGAUGAAGAUCUGGAUGAUGACCUGGAACAUACACAUUACGGUUUUCCAUCUACAUCAGACACAUUCUAUCUUAUUUAAAUUCUAAUGCAUUCUUCAUACACGCGAUAGCUACAACUUCAUACACGCGAUAGCUACAACUACUCAUCAGAAAACAAAAAAAAAAGCUUAAAAAUACCUUCUGCUUCUGCAACAUCAGCUACGAGCUUAAGCAUAUCCAGUCCUUUUGUGAAGGUCUUAACUGUCCAUGAUCUUUUCAGUCUCAAAGCAUCACCUUCACUCACCAAAUUCCAUCCGUCCACCUAAACCAAAUAUAUUAAUAUUAAAGGAGAAACAUACAUGUGUGUGUAACUGUGUAUAUAUAUAGGCGAUAGUUAACUCUUUAAUCGAAACCUUUGUGAUUAAUCCUUUUGCUGCUUGUUCAGUCAUGGGUCGCAUGUCCUUUGAGUCGCAAGACACGCACUUCUUUAUUAACAAAUCUAAUGCCGCCAGAAAACAGUACAAGAUAAGAAAAAUAUGACUUCCCUGACAAACAAAGCUAUGACAAAACCAGUAUUACCAGAUUUUGAUAUUGUAGAAAAAAUAACAUCAAUAAAUAAUCAAUGCCGGUUAUACUAGAUAAGAAAACAACAUUCAUGGAUAUGCCCAGCAAAUGGACAAGCAGGUUCCUUCCCUUUAAUGAAUAAGAGCUUCUAUAUUUUACCAGAAACCGUACAAGCUGAUUAAGGAGGAUAGACAGACACAGCAGAGAUGAACCUACUAAGAAGUAAAGAUUACACACCAGUUACCACAAUUAAACAUGGGAACAAUUUGAUACUUAGAACUUUUUCUCAUAAAGGUCCUGGAUCGAUUAAGCAAUAUCUCAAAGCCGUAAACCAGGACAAGAGUAUUUAGAAUGGCCAACGCAAUAAAUCACAGAGGAAUUGGGUAUAUGCAUGAGUAGAUAAUUUAGUUUUUGGCCAUGUGGAUUAAGCUUUGCACACAAGAAAAAAUUAGUCUUCCCAAGCUACUUCUUUUCCUGUAAGAAGGAGAUAAAGCCGAUGUCUAAAAUUUCGUGAAUGGAUGCGUAUGGAACAAUGAUGCCAUAGUAAUAAGAUGUUCUACCGCAUGCUGGCACCCCAAGCUUACUUGAAAGGUUUUGUCACAUAAAUCGCAGUUCGGAGAGAAACUGCAUUCGAUUGUCAAACUGCAAAAACGACGAAAAGUCCAGUGCAAAAGUUCUAAAUCCACAUACUGAGUUUCUACUGGACGACAACAAUCCCACAUUGACAUAGUUCUGAAGUAUCUCAAACACUCGGCUACCGGAACCUAUGAUGCACGGAUACAUUUGUUUGGUCCCGUAUUCUGUAUCCGAUACUUGCAGAUGCGGUACUUGCCCGAUACUCUUGGAUACUCGUCCGACACGUAUCUUGGUUGAUGGACACGAAUUUGACAUGAUGGAUACGCGUAUCCUACCUUUAGGAUACACGUAUCCGGCUUUUAGGAUACAUUUACACUUUCAAAAAAGGUUAUGAGGAGGAGAAAAUUAAUACGAGACAUCUAUAAUUAAAAGUUGCUGAAUACAAAGAGUUCCCUCUAAUUAAAACCAUGAAUACGACUCUCACACUUCUUCUAUUGUACAAAGAGGAUUAGAUUUCGAACUUUUAUUCUCUAACAACUCAAAUGUAUUUGUAUUUGAAUUUGAAUGAUGAAUUAUGUUUUAAAAUGUAUACUUUUGUUGCUAUAUAUAUUUUUAUUUGCCGUAUGCAUAGCGUAUCGUAUUUUAAUUUUUAGAGAUUUUCCGUAUUGUCGUGUUGUGCCGUAUCAUAUCGUCGUAUCUGUAUCCGUAUCCAUGCUUCAUAGACCGGAACUGUAUUUUAAGUACAAAAUUUGUUUUCACAAAAGAAUCCAACUCCAAGAAGUGCAUGCAUGUUGAAGUUCUAAUUAAAUCACAGAAUUAUAAAAUCAAAACAACAAAAUUGAAUGUAAAGCAGCAAUCUUUCAACCCUCAAAUUUUCAUCAAACAACACAACCAAUCACAAGAUUAAUGACAAACAAAACAUGGGUAAGUCGAGAAAUUACAGAAGAUUGAAAUUGAAGAUUCAAAAAACCAUUUUUUUAUCAUCAUAUAAAGGGCAUGCAGGGAAUUACCGUCCAUGAGUUCCAGUGAAGCUUUGAAUCACAGAUGCUAAUGGUACCUGUAAAUUUUCCGAGAAAAUUUCAGCAGAGGAGAAAGAUGAGAGAGAGAGAGAGAGAGAGAGAGAUACCUUCUGCAACAGUCGACUCAUGAAUGUUUCUGUAGACUCUGAAAGGGGAGGCGAUUUUGAACGGUGGGCAGUGAUCAGAUGAUGUAAUAGAAACUCGAAAGUUUGUAUUUUUGCGAAGCUUUCGCGGUUGGACGUGAUUGAGAAAAAGGAUGAGAUUACAGAGGCUGAAAUGAAAAUCGAAUAGAAUUGAUGGCAAAAAUUAUAAAAUUAAAUAACUUUGUGGGUUCUCUAGAAAUAACGUAAAAUUGAGUGGUGGGUUGGGGAAAGUAUAAAUGUGAACAAACGUGUCCGGAAAACAAAAAAUUUCGCUGCGUUUUUGCUUCUUCGUCUGAGAAUUGCUCUCCUCCGCCGAACAAAAUGGUCAGUUUCUUUCUCUCUCUUCCUCUUUCUCUCUCUUAAAAUUCCAAUUGAUUUACCAAAAUUUUAGGGCUAGGAUUUAGGGUUAGGGAUUAGACAUUGUUAUCAGCUUCUUGAUCUGUUUGUGAGUGGAAUAAUUGGGGUCGGAUCCGUGUUCCUUAGAACUGGAUCUCUCAGAUCCUGCUGCAACAACAUAAUUUAAAUGCAUAUUCUCGAUAAAUUUUGAAAAAUGCAGGCAUUUUUUAAUUGGAAGAUAAUAAAUUGUUGUGAAUUUUAUGUUUGUUUGUUCUUGAUAAUUUGAUGCUGUUAAUGACCCAAAAUUAUCAGUGUAUGAAUGGUAUGUAUACAUGGAUGAUGGAUCCCAUUUGAAUUUUUAAGAAAAAAUUGGAUUUGAGCUUGCAACUGAGUUACCGUAGUGGACCGUGUUCUUGGGAAAUUAUUCCACAAGAUUUUUGUGUUUGUUUGAUCUGGUUGAUGCUGCUCAACAAUGUAGUUGAGGUUGUAAAUGGAUCCUGCUUAAGUUUUUAAGAUGUUCAAUAUAAGCUUGCAAAUGAGUUAACAGAACCAACUAUGAUCCCGGGAAAUCAUUUCUGUAAACUUGUAGUCGAACAUAUUCAGCACAAUUGUGCAAGCGCAAUGUUAGAUGUACACACAUAUAUAGUACACGUUAAAUCUCGAGUGCUGAAUGCAAACGUGUUUAUCAAAUUAGAGAAACAAUUCCAUUGACUGGGUAUGAUUACACUCAUGCUUUAGUGUAAGUUGCAAUUGUCAUUACACUAUAUUUAGGCUUACAUGUACAAGUAACGACUAUUAACUUUUGUUAUUGAUGUGGUAAGAGUCGGUAACCAUUUUAAGCUUAUAUCUAAUUGGAAGCAAAACAUUAGUUUUCCCUGAUAAGCAUGAAUGAGUGAGAUAUCUGACCCUUCGGUGGAUGUAGCCACGAUUAUCUCUUUUUAAUGUCAGUGCUGAAAUCAUUUGGUGCAGUGUAUCGUAUAAUGAUUCAAGUUUUGGCAAUCUCUAAUCGGUUAUUGGCUAUGGUUUGUAGGAGUCCUGCCCUUCGAUAAAGAACAUCCUCCUCCUCGAUUCUGAAGGGAAACGUGUGGCUGUCAAGUAUUAUUCAGAGGAGGACUGGCCAACGAAUACUGCCAAAGAAUCUUUUGAGAAAGCUGUAUUUACUAAAACUCAAAAGACAAAUGCGCGGACAGAAGGUAAUUUAAGCUUUAAUUAUUUCUGUACAGGUCAUGUCAUCAAAUUAUUCUAAUCCCUAUCAAAUGCUAUCCCCUCAUAUGAAGCAUUGUGUUGUUUUGAUUCGAACUACUUCCAUAUUAACUUGUUGCGUCUUCAUGUACAGCUGAGAUAGCAAUGUUUGAGGGCACCAUUGUAGUUUACAAGUUUGUUCAGGACCUUCACUUUUUUGUUACUGGUGGUGAAAAUGAAAAUGAGCUCAUUUUAGCCACAGUUCUGCAGGGAUUUUUUGAUGCGGUUGGCAUUCUCCUGAGGUAUUUUAUCCUCCUUAUAAAACUUGAUAAAUUCUCUACUCUCAAGUAGUUAUAUUUCUAUAUUCAUUUUGUCUCACUUUUGUCCAGAGGCAAUGUGGACAAGAAGGAGGCACUUGAAAAUUUGGAUCUCAUUUUACUAUGCCUUGAUGAAAUUGUUGACGGGGGGUAAGAUAUAACCUUCACGCUUAUAAAGUUUGUUAGUGCUAUUCAGUGAGUUCAAUUCCCAACUUUUACAUUUUUCUAAAAGCCUAGAAUGAUAUAAGAACCAACGUUGUUGCAGUUUACUUGCAGAGAAUAAUGAUAACGCGAUUUGCAUGUCUGGACCAUUUGUUCGGUUCAUAUGUACCUUAUUUCUUGUACAAUCACAGUGCCCUUAGGCUUAACCCUUUCUUUUUGGUGCAGUAUUAUUCUUGAGACCGAUUCAAAUGUUAUAGCAAGUAAGGUUGCAAGUCACAGUAUUGAUGCUGGAGCUCCGUUGUCCGAGCAGGUAUAUCCGUUGUCUAGAUAGUUAAACUCGACAUGUAAAAAAUACUAAUUCAACAACCGAAUACUCCCUGCCACCAAAUUUUAUGUUGUUAAUCCAUAUAUAUAUAUUUCUUCUUACAGACAAUAAGUCAAGCAUUGGCAACUGCCCGCGAACAUCUAGCGAGACAACUCCUUAAAUGAUGUGUUGAAAGAGGAAAAGCAAGGAGAGAGGACAUCAGUUUUAUAUGUUUCUGUUUCAUCAGAUGCUGCAAUAUUAUCAAGUUCGAUUACUUCUGCAGAACUUGGUUAAUUUGGACAUCGGAACAGUUGAUGUCAAAGGUUUAGUAUUCGAGAUAUAUACGUUUACAUAUUUUGAUGAAUUGAAUGCCAUAUGAACUCACAGGGAUGUUCGAGAUUCCGUUUGUAAUUAAUUUGUGUACCAUAUGCGAUGUUGUCUUGAUUGAGCUAUAAACUUUCAAUAACACGGAGUUUCCGAGAAUCCGACUGUUGUAUCAUACUCCUUGAAUCACAACAUAAUCUGCAUCACGUAUGAAACCGUCGCCGGCCGUAGGGGAGAGGUUACUGCGAGACACAUCUUUGCGAACCACUUCAUGAUUCUCAGCCUCGUGCUGAAACAUCUUAACCAACUCUUGAAGCUCCAACUUUCUAACUUCAACCUGCUCUUCGGUGACCGGUUGUUUCAGCCCAAGGUAGAGCAGCCCUACUCCGAUUAGCACGGCUCCUAUAAAGGCGAGAACGGCUGAAAAUACACCGAAUGCGUAUGGAGCGUUCUGUGCUCCCGGCAUUCCGUCAACAUUAAUUCCAAAUAGCCCGGUGAUGAUGGAAAGGACAAGGCCGCAGCCACCAAAAACAGUCAGGUUGUGUGUCACUCGAAGGCUUCGAUCCUGUAACCAUGCACGAACAGUGCUCUGCAUCACGUCCUGAAUGGUAAAUAAGCGGCCGCGAACUGCUUCUUGCUCCUCGAUCAUUUCUCUUGUGGCCUUUCGUAUUUGCUCUAACAAGGUUCUUGCUGCAUUUCCUCUCAAAUGUUGGAGAAGCUCGAAUACAAUCUCUUCUCUUGCAUGAAGCGACCACUUCACUCUGAUAACCUGCAAUAAAAUUAUGGAGUUUGCCAAACAAAGUGUGUUAAUUUGAAUGGCAGGGUAACCUCAAUGGACAGUCAAACAAAAAGUUUCUACUGACUGCCUAGAUGCUAAACCUAAAUGUUAGGCAGACUCGAUUUUCCACUUCAACGGGGAAGGGGUAUUCAAGGCCAUAGGAAAUACGACACCACAUACAUAUGGUGGCUACAGGUUAGAUAUCAUGCAUGUACCCAAACACGAAGUAUACAGUUAGAACCGUAGAAAUAACGGGAGUAGGGUAGAUUCAAUAACAUCAUAAGAAAAUAUAUUCUAACGUAAUUCCUGUUGUCCACAAAACAUGAGAAGCUCUCAAAACCAAUACCCCUUUCCGAUUGACUCAGUUUCUUGCUUCCAUUUUGAUGUGCAAGAUCUGUACAUUAGUAUAUCACUCAGUCACUCACACAGCCACACCCCAAUGGCUUGUAGAAGCCAUUUGUCUUACGAGAUUUGGGAUUCAACAGCUCAUAGAAGCCAUUGUCUUACUAAAAGUUCAGGUUAUUCAUCUUUGGUUUAUCCUUUCAACAAGAAUAAAAAGGUCGUACCCAGUGCACAAGGCUCCCGCUUUACGCAGGGUCUGGGAGAGGUGAAUGUCGGCUAGCCUUACCCCCAUUUAUGGAGAGGCUGCUCCCAAGACUCGAACCCGAGACCUACCGCUCAUGGGCGAAGGCACUUGCCAUCGCACCAAGUGCGACCUCUAAACAAGAAUAAACGUAAAAAUAGAAUCGAGCGAUUUUUACAUCAAAUGGAAUUUGCUAGCAAGGAGAUACAGCAUACCUGUCUUGAUAGCUUUCUGAUUUCUUGGUUGAGGAUUACAGUGAAAAGAUUCAUAUCCUCAUGGUUUCUCCUAUUAAACAAAGAAGGUAAAGUCAUAAGUGAAUUACAAACUAAAUAGUAAUCAACGAGGUAAUAUUACUUUACGGGGAAUGGUUGUAUGCAUAUGGAAGAACCUGUUCAUAAAUUUUAAUUCAACCUCAUCAGCUGCUCCAAAUAUGGACUUACGGAAUAACCUGAAACAGCGGAGACAUUGAAGGGAACCACAGGUUAGAGAAUAAGAAAUGACAAAGACGUAACAAUGCAUACAUAAAAUUAUGGACAACGGAAUAGAAUUAGUUGUAGUACAUGCAUGAGCCAACGCCAAUAAUUGAUGUGCCAUUUCCACAGUAAGUAGGCUUUUGUAAUUUUGCUAUAUCAGAACGAUAGUACUGAAGUUACCUGUCAUCCCAUCGAGUAAGGCGGCAAGCUAGAUGUGCUAUGACUUCAUGCACUGUUCUCGGUGCAUUAUAGCCUCCAGUUGAAACAAGUUCCUAACCAAAGCAAAGGAUUAACCUACCAGCCUUUAAAGUUGCAUGCACAAAAAAAAUAACACAGUAAGAAGUUCAAAGCCACUGAAAGGAUCAGUCAAAGAUGAACAACCUGAACUUCUGUGAUACCCAACACAUUUAUACUUGACACAGGCCCCUUAAUAUGCAAAACCGUUACAAGGAAGUUUUGUGCUUGCCACGAUCUAAGUACAAUGGGGAUAUCAUCCUCAUCAACAAAUGGAUUCCCAAUAGACUGUCCCAAAAGCUCAAAUAGCAACCCCCCGGCAACCCUAACUGGGACCUGAAAAGAGGCAUCAAAGCAUGUUCAGAAUCAACUCUUCAACAAAAACCAGAUUCCGAAAAAGUUUAAGCUGAAAGUCAGUCACUUUGUUACACUCCUGCCACUGCAACAGGCUUUACAAACCAAUACUACUAAUUACUUAGCAAUUUCAGAUAUAACAAAUGCAAUGUACCUCGUAUCGCAGGUGCUUCAUCCGGUCACUGAUCAGUCGACUUUCAUCUCUUAAAGCUAAGCUAACUGCAGGGUGAAGCCACUGGGCAUUGCUGAGCCAUGCUUCAACUGUGGGGUGGCCUGCAGAGACAUGGCACCACCAAAUGGGCCCUGCCGGACACUCCCAAUACGGAGCUGCUAAAUCUGCAACAGUGAAGUCAUCUUCACCAUCCAUCCCAAACUGCUGAGAGGCCCAACUAGCGUUAGCUUGCACAGUUUGUACAAUUUCCGAAAUCCUAUCCCACCCAAUUGGAACCCAAUGACCACCCUCAAACCUUUCCAUAUCCUGAACUUGGCCUGAUUGCUGGCUCCUAUCUUCCAUUUGGGAUGGAGAAUCAGAAAAUCCGUAAGAAGGAACACGCACCCUCUCUUGCUCACCAUCUAUUUGUUUGUUUAGUCAGGUUUUUUGAACCAGGUUUUGAACUAAUUAUUUUCUUCCGGCUUCGGAUAAACUCAAAAGCACAAAUAAGCCCAUUUUUCCAAAGGUCACUCCCAAUCCCAGGCAUGGGAUCUCUACUAGGAAAAAUUCUAUGGCUAUCCGGGUUCUUCGUGUUAUUGCAAUGGGAAGAACUGUUCUCCCCCACUCUACUGUUGUUGUGUUCCAUCGAUGCACAGCUAAACCAUGGAAGUUGCAAUUAUCAGACACAGGAUUAAGCUGCAAUUAGUGAUCACAGCUAAAUACUGCAAUGUUUAGAAAAAUAAUCAAAACCUGACUAUAAUUAAAUUAGAAUUUCAGUCCAUGGAUUGCAGUUUGCACUCAUAAAUUGGGAAAAGAUUCAAACUUUCCAUCUCCGAGAGUAUAAAAAGUUUACAGACAACCUCCAAGUUAACAGACAAAACAAUAAAACAAAAGAAGCAGCAAUCGAGCAAAUAAACUCUACCCAUAUAAACAACCGAAUAAGAACAUGACCCAGGAAAAACAAUUAAAAAAUACCCAACAAAUAAAAAUCAAGUGGGAUAGAGAGAAAAUUGUUCCUGAAAAUUUAGAGGGGGAGAAAAAUGAUGAAUUUAAAUGGUAAAUUAUGGGUUCUUGAACGAAUAAAAGAAGAUUUCUAUUACUGUUAAUUAGGAGGAAAUGAAAUGAGAGGAGGAGGACCUUACCCAGGAAAGAAGGCAGAGUGUUGAAAAACCUAAGCUCCACCAAGGCAAUGCCUUUGUUUGAUUUAUGCAGGAGAGAAAAACUUGAACUCUAAGAAAAAACAGAGGGACGUGGAAAGGCUACGAACGUUGGUACAAUUCGACGCUUCCCUUCAUCAGAAAAAAAAAAAUGCGAUGCUUCUAAGUGGCAGAAUCACUAAGGGGACACCAGAAUGGUCUGUUCCCAUCUGCCUUUAUUUUCUUUGUUGGUGGUACUAUUAACAGAUGUUGUUGCUGCAUAUCAAUCUAAUUCUCUUAAAUUUAAGAACGUUUUCAAUUCAAACUCGUUUUUACGUUCCAGGCCAGACCUCAUUUUUCUCUCUAUCCCUCUGGCAUGGAGCAUUUACUUCCCCUCUGCCAUGAAGUUUUAAGAAUUAAGGUAAGACUAUCCAUGGAGAUUCUUGAGGCUAGAGUCCAAUAUGCGUCACUACUGUAUUUUUCAUUUUUUUUUUGUUUCGGCUUAAAUAUUCUAUUAAAUAUACAUUUAUUGCUUAAUAAACCGUAAAUCCACUUCCAAAUGCCUUAUAAAGGUUUCCUUAAUGCUCACAGAAAAUAUUUCGCAAAAAAUAAAUUUUUUUGCAUAUUUUACAAAAAAAAUGUGGGUUAACGGCUAUUUGAAAGAUGCGUAAUAAAGUGAAGUUUGAAAGUAAGCCUAUUUUCUUUUCACACCUUUGUGGUUCUACUUUGGUAUGGAUUAGGCAGGUUGGACUCACUCCUGGUCAUGUAUGUGAUAUUUUGGAUAAGCAACUUUUAGUCUCUCUUGAAUCUUGGCUGAGUCCAGUAGAUCUUGUUGAGCCAACACAUCUUUGACCUCACAUUGCCACAUCCCGAAGUUGUUUGUUCCAUCAAACUUUUCCACUUCGAACUUUGCAUUUUGCACCAUAGUUCUUGCAAACCCGGAGCUGCUUCCAAAAGGAUUCUCAUCUUGUCCGUUUGACAUCUUUGGCAACUAGACAGUACCCAAGAGCAACCUGUGCUCUGAUACCAAUUGUUGUGCUAGGAUAACACCAAACCUUAUGGAACCAACUCUUGAUAACCCACAGAAAAUAUAUCAAAUGAAAUGCAAGAACAAAAUAUUAAAGACACCAAGAUUUUAACGAGGUUCCUCAAUAGUCAGUGGAACUGGAGUACGUUCUCGGAGCAGUAGGAGCUCACCCAAUAAUCCACUAUCAACCAAAUGGGAGUUUACAAAGUGUUGACAAUCUCACAACCCAAAUAACCCAAUACACCCAAUAGCUCUCACACACCAACGAAACAAAUAGAGUAAGAAAUAUAAUGAAUAAUUUCUUCUCUAUACAUAUAGCUCAAAGCUAUUACAACAACACUAUUUUGGUGGAUGAUUACUAACCAAUGAAGCAGCAGUUUCUUUUCUCUGAGGAUCUACGACACCCUUUCUCUGUUGCUCUGCUGCGCUCUACUCUCUGCACUCAGAAUGAAGUUUUCACUCUCUCUUCAAAACCAACUUUAUCCACACAAGAACCAACAACUAUUCUUUUCACCAAAGAAUAAUGCUCCAUCUGAAGCUAACCUUUUUAGAAUUCCACAAAACAAUAAGAAACAUAAUUAUAAUGUCUCCCCACUUUUUAUUUUUUUAUUAGCCAAAAGAUAUCUAAUAAUUUGGCCCUUUUUUUCUUUUGCUUUGUUUAAUAGCUAAAAGGUGAUGCUGAGUUGGCCACUUGGCCACAAUUAAAACAGCCAAUUCCAUAGAACCUAUGGAAAAACAAAAGCAAAAUAAGUAAAGAGCUUCAAAUUCAAAUCAAUUAUACGGUUAUCAGUCAUUGAACACAUUUAACGGAGAGAAACAAACCCAAAUUGCCAAUGUAUGCAGUCUCCAUUAGUUGUGCUAAUGGAUCAAUGGCCUGACCCAGAAUUGCAAGUAAGGAAAGCAUCAAUAGCUCGCGUUUGACAUCCGGAGAAAAUGUUUCACUGAUAGAAAUGUUAUUAAACUCUAACCCAAAACAAACAAAAAACAAUGCUUAACAUAGGUAGCAAAAUUCAUGGAUUAACUAAAAACUAAGAGUAAUAAUAACAAUUUCAGAGAUUCGCUGAAAUAGACAAUUCCCGAAAACUAUUGACAGUAAAAUUUCUUAUAUAAGCUUCAUAAUCAAAAUUAAGUGAAUAAAAACAAAAUUAACUUGCUUGCACUUAUAAACCAAACCACAUACGAAGGGAGGGACUAGAAGAUGAAGGGAUUGGGAGGCUUCCAUCAAAAGUAGAAAAAAUUUAUCUAAAGCUAUCAUGCUUAGUCACCAGCCACUCUACAAACUCAUAAUUUAUUUUUUUUCAAAUGAUAAGUUUCUAACAAAUUAUGAAUCUCGUUGCAAGUAAAAGGCGCAGUUCAACUUAGACAGAUCACUACCAAGCAUUUUAGAGAAAAGCAACAUGCAACUCCAUUAACGCGCCUAUUUUAUGUUCAAUUUUAGGAAGAAUUAUAUAAGACUACAAAAGUAAGAGCAUCAAUCAAGAAAAAGAAAAAAGUUACACAACAAUAAAAGCAGCAUUUCAAGAAACUAAAGCAACCAAAAAUUUAAACAUAACAAGGUAAUGUAGGCUAUAAGGUCACCACUCCCUACACCUAUUAGAGCUCCCUCUUCCUCCAAACCCAACUUUCCUUCCACCGGGUUGCGAUCACUGGCUCCGGCGCUUAAUCCGUUAGAAAGGGCGCCACUUCUGAACUGGGCGGUUAAUCCUCGAUUAGUUGAGGAGAUCACUAUACGAAAUGAAACAAUCCGGGCUGAUAUGGUAUAACCGUUUGAGUGAAUAUUUGACAAGUCAGGGUUAUGUGAACAACGAACUAUGCCCAUGCGUGUUCAUUAAGAAAUCACAUUCCGGAUUUGCGAUCGUUGCAGGUUAUAUCAACGACAUGAACCUCAUCGAAACUCCUGCAGAACUUGAGGAAAUAGACGCGCACUUGAAAUCGGAAUUUAAGAUGAAAGAUCUUGGGAAAACUCGAUAUUGCCUUGGCCUAGAGAUCAAGCAUUGUUUGGAUGGAAUCCUAGUACAUCAAUCGAACUACACCCAAACGGUGAUACAACGUUUUAAUGAGGAUAAAUCGAAGCCUUCGAGUACUCCUAUGGUCGUUCGGACUUUAGAUGCUAAACGAGAUCUCUUCCGUUCGAAGCAGGAUGAGGAAGAGAUUUUAGAGCAUGAAGUUCCAUACCUAAGUGCAAUUGGUGCUUUAUUGUACUUGGCUCAAUGCACUAGACCCGACAUCUCCUUCGUUGUUAAUCUUUUGGCUAGAUAUAGCAACGCCCCUACACGCAGACACUGGAACUGUGUUAAAGACAUUUUCCGCUACCUCAAUGGUACGAUGGAUUUGGGCUUGUUCUACACCUACGAAUCCUUAAGAAGAGUUGCCGCCCCUCUCGGUCCUCGGGUUAAUUCACACCUUACUGGUUACGCAAAUGCUAGCUAUAUGUUUGACCCACAUAAGGCACGUUCUCAAAAGGGUUAUGUCUUUACCGUUGGAGAAACCGCUAUAUCUUGGAUGUCUACCAAGCAAAUGCUAGUUGAGACUUCUUUGAACCAUGUUGAGAUAUCGCCCUGCAUGAAGCCUUGCGAGAGUGCUUUUGGUUAAGAGCAGUCAUGGAACAUAUUCGAAGCACUAAUGGUCUUUCUCCCAUCAUUGACCUUCCUACGAUGAUCUUUGAAGACAAUGCAGCAUGUAUUGAGCAGUUAAAGAAUGGAUACAUCAAGGGAGACAACACCAAGCACAUUGCGCCGAAGUUCUUUUAUUCUCACUAGCAACAAUAGCAUUAGAACAUUGAAGUCAAGCAAAUUCGUUCCUAGGACAACCUGGCCGAUCUCUUCACGAAGUCAUUGCCCAAGUCUACUUUUCAGAAGCUCAUCCAAGGAAUCGGUAUGCGUAAAUUAUCUAAGUUGAAUUGCUUGUAUUUCUCUUAUUUGGAAGUUAUGUCUAACUCAGGGGAAGUAUCCUGAAGCAUACUCACUUGAUCUUAAUGUACUCUUUUUCCUAUAAUUAUGAUCAUUUUUCCCAUCGGCUUUUACUACCUAACGAGAUUUUGAUGAGGCACUCAUCCUGGGAUGAUCACACUUUGUUGAGUUCACUAUUUUCGUCCUGUUUGACGUUUGUUUUAGACAUUAUGCAUACUUCUCACUUUUCUCCUUAGUCUAUGGGGUUUCCCCAUGCCUUGGGUUUUACCAUAGCGAGGUUUUGCGAGUUUUACUAUCAAUACAUACUUACUUUCUUAUAUCUGAGACUCACAUUCACCUGUUCUACCGACAACUUUAUCAACUGUUCUACAUUAUAUGCUAAAUAUCUGAUGAAACAUUGAAUAUCAGAGUGCGCAACGAACGAGACUAACAAAAUAAGAGGAAUAUUAUUAAAAAAACAAGAAUGCCGAAACGACUACAAAACUCCAGAAGGCUACGUUGUGACUAACUUAUUCUCAAAUGAAUGACAAGCAUGCUAUUUAUAAUAAACUAACCCUAAUCCUAAAAAGGUAAGAAACCGAAACCCUAAUGUUAACGGGCUAAGCCCAGAAAACCAAAUAUUCAAAUAAACUAAAAUCCUAAUAUUUUCCAACACCCCGUCAAACUCAUGGCGGUAUACGACAUGGGUUUGCAAACAAGCAGAUGCGGACUAGCUUCGUUAGGCAAACUGGUAGGCAUGCAAACUUGACUUGACUUGACUGGCGAACUUGACUUGACUUGAUUCUUGAUUGCAAACUGGCAAACUAAUUCUUGGUUCUUGACUAGCUAGUGUUGAGAGUAUGGAAAUAACCCGUCACUAAACGGACGAGAUUUCCAUACCUCAAUUGUACCAACAAACGAACAACACCAACAACUUGUGUGGACCAUCAAACCAAAAAAUGGGUGGCAAACAGCCAACAACCCACUUUUCCUCUCUGCCCGUGUGGGCCAAAACAAACUUAACCAAUUUUUUAUUUUUCCAUUUUCUUGUGUUUUUUUUCUCCUUUUUUUUUUCUUUUACAAUGAUACAGACUUGCUGGUUGCUUCUGCAGGUUGCAACAGCAAGCUUCAAGGGUGCAGAAGCAGCGUCAGUGCAACUAGUUUCAUCAAAUCCAGUGCGGAUGGGGAGGUCAGACUAGAGUGGUGGCGGAUGCAGAUUAGCGGAGGAGGAGGAGGACCAAGGCAGCUGCAAGCGGCUGAAGAGGAUGAGGGACCAAGGUCAGAUGGAUUGAUGGUGGUGCGGCAUGCGAGCAGAUGGGAUCCGGGUCUGGUACGAUGCGGGGACGGCGACAACAAGACAGGCAGAUGGCGAGGGAGGAUUUGGAGGAGGAGAAGGUUCAGGGCUAGGUUGCGGGCAGGAUCUAGUGCGUGGACUUGACUGGUCUUACUGCACGAGGUGACUACAACUUCAAUUCUGAUUUUUUUUUUUUUUUUUUUCUUCUGCAAACUAAACCAAAGAUAAAAACAAGAAUACAUACUGACAAACAAAAUACCAACCCGACAAAGCAGAUUAAAUCCCGAAGGAUUGAACCUGCUCUGAUACCAAGUUAAAUAUCAGAGUGUGCAGCGAACGAGACUAACAAAAUAAUAGGAAUAUUAUUAAACAAACAAGAAUGCCGAAACGACUACAAAACUCCAGAAGGCUACGUUGUGACUAACUUAUUCUCAAAUGAAUGACAAGCAUGCUAUUUAUAAUAAACUAACCCUAAUCCUAAAAAGGUAAGAAACCGAAACCCUAAUGUUAACGGGCUAAGCCCAGAAAACCAAAUAUUCAAAUAAACUAAAAUCCUAAUAUUUUCCAACAAUAUUUACACACUCAAGGGGGAGUGUUGCAGUCCUAUCGGAUUAUGAAUGUGAUUGGGUAAAUCCUAGUGUAUUUAGGAGUACCUUGUUUUUUCUCCUUAGUAAUUUAACUCCUAUUAGAGAUGUAAUCCUAUUAGAGUAAGGAUUCUACCUAUCCUACUACUAUGAAUAAAGGCAUAAAGGGAUGAUACAACACACACCUCAUAAUUAAAUCUCUCUCUUCUCUCUCUGUUGCCGCCGGCCUCUCUCCUUCUCUGUCCUUUAUACAGUUCAGUCAAAUAGGCCUACAACACACACUUAAUUUUUAUACACCUUUGUCUUUAUACAUCCUCACUUGAAUUUUUAACUUUCUUCCGACAUCCAACUAAAAUUUAAAAUAUUCCUAGAUAAAUCCUAAACUACAAAUUAUUUAUGUAGAAUAAAAAGUUAUAAUAAAAUAUAAAUCAAAUAAAAAGGUGCAGCACAGUUGCAGUGCAUUUCGCAGAAUGAGCAGAUUAUUUCAAUGCAUGUUGUUUUAUGUAGAAAUUGAAAUAGGUAUGAGUAGGUGGUAUUGAGUCAAAUAUUACUUGUACUGCUAUAAAAUAGUUUGUUACAGUUGUAACAAACUACUUGUGUUAGUUAGGGACUUGUCUGUAAUUAGCUAGGUUAACUAAGGGUAGAAGGGUCAUCAGAUUUGUGUCUCUAUAUAUACCAAAACGUACACUGAAAUUAUUUAUGAAAUGAAAUCAAGAUAUUUUCUUGCAAAUGCAGUUUUCUUAUAAGCUAAGCUUUCUAUAUGGUAUCACUCACCAACUGCCUCACGGCUUGUUAACAUCUUAAUCCUUUUCCGCUUUGGUGUUCAUUGAAUUCUUGCUGGAAUUCAUCUCUGAAUUCCUAAUUUCUCAUUGAUGGUGUGUAUUUCUUCAUCUUAAUUUCUCAUAUUCAUCUAUGAGAAAAAUAGUCAUGACAGAUUCUGCCACAAAAAUCUAAAAAUGUGAAUAAUUAAUAUAUGCAAGACAAAAAAGAGUGAUUAUCAUUUCUCAAGAAAAUAUAUCAAAAAUUCUUCUUCUCGAAUAUAUUAAAUAGUAGCGCACAACUGGUGUAACCUUUUAAGUUACACAUAUUUGAAAGGAAAGGAAGGGAAAUGUAGAUUUAUAUUUUAAGUCAACGCACUAUUGAACAUUUUAAGAUGGAGCGUAAUCCAAUGGUCCAUAAGGCUCAAAUAAUUCAGCAAAUAGUCCCUUCUUUCUUUUAGGGUUCCAUCCCAUGUCCUUGCACAACUGGUCAUUGUACCAUAUAUGAACGGUACCGUUGCAUGAUCUCCGAUAGUAUUUGCCCGCGUAUCGCUUUGCGAAUCCGUCCCAUUCGUUCACAUCUUUCUCCAUCUCUUUUAUGCUUGGUAACGUAAAUGUGCCUCCAAGAAGCUCAGCUACCCACCUGCAUCUCAUCUCGGAGGUGCACAAGUUUGAAAGACUCUCGGAAAAUCCAAUUACGGCUAGUUGUGGAAUUCGUCCAUGUAUGCAUUCCCUGAUUGAAAUAGAAGCAUAAUGAGUCAUCAGAUUAAUAAAACGACCAAAUAUAUCUACGUGUGCACGCCACAUUUACUGAUCACUUGUCUCACAAAAUUAAGACCUAGCUAGAUAUAGAUGGGACUCGGACUAGAGUUAUGUGAGAGAUGUGAUCAACAAAUGUGGUAUAUUUGGCAUAAACUUGCCGCAAUGUGCUUUCAGAGGAGCUAACCUGUAGAGGGGUAAUAUGGCCUCCGGCGAACCAGCUAUAUAAUCCUGAAAGGUAGGAGACGCAAAGAUGUCUUUGAGCUUUUUAUCACCUCUAAACCCAGUAGCGAGUAUCACCAAAUCUGUCUUCACAGGGGAUACUUCCCCUUCAACCAAAACGCCUUCCUGGCAAAAGCUGAAGCUGCUGGGGGAUUUUUUCAGUAUGAUGCUUCCCUCUUGGACUCGAUCGUAGAACUUUUCCGGUAUUGUUGAGAUCAGACAAGAACUAAUUUCUUGAAGAAAACAAUGCUUAGGUACCAUUCCGUACUUGGCCAACCCAAGCUUCUUAGUUACGUAGCUUUCAACAAAUUUUGAAAAUCCCCAUCUCUGUUAUAAUUCACAAAAUAUAUUCUUAAUAAACUCCCUCUUUUUACAAAUAGAUUAAUACUAAGUUCAUAAAAGAUAAGUUGAUGACGCUUUACCGCAGUGUUGGCAAGUAAGCAACUCAUACCGUGAGGGUUUGAACCUCACUGAUUCCCCUUCCCUAACAACUAAUUAUUUAACCUACAACAUUAUUGCUUAUAAAAAAAUUCAUGAAAAAUAAAUAUAAAAAAGUUUACCAGAGGUGAAAGAAUUGUUGCAAGGAGACCAAGUAGGAUGCCUUCACCAGGCUUAUGAAUCAACAGCUCCGAGAAGCGAUUAACGUAUAGGUAUGUCAGGGGAACACCCCAUGGAAGAUAGUCAGGAAGAGUCCAAUGCUCUGUCUUGUAAAUUACUGUGCAUGGAUGUUCAAUCCCUGCAAACCAACCAAUUAAUCAAGAAGAAUAGGUAAUACAAACUAUGAACAAAAUGAUCACAAUAUUCUGGGCACAUGCCAUGUGACAAUCAAUUAAUUUUCACCAAACUAGCUACCAUUUGCGUUCGAACACUCCAUUGCAAUGUCCAGUGCAGAUUUCUGAAAUCCAACAACUGUUACACGCUUUCCUUUCACGAAGUUACGCGCUCUUUCGUAAUCCAUUGCGGCGUAAUCCUUUGAGUGUAUAACCUCCCCAUGAAAUGCUUCUGGCCCCUUGUUGAAAGGGAAUUCAGGAAUGUUUGGAACAUCACUAAACCGUCCGAUGCAGAGGAUCACAAAGUCCACAAGGUACACCUGCUUAUGCAUAAUCAGAUCAGUAUGACUUUAAAAUUGACAGUAUGAAAGCAUAACAUAAUUAAAUUCGAAAGGAUAUAUACAUAUAUCUAUGCAUGUAAAAAUGAGAAAGCACCUCCGUUGAACGGCUAUGUUUGUCUUCUACUGCAACUUUCCAUUUCCCUUUGGAGCUGAAAGGCUCUCCAGUUCCACCCCAGUGACUCCAAGCCUGCAUCUCAUCCUCAGAUGCACCUUCAUACUCGAUCCCACACACUUUGGUGUCGAAUUUGAUGUGCUUAAGCAAGUCAAAAUGUUGAGCAUAUGAUUGGAUGUAAUCCAAACUUGAUGCUGGCUAGGAAAGUCCUCUUCCACGGAAGAUGGCCAUGGAAAAUCUGAGAAUUGGUAAAGCGGUUUAGGAGUUUGGAGCUUGGUAGACUCAACAGUUUUAAUCCACACUCCUCCAAUGCUGCUCGUAGAUUCAAACACAAUAGGUUGAAAUCGCUUUGAAAGUGUGUACUUACAGGCAAGGAGGCCACUAAUCCCAGCUCCUACAAUGGCCACCUGCUUUCCCAUUUCUGAAAGUGUUGGAUAUCAGUCACUGUAUGCUUUUGAUUUUAUACCGUAUUCAUUAAUAAAUGGGAGGAUGUAAUUAAAAAUAAUUUCGUGCCGACGUGAAUUUUAGAUGUGUGCACUUUCAAAAUGACACGUGUCGUUUUUUAUAGGAUUAGUUAGUAUAUUAGGUACUCCUAGUGUGACCAAGUAUUGUCCAAAAAAUAAUGAACAUGCUAUGUAAUUUUUUUGGACUUUAAAAAAUAAGAAACACGUAGUAUUUUUUGAUUGGGUUAAGUUAAAAAGUGGGUACAUAGAGUACUUACUAGUUAGUAUCUAAGGUAUUAUUCUUGUUCUUUCUUAAUAUACACAAUAUUAUCGACAUUUACAGGUGUGUGAGUAAAUUAAGCCUCAUAAUGAGCUAGCCAUAAUAAUUUGGUUCACAUUCGUCUUUGGGAGAAUCGAACUUAACUAAGACCUUUUGUUUACAAAUAAAAAAAAAUUCAUUAUACACUAAUACUAAGUAGCUAUCCUCAUUCUUUUAACAAACUAACUUAAACACACUUAAGCCAAACAAAAUACAAUUAACUUAACAAGCAGUUUGUGAUUUAAUUCCAACACAAUAAGGUUUGGCGCCGAGCCCAAUCUGAGACAAGAGUUGGCGGCUAGGAUUUUCUACUUUAAGAGCGCGUUUACUAAUCCGUAAUCAAAUUGAGAGGAAUUGAAUUGACGAGGAAUUUGAUUGAGAAGGAAUUGAAAUGAGGUGGAAUCAGAAUCAGAUUCAUGUUGAAGUUGUUUACUAAAACUGUCUGGAAUCGAAGUAGGAAUAAUGUUGAGUCCAUAUAAGCUGUUUACUAAUUCACUUCAAUUGGAAUGAAAACUAAUUUGAUUACUAUAUUGCCCUUACAUAAAUAAAUUAUUUUCAUACUAAUUAAUUAAAUUAAAUUUAUAUAAUAAGAUAAAUAACAAAAACGUAAAAAACAAAAAAGAGAGGAAAUAAAAUCAUUAAAGCCAUCAUCAUCUUCCCCAUAUCUUCACGCUUGAAAUUAAUCUUUCUUCUUUCUCCUCCUCUUCCUCCAUUUUCUAUCUCUAAUUACAGAACCCUCAGUCCACAGUAUUCAGAACCCCUACCCCGCAUCUAGGGUAUUUAUCCAGAACCCCCAUCCAAUCUCAGGAGGAUGCCACAACCCAUCACAUCAAUAGAAAAAUAAAAAAAUAAAAUAGAAAAAACCGGUUUUCAUAGAGCGAAAGUGAUAAGGAGAUCGUUCCUUCCAUUCGGUUUCGGUAGAAUAUGAGAAGUUUUGGCCCGCUGCAAAUCACAAUUUUCCUCUCAAUUGAAUUUGUGAAAUGACGAUUUAGGUGUUCAUUGUUCCAAAUCACAAUCGUCGUUGAGGCAUCGUUCCAGAUCGCGACGGUGGGGUGUAUUUGCUGUGAGAGAAACACACAGGGAGGGGAGGGAGUGCAAAUGAAUAUUUUGGGUAGAAAAUUUUGAUUCCUGAUAUAACCUUCUACCCAACUACCCCUAUAGAGGCAAUCCAAUUCCAAGAUAUUAAGGAAUUGAACUCCUGAUAUUGGGUAGGCCUUACAUAAUUUCUAAUUCCUUACUUGCUGGUAAACGCCAGAAUACUUUGCGAGGAGUGCAAUUCCGUUUCUCCACAUUCCAACUCCGAUUGGUAAACACGCCCUAAGGGUUUUUAUUCCCACGGGAGGGAGCUUUUUUCCAUCUUACAUAUAUUUAAUUAACCUUAAAUAAUGCUGCAAAAUGUUUUUGUUAAAAAUAAAUGAAUAAAUAAUUAGUGUUUUUUGUUUAGUGUACAUUCUAGUAGUAUUCUUCUUCACUUGUAAGCGAGAUGUUUUAGGUUCAAUUUUCGCAAAAUGAAAGCUUAAAUUACAUUAUUGUGUUUAGCCAAGUGUGUGGCUUAAUGCACUCUCCCAUCCUCUUAGUGUAAAUGAUAUAUUUUGUUAAAAAAGUAGUUGAAUGAGUACUUGCAACCAAAAUUUAAAUAUGUUAGCUUGGAUUAUUCCUAGGAACUUGGUUCUCUCGUACAAUUAAAUAUGUAUAUGAAGCCUGUAAAUUUUUAUAUCCACAAAUGAUUCAUAUAAGUAUAAGUGGCGUAUCAUCAAUCUAAGUGUUUUAAGCGUUUACCCAAUGGACAGUUCCUUUUGGACGACGUACGUCAAAUAAGGUGGCAGAUAGAUUGGCGAGGCUGGGUCUCACUCUUGAUACUCCACUUACUUGGUUGAAGAAUCCCCUGUGGCACAUAGAUUGGUGAGGCUGGGUUUCACUCUUGAUACUCCACUUAAUUGGUUGAAGAAUCUCCUGAUGUGAUUUCUAAUCUUCUCAUCAAGGAUAGUAACGUUUUGUAAUCUAUUAUGGUGUAGACUCUUUUUUCCUUAGACCAGGUUGAAAUUCCCGACAAUAUUUUUUUUUUCGAGGCCCAUUGUAUGCACCCUAUUCCCAAUUAUUGUACGUAUUCUAUUACUUAUCACUGAAUAUCGUACUGUUUUCAAAAAAAAAAAAUGAUAAGUACUUGCAACCAUAAGUUGUUUUCAAUGAUUCAUAUAAUUUUCGUUCUCUCCUAUAUAAAAUGUAUUUGAGAUUCUGAAGCCUGCAAAAUUGUUAAAGUGUAUACCCAAAAGUAAUUACUUCCUCCCAUUUAUAUCAAACACAAAGUACUCUAUAUCAAACAAUUAAUUAUCAAAAAUGGGAAAGCUGGUGGCCAUUGUAGGAGCUGGGAUCAGUGGCCUCCUUUCCUGCAAGUACACACUUCAUAGGGAUUUCAGCUCAUUGUGCUUGAAUCUUCAGGCAAGUACAUUGGUGUAGAAUUAUGACUCCUUAAAUUAAUCAUGUACGAUCUCUACAACAUUAUAGGAUUUGAGAAAACUCAUAUGAAGUAGGAAUCCUAAAUUAAGUACAAUUGAUAUUGCAUUCCAUUAAUCACGGAGAUGAUUCCGGAUUAUUUUCUAUUCUUCCAACUCCCCACCACAAACUGAAUGAUCCUUAGUGUACAAGUUUCGAACAAAAUACACCAUGACGUGGCUGAUGAAGAGCUUUUGUAAGAAGGUUGGCAGGCUGAUUGACAGAAGACAUGUAGCAAACGCGAAGACUACCGAGAGCCACAUUUUCACCAACAAAAUGAUAAUCAAGUUCAAAUUGGCAAAUAUGAGCAUGAUGAACUGGAGUAGCAGCAAGAUAGGUGGAACUAAGGUUGUCACACUAAAGUAAAACUAGAAAAUAUAGCUGAACCCCAAGUUCACAAAAAGCAAAAACAAAGUCUUGUAGUCUCGGCACAAGAAUGACCAAGAGACCGGUAUUUAGAUUCACCACUAGAUGGGGUCACUGUCGGUUGAUAUAAAGCACCAAGAGAUAAUAUUUGUGCUAAGAUAAAUGAGGUAACUAGUGGUGGAGCGAUGAGUAUCUUGACAACCCGCCCAAUCAGCAUCAAAAUAAGUAAAUAAUUUUGCAGAAGCAAGCUGGGGAGUCAAAGUGAUGUCAAAAUCCAUAGUACCUUUGAUGUAACGGAGAAUCUAUUUGGCAGCAAUCAUGUGAAUAGUACGAGGUGAACUCAUAAAUUGAGCAACAUUAUUAAUAGCAAAAGAUAUGUCAGGGCGAGUUAAAGUAAGGUAUUGUAAGGAGCCAACUAACUCACGAUAGGAUGUAGGAGAAGCAAGGAGAGACCAAGAUUCUAAACGACGCUAGGCGCUAAUCAGGCGGCGGGCUGGAGUCUAGCGCCUAGGCGGAUUAGGAAGAUUUAAGUGAAUUUAUUAUAUAUUGUAUAAACAAGUGCCUAUUUAUACAUAAUAAAGACAUAAUUGUAUAUAUAAAUUGCAAAAUAAAAUGACAUAUAGAUUAUAAAGUAUCAGAAAUAUUGAAACUAUGGGGAACAAGCAUAUAAUGAGUGUUAAUCCAAGUGUUCAACAAGUCCCUAACAUUUUAUUGAAAAAAUAAAAUGCAAAAUGAAAAUUACAUAUUUUUUUAUCUAAGUGAGAGUAGCUACCUAGACGGGUGCCUAGAUGGGUUUAGGUGGGUUAGGAGGGCGCCUAGGCAGGCUAGGCGGAUACCUAAGCAAGUCUAGGCAUACCUUCUUAAUUGUCAAAUGCCUAGAGACUAAUCGGGAAGGUGACCAGCCGCCUAGCACCACUAGGUGAGGCCUAGGCGGUGCUGGGUGGGAAUUUUUAGAGUAGUGAGAGAGACCCAUUAGACGUUGUGAGAGAUACCUUAGUGAUAAGAGGCUUGGAAGCGGGUUUCAAGGAAACCAUGUCAAAUAUUUGAGAAGGAUCAUGAUCAUACUUUAGUUGAUAGAUGUGAGGACUAGUGGAAUCACUAAUGACCUGAAGGCCAAAAAUAUAAGUAAGAGGACCCAAAUCUUUGAUGUCAAACUACUAUCCAAGAAGAGCGGUGAACUGAGUGAGAAGCUUCGGAGACUUAUUGUAAUCACAAUAUCUUCGACAUACAAUAAUAAAUAAAUGGUGUAGCUAGGAAGCACAUUGAUAAAUAAAAAGGAAAGAAUCAACUCACUGUAACAUCAAUGCAUGCGGAGACAUGUAAUUCACGAGACCAAAUAUAAUCACUAACAUGAAGAUGAUGACAUGUUACUAAGAUUAGAGUUCUUCUGCAACUCUCCUAUUCUGUAUGCGAAGCCUCAAGAAUGGGGUUUGAGUUUUUGUAAGCUUGGGUGUUUAGAGAGAGUACAGGGACCCUAAUAUAUAUACCAUACACAGUGGUAAUCAACUAGGACUCUUCCACUACUAAAUUAAACAAUUUGCAUGACUAGGGACAUUUUGUCGCGCAAAGAAUUAAACUAUGGCGACCAGAAAAUCGUCGCGCAAAGCUCGUGAAAAAAGACAUUGCAUGACGAACAUCUUCAAAUUUGUUGCGCAUCUUAACAAUUGCGCGACACUUUACCAAUCGUCGCGCGAAAGUUAUAUGAACAAAGGUUAUCGUCGUACGAUAUAAACGAGUACAAGUGCGUUUGUGGGUAAUUUGUCUCAAAACGUUUUGUGUGAUGAAAUCUAUAGUGGGCGCGUGGUAAUGCGCAACGAAGAAUAAGACGCGCUUAAUUUUCCGCGACGACAUUUCGUUGUUGCGCACAUGUAAAAAAUAGAAUAAAAGGAAAAAAAACUGAUUUCAUAGUAAUGAGAAAGAAAAAAAAAAGCAAAUUAAUGAAUAAUUUUUUAUUUAUUUAUAAUAUAAAUAAAAAUGUACGUACAAAUAUCAAGUUUUUUAAAAAAAGGGAACAAAACUACGAAAAUAAAGAGGCAAAAUCUAUAGGCAUGUCAUUCAGAGAUGCUUGGUAAUCUUGAUGUUGGUUGGGGAUGGGGUCGGAGGUCGACGGGCCUGAUUGCUGUGCUUGCUCGGUGUGGAAGGGCUGUGGGGGCGAUGGUGUAGAAAAAUCGGGGAGAUGUAUUCCAGAGGAAUUGAAGGCUUGUACAAACAUUGACAUUUGAGACUUGUACGAUGCCAGCUUACUCCUUAGUCCAGCGACUUCCUGCAUCAAAUUCGUAACCUUGGUCUUUGACUGCGAGGAUGACGAGGCUCCAGUCUCCUGACGCCUGGCAUUUCCCAUCCCCCGAAAAUAUGUCCCUGGCCUCUGACCGAAAGUCUGGUCCAACGUCUCUAUGAUGAUAUGAAACCCUGCAUCCUAAGGGGGAUCCACAGACUCGAUCGGCGUGUCCGAGGGAAGGUGGGAAGCGGAUUCCUGAAGCACCACCUGUCGCUUCUCCACCAUAGUUGCCUAUGAAAAAAAAACAUGGAUUAUUAAUAGAAAACAAUUUAAAAGAAUUAGUAUAAAUGUUAAAUGCAUAAGAAAUUACUUACAUGAAGGGACUGGGUUAACUCUGUUACACCCACCCCUAAUUUAAAUUGUAUUUUCACUAAGUUUGAGAUUAUCUUGCUUUUAAAAUGGUUUUUGAGUCUUAAAUGGUGUGUCCAAAGGGCCCACCCCCUGUUUUGUCCCCCGGUUCCCUUUCCAUUUUCUUUUAUUUUUCUGAAAGUCUUCCUCUUUUCUCUCCUCUCCCUUACUCUCUGUUUCUUUUUCUCAUUCACCGUGCCACACCCAUAACCCAAAUCCUAAAAUCAUCAUCAAAUCACAAUUCCAACAUCACCAUCGUCUUUAUCUCAUUGCUACGAACUCAACCAUAGUCUUGGCAUCUUGGAAGUCGAACCAUAAAGCCCCGUACACGAGCUCUGACAUAGACCGCCCCUUUCGAGGCAAAUUUCGGCCAAACCACAAAGAGUUGGCCAGCGUGGAAGUUAUCAAUCCCUUCGUCUCGCUGAGAACUACAACUUUCCAUUUGUUUCACCCAAUUUCGUUGAGUAUUGAAGAAGUUAUACUCAUUUGAAUCUUACCCAGUUUCCGGCGACCUCCGAGGCUUUCGAGGCAUUUUUCGGUCAAACCACGGCGAGUUAGAUGUUGUGUGAGGUACCAUUCUAUUGUUCUAUUCAAGGGCUAAAAUUUCUGCAGUUGAAUCACUUGAUUUCGUUAAGUAUUGACAAAGUUAUGAGGGUUUAAAGUUCAUUCCGAUUUCCGGCCGAACUCCGGCCUUCUUCUUCCUUGGGUCCGGCGACCCAUCAAGCACAGGCCUUUUAGGCCACCUCAGAGACCAUUGGGCCUUACGCCCGUUUCAGACCCAAGCCCAAGUCCUUUUCUUUUAUUUAUUAAUUGUUUUGGUUUAAUUAAUUGUUAAAGGCCUUUGGGCCUUAUCUGGAAACCCAAAACCAUUUCCAAAUUAGGCCUUUGGGCCCGUGUAGUUUAAACCCUAACCCAACCCACCUAUUUUUCCUAAACCCUAAACUCUAAUUCUAAAACCCAAAAACCCAAAUUCUAAACAUUUAUCCCUAUUUUUACCUUAAACCCAUUUCCCAUAAACCCUAAACCCUAAAGCCCUAAACCUAAACCCUAACCCUAAACCAGCCAACUAAGUUUGACCAAACCGAUUGACCUAUUGACUUUGACCCGUUGACUUUGACUUUGAUCGGUCAACGGUUAACGUUGACUUUUCAGGUUUUCGUCCAAGACCCUUCCAAGGCUAAUUUCGACGUCCUAGACCCGUUUUUGAGGUCUGUUUUCCCAAAUUCAAUCGUUUGAGUAGAGUUUGACUAAAUAUACCAUUUAUGUGCUUAGGGGCAAUUAUAGUGGUGUUUCUGUCUUCGCAGUUGUGUGGCUCUUCGACAACGAAGUACUGUGAGUGGACCCCUUCUAAAAAUGCAUGUUUUGAUAGUAGAAAUGCAUACAUGAAAAGCAUGAUUUAACAAUUAUAUUUUAUGAGACGCUUUGAGAUAAGAUGCUUAUUGAGGUAAUUUUGAAUUAUUACUAUUUUUCCUAUAACCCAUGUUCUUAUAGAAUAUCCGAUGGAUGACGAUAUGAUAUUUAGAAUAUGUUUCGAACACCUCUUUAUAGUAUAGAUGAUGGAUGACUUUAUACUAUGAAGUUGCUUUUCAAGAUAUAUAUGUUCAGUGGUUUUGUACUUAUCUAGUGGUCAUUUCCGCUACGGGACGUAUGGAUAGAUUCUGGUCCAUCUCGGACGACGGUUUGAUGUUGGCAUAGGGCCUGGAGUGUGUUUCCUCUUGUUAUUUAGCAUAAGGAUGGGGAGCCGGCAUGGGGCUUGAAGUGUAUUUUCUUUUGACUGUCUGCUCAAAGAUGGGGAGCCGGCAUAGGGCCUGGGGUUAUUGGACAAUUCACUAGUGAUUAUUAUAUAUACAAGUUAUGAUUUGAGACAUUGCACGGCAUGCUAGGUUUCGGAAAACCUAUGUUUAUCAUUAUAUAUGUGUUUUUAUAAAAUCUGGGGGUUAGUACGUUGAUAACUGUUUUAUUAUAUCUAUAUCAAAUUGGUCCACUCAUUUUUGUUUUGCGCCCCCUUCAGGACUUAGAAUCGAGGCAUACAAUCCCGGCAUCCAGGCACUUCCACAUCGGUAUCUUCGAGUCCUCUCGGUGUAGGAUCCAUCCUUCGUUUCAUUCUAAUUUUAUAUUAUUUCCUUUAGUGUUCUAGUUAAUUGUAUGCUCUGAACACGUUCCUUAAAUGCAUAUUCUUUAUUCUUUUAUAUUUACAAACCUUAUCUAUUCCUUGGUCCCAGCAUUUGCAUUCAAUAAAUGGCUUUCGUCACCCUUGGGUGUCGGCCAACACGUGCUUAUCCUGGUAUUUAGGGAAUAUCAGGAUCGGGGUAUAUCAGAUUGGUAUCAGAGUGUGGUUUGUUCAGAGCAUACUUAGGAUAUUUUCUUACUCUAGUAGUGUGUUGGUUUUGACAUCAUUUGGAUGUCACGACUUCCGGAUUUGGUGCCAUUUGGCGUAGUUGUGCAAAUCUUCUAAUUUUGAAUUGUCACUUUCUGGUUGAAAUACAAGAACUCGUGUCAGGAUUGUGCCUCAUCGGUGACGUGUUUGAUUUGUUGAACAACUUUCAACUUCAGAUCGAUACUCUGUGACGUGCAUUCCCUAGGAAUGACAGGCAAAGUCGGUGUUACUUGGAAACGGCGUGUUUUAGAAAUCUCAGUUUAAGGAAGUUUGGUCAAGACCAACUGUAGAACCGAAAUGGCGAUACCACUCUGCAACAUGCGUUCCCUAGGAAUUGCGGGCGGAGUCGGCUCUACAUCGAAAUCUUGGGAAACGGAAAAAUCGUGGUGGUACAAAUUGGUUAAGACUAACUGGAGACCUGAAGCGAUGAUAUCACUCUGCAACAUGUGUUCCCUAGGAAUGGCGGGCAGAGUCAUAUCUCUUGGAAAUUGCUUGAAACUUUCGAAAUGCGUGUUAGAAAAAGCGAGUAAGUGCUAGUUGUAACGACGGUUAGUAAGUGGUAGUUGGUGGGAGCAAAUCAAUGUUCUCAGACUCAUUACCACUGAAGAAAUUUGUGUGAAUCUUUAUAACAAUUCUCGAUGAUUGUUUUAUCGAUUACCUUCUUGCUUAUUCCAACGACGAAGUCAAGUUCAUUGACCUUUGACCGUCAGCUUAACACCAAAUUCUUCGAGUGUUGACUUCGUUUACAUUAAUUGUUUUUCUUGGGAAACUCCUCAGUAAUGGACGAUAUCCUCAUCAAUUUCCCAAAAUGGAGUUGCAAUUCUUGUUGUGGUAGUUGGACUUGGAUAAUGAAGAUCCAGUUUUGUUUGGAUAAUCAAACUCCUUGAAUUUCACCUGGAUUUGGUACUCGAUGAUAAACCCUAGCUUCUAGUUCUCGAACUUUUUAUAGAGGUGAACUUAGCCUCUUGCUUGUAGCUCAACUGACUAAUGUUCUUGUCCAUUAAUUGUUCAGCCCUGUAAUUUUCAGUGUAAUGGUUGGAGAUUCCACCAUAUUCAUCAUUGUACGAAGAUCGAGCUUUACUCUGAACUUCUCUGGACUCAUUGAGCUUUGAUUUGCUCAGAGGCAUCACUUUAAGAUAGCCAAUCGUGUCACUGCAUGCAUACGCAGGCUGCUUCGUAUCUUUCUUCUUCAUCAUUUUGUUGAUUAAGAGGUUUUAUGUUUAAUUUUUGAACUUUGAAACAGUUCUCACAAAGUAUUGGGAAUUACGAAAUGUCUUUGGCCUUGUCAAAUCUUAUAAGCAGUUCUUAACUAUUCUUGAGCUUAGACCUAUUUCCUUUUGGCUAAGAAAUCAGUUGACCUUACUAUGAUGAUUUACCAAAUAAUCAGAAACAGUGACUUCUAUUUCUACAUCUUUACCUUCCUUCGCUUGUUUGUUUCUCAAUGUGAAAUGGAUCAUGCUGAAACAUUAUACGGAGGGUGUAAAAAAAAAAAACGUUUGUUCUCGGCAUGGUUCCUGGUUCAAAUCUCAAUAUCUUGUACUCUAGAUUUUAAUGGACUUGUUUUAACCCUUAAAUUCUUGAGUGUUCUUUCAGCCUUCUCGACAUGACUUUUCACUCAAUCAGUGAGAAAUUCACGAUCAAUCUUUUUGGCGAAAGUGUGCACCCAGUUCAUGUCGAUUCGUACAGGAACGUUAGGAGCAUAAUCUUUUGACAAGCUUACCAGACUUACCAGAAAGAGUUCCUCGUGGGUGUGAAGUUUGAGUUGUCUUUUGGUAAGAUACUGGUGAAGAUUAUGGUGCAGAUGAUUAGCAGAUUGCAUCACUAUCUUCACGCUGAAUUGAAUGGUCACCACUCAUUAUCUUGCUACAAUUCAUAACCAUCAUAUCUUACUCUGGUAGACCUUUUCGAUGAUGUGAUGUGUUUGCCUCAAUGCAGCUUUACACUACCUCUCACCAGGAUCUUUCGAUUCAAGAGCACGUGGGCGUGAGGUUUGAGCGGUCUUUUAGUAAGAGUUGGUUGAAGGUUUUAGUACAGAAGGUCAGCAUAUUGUAUCACCAUCUUACUAUAAUUCAUGGGCAUCACAUCGGUUAUUUUCCAACGUUAUUUGUUCGUCUCAACGCAUCUUUUCACUGCUUCACUCCAAGACUCUUUUGUUUGUGAAUACGUGGUUGCCAAAACACUUCUAGCAGAUUUGUUUGGUGCAUUCUAGGAUGGCACUACAGCACGAUCGAGGCGAGAAUUGGAUAAUCUUUACACUUCUCUCGAAAUGUGUGUGCUCUCUUUGGUUGUUAGGAUGAUCAUUUGCAAGUUCUUCUUUCCACCAACUUUGACCUUGGUUGACUACAAAUAUGCAACUAAGCAAAAAUAGAGAGGUGUAUUGAGCACUACAACAGUUCUUAAAAGAUACUGCGUGUUGAGGAAGAUGACUUCUCGUUUUCUGCUUGCUUGGUUCGAGCUUUUGGGUCUACUACUAACAUGAUAGCCACUUCUUUUGAAUCUCAAGGUACAGUUUUCAAAUGGGUUCUUUACUGGUGAAACUUUGGAGUAAUUGGUCACAUUUGGAAGAACUAAGGAGGAUAUGAUGCUUGGUGAUGGAUAAAGUUUUACGACAACAGUUCUUAUUUUGUUCGGUUUGAGUAUGGCACUUGUUACGGCAUGGUACGAGAGUUGCUACAUGCAACAUUGGUUGAUAGAGGAGUAGUGCGAACUUGUAUUUGGAGGAUUGAAUUUUCGACGUGUGAAAUUGUGCACCCUCAAGAAAUUACUGCUUGCUUACCAAGACAACAAAUGUGCGAUAGAUAUCGCGGGCGGUCGACUGUGGUAUUGAAAACUUAUUUGUUGGGUUCGUUGAGCAAGUGAGCAGAAAGAUCUAUCUACAGCAGCUGAUACAGUUUUGGAUUUGUUAUUCUUGGGACUCGAUCCAAAGACACAUCUAUUCUUGGAAUACGUGAGGUUACGAAUUCUUGGGCGACACCUUUUCUCAUUUUUCAAUCUUGGUUUUCAGUAUAAGUAUUUUAACUUCCUUUACUUUAGUUUUUUUUUUUUUCAUUACAAAUGUUUUGGGGAAGUAUUUUUGUUUUCAGUUUUUAAGUUCAACUCGAGUUUUCGACCUAUAUGUUAGUACAUAUCUAUUUUUGACGUUAUAGUAUCUUGCUACUUAUUUUUGACCUUACUUCAAUAUAUGUUUUCGACUUUAUAUCUUAUUAAAGUAUGUUUUCUACUUUUACACUGAUGGGGAAGAAAGUAAGAGCUUUGAGGCAUAAUAGAGGAUUUUGCAACCUGCUCGCGACGGUGUGGCAUAUUCUCUUUGAUGCACCCACUCUGACUUGAUUUCUCUUUAUACAUAUAUUCUCCUUACUAUUUUCGAGUAUUUCAGUUUAGUAAGUGAUUUUAAAUUUCGAGGACGAAAUUCUUUUAAGGGGGAUAGAUGGUUACACCCACCCCUAAUUUAAAUUGUAUUUUCACUAAGUUUGAGAUUAUCUUGCUUUUAAAAUGGUUUUUGAGUCUUAAAUGGUGUGCCCAAGGGGCCCACCCCCUAUUUUGCCCCCCGGUUCCCUUUCCAUUUUCUUUUAUUUUUCUGAAAGUCUUCCUCUUUUCUCUCAUCCCCCUCACUCUCUCUUUCUUCUUCUCCUUCACCGUGCCACACCCAUAACCCAAAUCCUAAAAUCAUCAUCAAAUCACAAUUCCAACAUCACCAUCAUCUUUAUCUCAUUGCUACGAACUCAACCAUAGUCUUGGCAUCUUGGAAGUUGAACCAUAAAGCCCCGUACACGAGCUCCAACGUAAACCGCCCCUUUCGAGGAAAAUUCCGGCCAAACCACAAAGAGUUGGCUGGCGUGCAAGGUAUCAAUCUCUUCGUAUCGCUGAGAACUACAACUUUCCAUUUUGUUUCACCCAAUUUCGUUGAGUAUUAAAUAAGUUAUACUCAUUUGAAUCUUACCCAGUUUCCGACGACCUCUGAGGCUUUUAAGGAAUUUUCCGGUCAAACUAUGGUCAUUUAGACGUUGUGUGAGGUAACAUUCUCUUCGUAUCUUCGAGGGCUACAAUUUCUGUUUUUGAAUCACUUGAUUUCGUUAAGUAUUGACAAAAUUAUGAAGGUUUAAAUUUCGUUCAGAUUUCCGGCCUUCUUCUUCCUUAGGUCCGGCGACCCAUCAAGCACAGGCCUUUUAGGCCACCUCAGAGACCAUCGGGCCUUAGGCCCAUUUCAGACCAAGCCCAAGUCCUUUUCUUUUAUUUAUUAAUUGUUUUGGUUUAAAUUAUUAAGGGUCUUUGGACCUUAUCUGUAAACCUAAAACCAUUUCCAAAUUAGGCCUUCGGGCCGUGAGGAGAUUGGGCCUUUGGGCCCGUGUAGUUUAAACCCUAACCCAGCCCACCUAUUUUUCCUAAACCCUAAACUCUAAUUCUAAAACCCAAAAACCCAAAUUCUAAACCCUUCUCCCUAUUUUUCCCUUAAACCCAUUUCCCAUAAACCCUAAACCCUAAACCUUAAAGCCCUAAACCUAAACCCUAACCCUAAACCAGCCAACUAAGUUUGACCAAACCGAUUGACCUAUUGACUUUGACUUGUUGACUUUGACUUUGAUCGGUCAACGAUCAACGUUGACUUUUCAGGUUUUCGUCCAAGACCCUUCCUAGGCUAAUUUCGACGUCCUAGACCCGUUUUUGAAGUCUGUUUUCCCAAAUUCAAUCGUUUGUGUAGAGUUUGACUAAAUGUACCAUUUAUGUGCUUAGGGGCAAUUAUAGUGGCGUUUCUGUCUUCGCCAGUUGCAUGGCUCUUCGGCGGUGAAGUACUAUGAGUGGACCCCUUCUAAAAAUGCAUGUUUUGAUAGUAGAAAUGCAUACAUGAAAAGCAUGAUUUAACAAUUAUGUUUUAUGAGAUGCUUUGAGAUAAGAUGCUUACUGACGCUAUUUUGAAUUAUUACUAUUUUUCCUAUAAUCCAUGUUCUUAUAGAAUAUCCGAUGGAUGACGAUAUGAUAUUUAGAAUAUGUUUCGAAAACCUCUUUAUAGUAUAGAUGAUGGAUGACUUUAUACUAUGAAGUUUCUUUUCAAGAUAUAUAUGUUCAGUGGUUUUGUACUUAUCUAGUGGUCAUUUCCGCUACGGGACGUAGGGAUAGAUUCCGGUCCAUCCCGGGUGACGGUUUGAUGUUGGCAUAGGGCCUGGAGUGUGUUUCCUCUGGCUAUUUAGCACAGGGACGGGGAGCCGGCAUGUGGCCUGAAGUGUAUUUUCCUCUGACUGUCUGCUCAGAGACGGGGAGCCGGCAUAGGGCCUGGGGGUUAUCGGACAAUUCACUAGUAAUUAUUAUAUAUACAAGUUAUGAUUUGAGACAUUGCACGACAUGCUAGGUUUCGGAAAACAUAUGUUUAUCAUUAUAAAUGUGUUUUCAUAAAAUAUGGGGGUUAAUACGUUGAUAACUAUUUUAUUAUAUCUAUAUCAAAUUGGUCCACUCAUGUUUGUUUUGCGCCCCCUUCAGGACUGAGAAUUGAGGCAUACAAUCCCAGCAUCUAAGCACUUCCGCAUCAGUAUCUUCGAGUCCUCUCGGUGUAGGAUCCAUCCUUUGUUUCAUUCUAAUUUUAUAUUAUUUCCUUUAGUGUUCUAGUUAGGUGUAUGCUCUGAACACGUUCCUUAAAUGCAUAUUCUUUAUUCUUUUAUAUUUAUAAACCUUAUCUAUUCCUUGUUCCCAGCAUUUGCAUUCAAUAAAUGGCUUUCGUCACCCUUGGGUGUCGGCCAGCACGUGCUUAUCCUGGUAUUUGGGGAAUAUCAGGAUCGGGGCGUGUCAAACUCAUUCCCAGGCCGAACAUAAAUGUCACCAAAGAUGUCGAUCUCUGAAAAUUUUGAACCCUCCUAAAAUCGAAAAAGAUAAGAAAAAUGUUAAUAUGAAAAAAAAAAUUUAUUAGCGUCAUUUUAAAAUUGGAAAUGAAAGUUGUAAUAUAUACCUUCCGUCGCGCCACCAUCCUAUAGGAGAAAGACCUCGAACCCAAAUGGUGGAGAAUAGUCUUCUUCUCUCGAUUGAUCUUGUUCGCCUUCGCAUUCUUCUGUUAUACAAAAAAUAAACGUAUUAGUUGUAAUCGUUAAAGAAAAUAAAAAAAUUAAUAAUAAACAUUAUUAAAAAAUAAAAAAAGUAAAAUGAAAGAAGUCGUCAUUAAAAACGCACCACAUAUGUCGGGUCCAUAAAAUGAUCGCAAAGCCAAACCCAACUAUCUUGUCGGUCCUCCAACUCCUUCGGACAUCCCUCCUCAAGAGCGACCUGUGGAUCAUCAAACUCCUCGAACCAUUGGUGCAAGUUACUCUUCCACUGCUUGUAGUGUUCGAAGAAGAGCCGAUUGACAUACGCGAACUUGUCCUCGUCCAUGUGCUCCAAAUUGUAGUUUGUCUGCAAUAUAACAAAUAUUUUGAAAGCAUUAGUAAUAAAAGACACUAAUACAUAUAAAUAUAUAAAUUUUACAUGAAAAGCAUUAAAAAGCCGAUGCUACUUACAGACAAUUGAUUGCGCAUCGUAAUCUUCGUCUCCUCUGGCAUCGUCUUCCAAGACUUCCACAGCAUAGGGCAAAAGUUCCGCACGACAUGCCCAAUGUCGUGGGCCAAUGCACUAUGCUGCUCUGCCGUUGGUGCUGCCCGAUGUCGCUCAUCGUAUUCGAUUGGGAUACGAUCGUUGGUCACCCAGGUGACCUUCCCCGUCUUCAAUUGCCGACAAGGUCCCCGAGUGUUUUUCUUCACUGCAAAGGGAUGAAAAAAAAAUCAUUAACCCAUAACUAAUAACAAAUCCUAGUAAAAUUUUGGCAUGACCUCCCCUAUAAUAAAAACAUUUCCCAAAACCCUUAAAAUAACAUAAACAAUAUACAUAUCCAACACAAUGAUCACAACAAUUUAAUAAAAGGUUCGGAAUGAUAACUUUUUAAUCCUUACAUAACAUAAUAAAUUGAACCUAAAAUAAAAAAACUUAGUAAACAAGGGAAUGAGGGAGUGAAUUAGGAUUGUAUACAUGGCCGUGUACCAGAGGCAUCGGUUGUGGAUCCCGAUGGCGACAUCUGGUCCACAGUGUGGGGGCGUCGGUGAGUUCGUCUAGCGCUAAUAGGUAACGCCACCAAUGAAGUCAACGAUGCCUGCGUUUGUGGGAUUGGAGGACCAUAUGAGUGGACCGGAUUGAUCGGCCUAUGGACCAUCUUUGUCGGAGCAUUGGCGGUAGUAGUAGGUAUAGUCGUCAGACUAGGUGUAGCGGUCAGACUAGGUGUAUAAGUCAUCGACCUCCGGGUUCUGAUGAGGUGAGACAUCUACAAAAUAGGCAAUCAAUUUGUUUAGUACACAAAGGUUUUGAUUUUGUUUUCACAUGCUUACAACUUCAAUGGCUACAAAAGGAUUGCUAAUUGUUGAUUUGAUUUCAAAUUAACUUGUUAACUGAAAUAAACAUAUGGGAAUUCCAGUCCAUUGGCUGGUCAAAAGCAUUUUCUGAAUGCAUAUGGGUAGAUUCAAUGAUUUUGGAGAUGUAGAAAUAUGAAAAUAAUUGAAACAUUCCUAUCAUAACAAAGUUCAUGUGCUCUACGAUUUGCAGCAAAAGAAGUUUGCUAAUACCUCUCAUGAAAAUCUAAUAUAUAUAUAUAUAUAUAUAUAUAUAUAUAUAUAUAUAUAUAUAUAUAUAUAUAUAAUCUAAACUAUAAUGGAGGAAUUCAAAUUACUGCGCAAAAAAAGAAAGAUUAAUAUCAAAACGUAAAUGUAACUUCAAAAUUGGGAGGCCGAAUUCAGCAAGCAACACAAUCGAGUCUAUCAUAUUAAUAAGGCAACAACAAAGGGUAAUACCCCAUUAUAUAUCAACAAAUCGUGGCAGUCAACAAUGCAAAUCCUUAACCCUGUACUUAAAUUAGAAAACCCCUAAUUCGAACCCUGUACUUGAAAUUAAAAAAAAAAAACCCCUAAUUUAAGAACCCUAAUCUAACCCCCAGUGAAGCACCCUAAAUCUAACCCCCAAUUUAAGAAAACCUAAUCUAACCUCACUGCCCAAAAUCGUUCCCCUAAGUUAAGACCUAAAUCUAACCCCAAUUAAGAACCCUAAAAACUCUAAUUUAAGAACCUAAAUGUAACCUCUAAUUUACGAACCCUAAAUCUAACCCCAUGGCCCCCAAUUUGAAAAAAUAAAAACCCUAAUUCUAACCCCCAGUCAAUAAACAAAAUUGAAACUAAAAACUGAAAGGGAAAUUACCUAUUGGAGAAAAAGAGGCGAUGGACUGAGAGAGGGAUGAAGAGACGAGGUGAGUGAAGGAGAGAUGGACGAAGAUAGAAAGGAAGGAAAGAGAUGGUAUCGCGCAGGGAAAAAAGGAAGAAGAGGGAAGUAAGGGAGGAACGAGACGCACGGGGGUUAAUAAUAUAGAAUAUUAUGCGAUGGAGUGUUCGUCUUGCAAGGCUAAACAAUCAUCGCGCAAGUUUUUUAAAAUUUCCCCCAAAAAAGCGCUUUAAUUGAAUUUUCAGACACGUGGGCGACGAAUACAUAUACUUCGUCGCACAAAGUAUAUUUGCACGACCAAAAAAAUUUUAUGCGUCGUGCAAUUGUGUUUUAAAUUUUUUUUAUUUAUUUAUUUUGUUUACAAUUUAUUAUAAAAUACAAACAAAACAACUUUAUUUACAAAGUAAUUCACAUAUAAAAUGGGAAUCAUUCAUACCAUUUUUUCCAUCACUCUAUAUAAUGCAUUAAACAUUUCAUGUGUUUUACAAAAAAAUUACAAAUAAAUUGCCUUAAUCUUAAUCCGAACUAUAAUAACUUUCACUUUCGUCGUUAUCAUCAUUUUCAGUGUCUCAUUCCUUAUCAUCGAUAGGUACGUCACCAUCGUUGUUCGUGCGUACUGGACCAUCGUAUCGUGGAAUAUUACCGAGGUCAAUCGUGAUGGACUGAAUCGGUAUUUCGAUUGAAGAUACUCCAUCUAUCUGAAAUGGUUCUUGGAUAAGAUUAGUAUCUCGAAGUGUUUCCGCACCACUUUCCAUGAAAGAUUCAAGACGUUGGUCAGCAACAUUGUUAAUGUCGUCGUCAGUACGAUCUUUUUCUGGUAUAGCAUACACGUUCCUAUGAUCCAUCUUCUGAACAACUUUCCAACCCUUCCCGGAUUUAAGGCCAUCAAGAUACACAAUUUGUUUUGCCAUGGUUGCUAAUAUGUAAGGGUCAUCAUCGUACCAAGUUUUGGUAGUGUUCACUGAUAGUAAUCCAUGAUCUGUUUUCACACUUCCAUGCCUAUUUGGGUGUAUCAAACCAUCCACACUUAAAUAGGAUCACUUGGCACCGGUCUUUAUAAAGAAAUUGCACGACACUUGUUAGUUUACCAUAGAAUUCAAUGUCUGUACUUUCACCUCCUCCGGGGACAUGAACACUACUGUUUUGUGUACACAACUUGUCAUCUCGUGCACCGCUAAGAACUUGACUCCGUUGACAUGGCAGCCCGAGUACAAUUCAACGCGAAUUGGUCCGAACGCUAAGUUAUAUAACUCUUCACUGUACACAGGGGAAUUCGAUGCUUUCAAUUGGUUUACCUAAUAUUAGACAAACAUUUAAAUUUGUUAGUUUAAGCAACUUAAUUGGUACAAUAUAUAUGUCCAAUACAAAACACUUCAAACUUACAUAUUCGAGAAACAACUGCGGAAACAAUUCACGGUGUUUCUUGGCAUACAAAUGUGAAGGAUGUGUCUGCUUCAUCAUAUUUUCAUGCUCGUCUAAGUGUGAUAGUGUCUCGUCACAAUUUUUGAGUACGAACCAAUGUGCUACAUCCAUGUCCUUCUUGGAAAACGACUCUCCACAAAUCGGAUCUCCGAAUGGUCGAGAGACCUGGGCAAAAACUGAAAGUUUCUCCUUUCUCACACCCCUGUCAUUAUUGCGAGAAGGACGAUUGAAAGUUGUCUCAACGUCUUUUACAUACAUUCCACAAAAUGUCAGUGCCUCGUAUGACACCCAAGCUUGUAUAAUGGAUCCUUCGGGCUUCGCUUUGUUUCGUACACUUUUCUUCAAGUCUCUGAGAAGCCUGCCAAAAGAAAAUGAUACGAUACACAUAUUACUAAUCGUAAUUUAUUUAAUAUCGAUUAAUAAAAAGAUGAGGAAUAUAUACCUUUCUAUUAUAUACAUCCAUUGAAAGUUGACUGGUCCAGCAAGCAAUGCCUCCUCUAGUAAGUGAACCAUCACGUGUAUCAUACUUGUGAAGAAGGCUAGAGGAAAUAUCAUCUCAAACUUGCAUAGAAUUUGCACAAUGUCAUGGCGCAACUGAUUAAUGUCCAUUCUUCGUAAUGUUCUUGACGUCAAUUGCGAAAAAAAACUGGACAACAACAUGAUUGGUUUCACUACAUCAGGUGGCAAGAGAUGUCGAAUACCCACAGGAAGUAGGUGUUGCAGAACCACAUGGCAGUCAUAACUCUUUAAGCCAGCUAAUUUACCCCCGUCAACGUUCACGCAACGCGCGAUAUUUGAAGCAUACCCAUCGGGAAACUUUACAGACGAUAAAAACUUUAAAAAUUCUUUCUUGUCAUUCGGUUUCAUUGAAAAAAAUGCAAGAUCCCUUCUAGCUUUAUCAUUGUCCCUAUUCAUCCAUAAACCCCAUCGCAUUCCCAUUCGUUCCAAAUCAAGAUGAGCUUUGAUCGUGUCCUUUAUCUCGCAUUCAAUGUCUAGAAUUGUGCCGACCAAUGUGUCAAAUACAUUUUUCUCAACAUGCAUAACAUCGAGGUUGUGUCUGAAUUUUAGUUUAGACCAAUACGGGAGCUUAAAAAACAUAGACUUGUGCGUCCAGUUCAUGUGUGUAGCAUGUCUUGUCCUAGUGACAUUGGUCCCGAAAGGAGCAAAAUCCAAACGGUUAAGCUGUUUCAAAAUUUGAGCACCGGACCAUUCUCUGGGUCUGAGGCGAUGCUCUCUCUCCCCGUCAAACUCUUUAUCCUUCUCUCGCCACUCGUGGUCCCAAGGCAACCAUCUUCGAUGACCAAGGUAACAAACUUUUCCAGCGUGCCAACUAGAUGUUACGUCUUCCUUGCAUACAGGGCAUGCCAUAUAACCCCUAGUGCUCCACUCGGAAACCAUUACAUAUGUAAAGAAAUCGUUCACAGUCCACAUCACUGCAGCCCGCAAAGUGAACAUCUUGCCAGUACAUUUAUCGUAUGUGCGCACACCGUGUGUCCAUAAAUCUUUUAGCUCAUCCACCAACGGCCGUAAGUAUAUAUCGAUUAACCUACCAGGAUCCUCAGUUAUCAAUAAAGUCCUCAUCAUGUAUUCUUUUUUCAUACAUUUCCAUGGUGGCAAAUUAUACGGAAAUACGAAAAUCGGCCAAGUACUGUGGUGUUGGUUUAAAACCCCAAACGGAUUAAAUCCGUCAGUGGCAAGUCCCAAUCUAACGUUACGAGAAUCAGCAGCAAACUUGAGGAACGUUCGAUCGAACUCUUUCCAUGCCUCCCCAUCUGCAGGAUGUCGCAUCACAUCGUCAUCUACCCGUUUUUCUUUAUGCCAUCUCAUGUCUGUGGCAGUAUGCGACAACAUAUACAACCGCUGCAACCUAGGUUUCAGGGUCAGAUAACGCAUGACUUUUUGUGAGAUCUUAGUGGUUCUAUUAUGAGAUGUCAUUUUGAACAUCGACUCAUUGCAUAUAGGGCAUUUAUCCAAUGUUUUAUACUCUUCAUAGAAUAAAAUACAAUUGUUUUUGCAAGCAUGAAUUUUUUCAUAACCCAAUCCAAGACCUUUCAACACCUUUUGCGUGUCUCUAUGGUCUUUCGGCAAACAAUUGUCCUUCAGAAGCAUUCUCUUGAAAACCCCCAAAAAGUAAUCAAAACACUGGUUCAACAUACGAUGCUUUAUUUUUCCAUGCAUCGGUUCCACAAUGGCCGUGAAAACGGAAAAGCUUUCGCACCUCGAGUAUAGCUCUUGGUUGGUAUUUUUUAAUAGUUUUUCAUAUUGUUCGAACUCUGCACUGUCCAUUGGUGUAGGCACGUCAUCUUCCCCUUCGUGAUUGGUGUUUGUCGAUGCAAAUGGAAAAGCAUCAUUUAUAAUAUCCAUGACUUGUUCAUUAGGAUCGACAAUAGGUUCAACAUUAUCCAUUCUUGUGGCAUUUGAAGAUGAAGCAUUGUCUAAUUGUUCCCCAUGAUGGUUCCAAGUAUUAUAUGUCUCAAUCAUUCCAUUCCUUACUAAAUGAAAUUGAACAUUUUCUAUUAUCUCCCUUAACAUGUUGUUACACCUCCUACAAGGACAUCGGAUUCUAGUUGCACCCGGGUUGUGUGUACUUGCAAAGUCAAUAAAAUCCUCGAUUCCAUCCAAGUAUUCGUCCACGCAUCUAUUCGGGUUCUGUAUCCACGUCCUGUCCAUAAUUCCUGGAACCACAAUAACAAUAUAACAAUCACAACAACUUCAAACAAACUGAUAAUAUCACCUUAUGCCUUCGGUAGAGGCUCUAUCCCAUUCGGGAAUGCAUAGUUAUGUCACGUAAUUUACAGCUACAUCAGAUUAGAUUUCGACGUGGAUGAAUUUCGACAGGAUCUCGAUACAGUUCUUCAGGUGUACGACCCGAAGAACGUACAGAGAUGAUACCGAAACCUAAUCCUUCAACCAUAAACUACGCGUCAUAACUGUGCAUUCCCAAACUAUCCAAAUAAUGGGACAAUUCAAGAAUUAAUUGGACCGCAGUCAUAUUUUCGCAUCCAUGCGCGAAAUCCAACUAAUCCUUAAACGGGAAACUAAGUUUUACUAAAAAUAAAAAAUAAGUACGAAGUUAAUUUCAAUUAACUUCGUACAUCACAACACAUAUUUGUACGUCAAGUACAAAUUUAACAAUAUAAUUUCAUAGCACAAUAUAAACAUAACACUAAGUUCAACAUAAUUUAAUUAAUGGUGUAUGUUUAAAAAAUAAAACAAAGAAAUUACCUUCUCAAUCGUUAUCCACCAAUCACUAAUCACACACAAUAUCCCUAUAGAGAACGAAAUUAAUGGCGUUAGUAUGAAUUUACAUUAAUACUUUUACCGUAACGACAAAAAACACUUACCGGACACACCGAGAUAGCUCGAUCAACCUAGGGAAGAUGGAGGGAGUAGUUUAGAUGAUGAAAUUGGGAGAAAAUGAAAAUGACGGAUACCAGAUUCAGCUAAAUCGUAGGGAUGAGUGCAGAUGUGACAGCCCGUCCCUGAUUUUAAGAAUUUUAAAGUUUUAAUAAAGGAUUUUACAAAAAUGCCCUUUGAGGCACGCGCAUUAUUCGAGAUUAAUCGUUGUGUCGUGCCAUCUAAGAUUUAUUUUCUUGACAUAUCCUCGUAGUACUCGUCGCUACGGACGUGUGGGCGCUGACGGUUCGUUAUUUGGAGUUAUAACGAAAAAGAUUUCAAGUUUGAAGUUUGAGCAUUUUAUAAAUUUUAUUAUUAAAAUUUGGAUGGCCCAGAUUUAAUGAAGAAUUAAAUGGAUGGCUGGGAUGAGAGAAGAAGGUUUGUUUGUGUGUGCGCGUAAGAAGAAGAAGAAGAAUGAGGAUUGGGCAGUCAGGAAGACAGAAGAAAGGAAAAAAAAAAUGGGAUUGGGCAAAACUGCCCAAUCUGAAAGAAGAAGGAGGGGACGAAUCAAGAAAAGAGAGAUGGAGAGGAUGGCCAAUCGGAAUAGGGGAAAGGAGGAAAGGAGAGAGGGCGAGAAGUGGAGGAAGAACAACAGAAAUGGGUUUUCAACCCAUGACCCGCGCGGCGACCCGCUCCCGCAAUGCCAUUUUCCGACGGUUUUCAGUCCAAAUUUCUGGUCUUCUUCAACCUCCCAUCAACCCCAAACAUCUUCAAGACAUCCUAGAAUCCUAAUUGACCCAACAAUCAAUGAAUUUCGUGGUGAUUUCGCAAAGAACACCCACACGGGUGCCGCGACUUUCUUGUUCAAAAUUUGCCCAAUCCCGAAGCAAUUUCUUUCAAUUGCCACCACCCAUACACUUCUCUUGAGGCCUAGAACAAAGCCCAAGAAUUGGUUGGGACGACGGAGUUGAUUUGAAGACGUAUUGGAACUCACCCAAUUCUAGGGUCCGCACGGAUUUUGGUGAAAUUGAAGUGUUUCCAGGCAAAAUUGGCCUUGGCCUCAGGUAUAAAGUUUACUCUACUAAUUGAGAUCUUCAAUUUUGUAUUUUUUGAGAAUUUUUGGAAAUAGUUGGAUUUUCCGGCGAGCCGGGGCGGCCCGUGCGGCGGCACGUGGCCAAUGGCCCGCCAAUGUCAUUCUUAGCAUGUGUUUAAGGUUCUAGGUUCAGUUUUGAUAUUUGAUGGACGUAAAUUGAGUAAUUGAACCUAAGUUCGUUUCGAUUCGUGGUUAGGUGAAAAUGUGAAUUGACGAUCCGACCGUCGAAUCGUCACCAAACGUUGAUACGUUGUAAUACGUAAUAUUUGAGGAUUAUAGGAACUUACGGAUCGGGAAUCUGACUUACGGAUCUUUCGUAAUUGGAGUUGUAAGUUCAUAAAAUAGAAUGUUAACCAUCACUUGAUUUUGACAAUUGACGGAGAUCCGACCGUUGGAUGGUAAUGAAAUUUUAGGAUGUUGUCCUAGAGGUAUAUUGUGAACCUCUGGAAGUUAUGGAUUUGAAAUCUGAGUUGCAGAUCUUCCGGAUUGAACUACGUAGUGACGUGUUUUAUAUAAGUUAUAUAUUCUAUCGAUAUGAUUUCUGAGGUUGGAUUUGAUUAUUGUUCUAGGCGCCGAUCGUCAUGACACAUUGAUGUGUGGUGCUAGGGAGUUGUUGGGCGAACUCUAGGUGAGUGGGCAGUAUUUCUGUUUAUACCUAUAUACUAUUGAUAUUUUUCCCAGAAAUUGAGUUUAAAUGAAAGUACGUUUUAAAAUGCCAUGCAUGCAUAUUAUGAAUUAUAUGAUUUGGUAUAUGAUGCAUAUAUGUGAAAUGGUGUUGUGGACGCACAUGUGAGUAUCAGGUGAGGUUUAUGUUGUUCAUGUGAUUUAUUGAUGAUGUGAAUUGUGUUGAGAGCUCACAACCUGCACCCCCGGUGUUAGUGCUUAUGUUAUUCACCCUGCAUCACACGCUCACCUUGGAUCCAAGUAGAUGCUAGUCGUACAGACCACUAGAGGUUGUUCCGACAUGCCAGUCGUACAGACCAUUAGAGGGGUUCCGACUUGUAGGUGACUUUAGAUUAUGUGCACAGAUGAUUGAUGAGAGAAGCACUAGAGCGUAUUAUUUCACCAUCUUAGUCGUACAGACUACUAUAGGUUUCCGACUUAUGUGUAGUGUAGUGCCGUACAGGUCACAGUUGGUGACUCCGGCUGGAUGGGAUAUUGAGCUAUAGAAUCAGCCGUACAGGACCACUAUAGGGUCUCCGGUUGAUUUAUUAUUUCACCUGAUUUAUAUUGAUGCAUUCAUAUUAUAUUUUGGCAUAUGGCAUGGCAUGGCAUAUUCUUUCUGAAAAGCGUUGAAGGAUUGUGAUUUGAGCUUUUGAUGAUAUAUAUAUGUUUAUAUACUUUUUUUCUGGGAAAGUAUACAAGUUUUACGGCGAGGGGUUAGAAAUUUUUUAAAGGAGUAAUUAGGUUGUUAUCCUUAUUUUUACUACUCUAUUGAUUAAAACCUUAUUACUUUUCAAUUUUUGAUCAAAGUCCUUUGUAUUAAUAAUAUCAUUAAUUAUUUCAAUAAUAAAAUAUUUUUUAUUUCUAAAUAUAUUGAUUUAAUAUUAAAAAUGUUACAAUUAGUAUAUUUAUAUUUAUGGCUAAAUUUUUUAUCAUAUAUUUUUAUUUUUAGUUUGUACCCAUUUUUAAUUUGCAACCCUUUUUUAAUUUGUACCAAUUUUCCUUUCAAUUUUAAUUUGUACCCAUAUAUUAAUUUCUUUUUGUGCCCAUAUUUUUUACAGUUUUAUUUGUAUUGUACCCAUAUUUUUUUAUUUAUUUGUACCCAUUUUUAUUUUUGCUAAAUGUACCCAUUUUGAAGAAUGUACCCAUGUUUUGAUACAAUCAUUUUUUGGUUAUUUUUUUAUGAAUGUACCCAUGUUUACACACACACACAAUAGUAUAUUUAUAUUUUAAUAUUUUUAAUCCCACAAAUUAUGUUUUUUAUUUAAAAUCUCAUUACUAUAAACAACUAUAAAUUUUAAUUUUUAAUUUAAAAAAUAUAGUAACGUACAUAGAAAUAAAUUAUCAAUUAAUUUUAGGGACUUGGAUCAAAAAUUGAAAAUCAACAAAGUUUCAGUCAAAGAUUGUUCAUAACUAGGGACCGCAUCCAAAGUCUCCCUUUUUUAAAUGAAAUGUUUUCGAAAAACUUUGUUUUAUUGACCCACUCAAUUUUGUUUUGUGCCCCUCCAGGUUCUAGAUAGCAGAGCUUUGGUGGCCACGAGGAAUCCAAUGGUGUUCUGACAGAAUUCACAAAAGUAUGACUCACCCUCGGGUGUUUCAUCUUAAUAAUUGUAUUUUUAAAGCUUCUGAACUAUGUAAAUGGUUACGUCACUCUCACGUGACGGCCAGCAUACCCUCCUUCGGGGCGGGGUGUGUCAGUUGGUAUCAGAGCCUAGGUUGCAAUUUUGGACAUCUUGCGAAUUUCCUAGUGUCUUCUGUCAGAACUAUAUCGCCUCGUAGCGAGCCACGUAGUUCGGAUGAGCCUAAUUUCCCUGAUAUAGUAGUUUGGGGUGAAACUAUUGCCAUUGUGAUUCAGUCUAUUAUCUAAAGGAACCUUUUGAGACUGGUUAUAAGUUAAAUUUGAAUCACUUUAGGGAAAUGAAGAACCUAAGGGAGCAGAUCGAUGGCUUAAUCAUUUGGGAAAAGACGUUUCGGAUUAUGCAAAGUCAAGGGAAUCUUCCUCCCGACAGGUGGGUUGAGAUGACUACCUAGUUUCUAAGUGUUGAAUCUGUAUUCUGAUGGAGAUAGGAAUGUUAUCCGAUGUUAUCAGAAGAACAACCGUUUGGAAGUCGUUUAAAGAAUUGUUUAAGGAAAAGUUCAUUCCUCCGGCAUAUUAUUAUAGAGAGUUUACAGACUUGCCUUGUUUCCAUUCGGAUGUUGUUGCUAAUCCGGUCGAAGUGUUAUGUCAUUUUUGGCUGGAUAAUAAGAAGAAGUUGCGUUCUUUGGCGACCACUAUUCAUUGUACUUUUUACCAGGAGUUUACGAGAUGUUGUUGAGCAUUGAAGACUCUGAGAACAUGAUCAGCGAGAGUAAAGAGGAAUAAGAAAAGAAUGAGAAUCAGAAGAAAGACGAUGAAGUUAAAGAUCCGUCAUAUUAAAGACCUCGGAUGACUCAGAGCUUCAAAAGAAGUGAAACUAGAGCUAAUUUUCCCAGCUGAGGUUUUAGUGCCACUGGUCAGAGGCGAAAUGAUAGAUUUACUAGUGAUUCCAUAUCUCAGAGACAAGGUGACUCUGGUAGAGGAAAUGUAUCUUUGUACCGUAGGUACAAUAUUAGGCACCUUAGAGAGUGUGGGAAGUUGUGAAUGUGUUCAUGUGGUUAGAUGAGACAUAGAGGUAUGAAUUGUCCCUAGGAUCAGUUGUUACCCAUCAGUCUUCCUUGACAUAUUACUUGGAAAAUUGAUGAGUAAGUCGUACAGGUCACUAUAGGUGACUCCGACUUAUGUGCUAACAUGGAUGGUCGAGCUGUAGACUCAGCCGUACAGGUCAUUCUGGCUGACUCUGGCUGAUAUAAUUCUUAUUAUUGACGAUGUUGCUAAAGGAAGUAGUGAAUGAGCACGAUCGAGGCGUAUAUGUCUUUCCCUAUGAGGAGUAAAAUGAUAAUAUUGCACCCUUAAGAAUGGUUGCUUACUUAUCGAGACGACAAUGAGUUAUCGUUAUUGCGGGCUGCAGACCGUAAUACCCAUAACUUACUUGUUGGAUUCGUUAAGCAAGUAAACAGGUAGGUCAUUCUAUGUUGGUUAUGACUAUUCGGGGUGUCCAAUGAUGGUGGAAGAAGUAGUUAUGCCAGCGAAUCGUAUCCCGUUAGACAUUGUGGAUUUCGAUGUGAUUUUAAACACAGAUUGGUUAUAUUAUAAUCGUGCCAAUAUGGAUUGUUACGGGAAAUCAGUUACUUUCUAUUGUCUUGGAUUAUCAGAGGUUACUUUUGUGAUUGAGCAAAGUGGAGUGAGACAUGCCGUUAUUUCUGUUGUGAGAGCAAAGAGAUUGUUAUCAAAAGGUUGCCAAGGAUACCUAGCUUAUGUGGUGUUGCAGGAUUGUACUCCUAGUAUUUUGGAUGACGUACGAGUGGUAGACAUUUUCCUAAUGUGUUUCCGGAAUGAUUUACAUGGAUUGCCACCAGACAGAGAUGUGGUGUUCACUAUUGAAUUGUCUCCAAGUACAGACUUUAUGCUAUAGAUUGGUUCCUACAGAGUUAAAGGAAUUGAAAAUUCAGUCACAGGAAUUGGUUGAUAAAGGUUUCAGUCAACCUAGUACGUUACUUUGGAAAACCCCAGCUUUGUUUAUAAGGAAGAAAGACGGGACCUUAAGAAUAUGUAUGGAUAUUAGGUAAUUGAAUCGGGUAACGAGUAACAACCGUUAUCCAUUGCCGCGCAUUGAUGAUUGUUUGAUCAGCUUAGAGGUGCCUAUGUGAUUUCAAGGAAAGAGUUGAGGUCUGGUAUACUCUUAAGUGAAGGUAAAGCAUACGAGUCAUUUUGAGUUGGUAUUAAAAUGUUUGAGAGAACAUCGGUUGUAUGCUAAGUUUAGCAAAUGUCAAUUUUGGACAAAUCAAGUGGCAUUUUUGGGACAUGUGAUAUCUACACAAGGUAUUCAAGUAGAUCCUCAAUGAGUGACAACUGGGGAGAAUUUGGAACAACCUCAAACCGUCACUGAGGUACUGAGUUUCUUGGUCUAGUAGGUUACUAUAGACGUUUGUAAAGGAUUUUUCAGUCAUUGCUUUGCCAUUGACGGGAUCGACUAGAAAAGAGGUCAGGUUUGAGUGGAUGAAAAUUGUGAACAAAGUUUCAGCAAUUGAAGCAUUAUCUCACUCAUACACCUGUUUUAGCACUCCCAGAUGAUAAAGGUAAUUAUGAGGUCUACAGUGAUGCAUCUUUGAAUGGGAUAGAGUGAUUGCUACAUUUCACGACAAUUGAAACCUCAUGAGAUGAAUUACCCUACUCAUGAUUUAGAAUUAGUAACUAUCAUCUUUGCUUUGAAGAUUUGGAGACAUUGUCUUUAUGGGAAGAAAAGUGCAAGAUUUUUAUGAAUCAAAAGAGUAUCCAAUAUCUGUUUAUUCAGAGGUUUCUUAAUCUUAGGCAACGAAGGUGGAUUGUGUUGCUUAGUGAUUAUGAUUGCACGACCAGGGUGAUCGUGCAAAUGUUGUGGCCAAUGCUUUUAGUAGGAAGACCCUAGUGAAAAUUAAUGCUUGGUACGAUUGUCAUGUUCAUCUUCUUGUGGAUUUGAGAUCUACUAGAGUAAAGUUGGGAAUGGAAGAUCAAAAAGAAAACUUACUUGCUAAUUUUCAAGUUAGGCCUAUUUGGUAGGUCGUACUCGAGAUUCAAGCGUUUGAUGAAGAAAUUCAAGAAUUUAUUUAAAGCAAGGAAUAACGGGAAAAAGAAAGACCUCAGAGUUAGAGAAUUAGAUGGCAAGCUUAUGCAAGAGAACAAAGUGUUUAUACCUAAUGUUAUGGAAUUAAAGGAAGCAAUUUUGGAGUUUGCGUAUUGUUCAACUUAUACAAUGCAUCCUGGAGGUACUAAGAUGUAUUAUACCAUUCGAUCAUUUUACUAUUGGUCAGGUAUGAAAAGAGAAAUGUUUGUAUAUAUAAAUAGAUGUAAACAUCUGUCAGCAGGUUAAAACGGAAAGAAAGAAGUCUUUUGGAUUAAUGUAGUUACUUCCUGUUCCACAGUGGAAAUGAGAAAAUAUUAAUAUAGAUUAUGUGUGCAAGUUUCCUUGUUCACGAGAUGGUUAUGAUGAAAUUGAGGUGAUAAUUAAUUGGCUUACUAAAUCAGCGCAGUAUUCUUCAAUGAAAGAGCAGUAACCUUUCCAGAAGUGCAACAGUUAUUUAUCUGUCUUAUGGAAAAGAGAUUUGGGCUUACGGAUCUGUUGAACUUCUUGGGUAUGUUGGUCCUUUCAGUUUGUUCCCUAAAGCAACGCCAUAAGGCCGUGGAAAACUGUGUCUUGUGUUUCGAAAUUGUUAGAAUUGUGGACGGAUGGUAUUCAAGGCCCUGAGUUAGUGGAGGAGACUACUCGGAAUAUUCAAGUAAUUAAGUCUAACCUGGAAGUGAACCAGGAUCGACUGAAGAGCUUAGCAGACAAACAUGCCACUGACCGGACGUGUAAUGCAGGAGAUUGGAUGUUUUUGAAAUUACCACCUUGGAAAGGUGCGGUUCAGGUCAAAAUGGAAGACAAGUUAAAUCCUAAGUACAUCAGGCCGUCUUUGACUAUUGAAGGAAUCAGUGAAAUACUUUCAAGUUUGAGUACCUUCGGGAUUGGAUAAGGUGUAUAGUGUAGUUCAUGUUUUGAUGCUUCGUUACAAAGUAGCAGAUUUGUCGUGUAUGAUUCCGGUUCAGCCCUUAGAGAUUAAUCCGGAUUUGACUUAUAAUGAGGAACCCAUGAUUAUUUUGGAAUAGAAAGAGGAAGUCCUCAGAAAUAAAACAGUGUACUUGGUAAAAGUUUUAUUGAGGAAUCAUUCAGCAGAAGAAACUACUUGGGAGACAAAAGAUCGAAUGAGAGGGAUGUGUUCCAGAUUGUUUUAUGGAUAUCGAUGGACUGUAAAGAUUGUGUAAAUUUCGAGGAUGAAAUUUUUUAAGGUGGGUAGAUUGUGACAGCCCGUCCCUGAUUUUAAGAAUUUUAAAGUUUUAAUAAAGGAUUUUACAAAAAUGCCCUUUGAGGCACGCGCAUUAUUCGAGGUUAAUUGUUGUGUCGUGCCAUCUAAGAUUUAUUUUCUUGACAUAUCCUCGUAGUACUCGUCGCUACGGACGUGUGGGCGCUGACGGUUCGUUAUUUGGAGUUAUAACGAAAAAGAUUUUCAAGUUUGAAGUUUGAGCAUUUUAUAAAUUUUAUUAUUAAAAUUUGGAUUGCCCAGAUUUAAUGAAGAAUUAAAUGGAUGGCUGGGAUGAGAGAAGAAGGUUUGCGUGUGUGUGUGUGCGUAAGAAGAAGAAGAAGAAGAAUGACGAUUGGGCAGUUGGGAAGAAAAAAGAAAGCAAAAAAAAAAAAGGGAUUAGGCAAAACUGCCCAAUCUGAAAGAAGAAGGAGGGGACGAAUCAGGAGAAGAGAGAUGGAGAGGAUGGCCAAUCGGAACAGGGGAAAGGAGGAAAGGAGAGAGAGCGAGAAGCGGAGGAAAAAGAACAGAGAUGGGUUUUCAACCCAUGACCCGCGCGGCUACCCGCUCCCGCAAUGCCAUUUUCCGACGGUUUUCCGUCCAAAUUUCUGGUCUUCUUCAACCUCCCAUCAACCCCAAACACCUGCAAGAGAUCCUAGCAUCCUAAUUGGCCCAACAAUCAAUGAAUUUCGUGGUGAUUUCGCGAAGAACACCCACACGGGUGCCGCGACUUUCUUGUUCAAAAUUUGCCCAAUCCCGAAGCAAUUUCUUUCAAUUGCCACCACCCAUACACUUCUCUUGAGGCCUAGAACAAAGCCCAAGCAUUGGUUGGGAAGACGGAGUUGAUUUGAAGACGAAUUGGAACUCACCCAAUUCUAGGGUCCGCACGGAGUUUGGUGAAAUUGAAGUGUUUCCAGGAAAAAUUGGCGUUGGCCUCAGGUAUAAAGUUUACUCUACUAAUUGAGAUCUUCAAUUCUGUAUUUUUUGAGAAUUUUUGGAAAUAAUUGGAUUUUCCGGCGAGCCGGGGCGGCCCGUGCGACGGCGCGUGGCCAAUGGCCCGCCAAUGUCAUUCUUAGCAUCUGUUUAAGGUUCUAGGUUCAGUUUUGAUAUUUGAUGGACGUAAAUUGAGUAAUUGAACCUAAGUUCGUUUCGAUUCGUGGUUAGGUGAAAAUGUGAAUUGACGAUCCGACCGUCGGAUUGUCACCAAACUUUGAUACGUUGUAAUACGUAAUAUUUGAGGAUUAUAGGAACUUACGGAUUGGGAAUCCGAUUUACGGAUCUUUCGGAAUUGGAGUUGUAAGUUCAUAAAAUAGAAUGUUAACCGUCACUUGAUUUUGACAAUUGACGGAGAUCCGACCGUUGGAUGGUAAUGAAAUUUUAGGAUGUUGUCCUAGAGGUAUAUUGUGAACCUCUAGAAGUUAUGGAUUUGAAAUCUGAGUUGCAGAUCUUCCGGAUCGAACUACGUAGUGACGUGUUUUAUAUAAGUUAUAUAUUCUAUCGAUAUGAUUUCUGAGGUUGGAUUUGAUUAUUGUUCUAGGCGCCGAUCGUCAUGACACAUUGAUGUGUGGUGCUAGGGAGUUGUUGGGCGAACUCCAGGUGAGUGGGCAGUAUUUCUGUUUAUACCUAUAUACUAUUGAUAUUUUUCCCAGAAAUUGAGUUUAAAUGAAAGUACGUUUUAAAAUGCCAUGCAUGCAUAUUAUGAAUUAUAUGAUUUGGUAUAUGAUGCAUAUAUGUGAAAUGGUGCUGUGGACGCACAUGUGAGUAUCAGGUGAGGUUUAUGUUGUUCAUGUGAUUUAUUGAUGAUGUGAAUUGUGUUGAGAGCUCACAACCUGCACCCCCGGUGUUAGUGCUUAUGUUAUUCACCCUGCAUCACACGCUCACCUUGGAUCCAAGUAUAUGCUAGUCGUACAGACCACUAGAGGUGGUUCCGACAUGCCAGUCGUACAGACCAUUAUAGGGGUUCCGACUGGUAGGUGACUUUAGAUUAUGUGCACAGAUGAUUGAUGAGAGAAUCACUAGAGCGUAUUAUUUCACCAUCUUAGUCGUACAGACUACUAUAGGUAGUUCCGACUUAUGUGCAGUGUAGUGUUGUACAGGUCACAGUUGGUGACUCCGGCAGGGUCGUACAGGUCAUAGUUGGUGACUCCGGCUGGAUGGGAUAUUGAGCUAUAGAAUCAGCCGUACAGGACCACUAUAGGGUCUCCGGUUGAUUGAUUAUUUCACCUGAUUUAUAUUGAUGCAUUCAUAUUAUAUUUUGGCAUAUGGCAUGGCAUGGCAUAUUCUUUCUGAAAAGCGUUGAAGGAUUGUGAUUUGAGCUUUUGAUGAUAUAUAUAUGCUUAUAUACUUUUUUUCUGGGAAAGUAUACAGGUUUUACGGCGAGGGGUUAGAAAUAUUUUAAAUGAAAUGUUUUCGAAAAACUUUGUUUUACUGACCCACUCAAUUUUGUUUUGCGCCCCUCCAGGUUCUAGAUAGCAAAGCUUUGGUGGCCACGAGGAAUCCAACAGUGUUCUGACAGAAUUCACAAAAGUAGGACUCACCCUCGAGUGUUUCAUCUUAAUAAUUGUAUUUUUAAAGCUUCCGAACUGUGUAAAUGGUUACGUCACUCUCACGUGACGGCCAGCAUGCCCUCCUUCGGGACGGGGUGUGUCAGCAGAGGCACAAUCUGCAAAAAUUUUGCAGUUUGCCUCUGCACAAGGCUGAUUUCAGAUAAAAAAGACGAACGAUUUUGCGCGACGAAUAAUAUGUUAGUCGCACAAUGAACCUUUGAGCGACGAAGAAAACUUUUUCAUCGUGUAAAUAUUUCUUGUGCAAUGAACAUAUGUAUUUGUCGCUCAAAUGUUAUUUGCGCGACGAAAGAAGACGUUCGUCGUGCUAGAAAUAUAUAUAUAUAUAUAUAUAUAUAUAUUUUUUUUUUUUUUAUGUUUUCCUUCUUUAUUUGUAUGUACUGUAAAUUUUUAUUUUAUUAUAAAUAAAAAACUCAAAGCUAAUUAAACAUUAAAUUAAUUAACAAAACUAAUUUACGAUCCCAAAUAAAAAUUAUAAUUACUGCAAAUAUUAAUACUCAUCCACAUAACAUAUACUUAUUCAUUAAAUUCAACAUAAAGUCCACAAAAUCUUAUUUAAAAAAAAAUAAAAAUAAAAAAAACAACCCUCAUCAACUUCAAUCCUCCCUCGUCUACAACACAUCAAACUUCCACUUCCGGAAUCUCUGCUUGAAAAGCCCAUCCACAUAAAUCCGUUGCUUCUCAUCGGUUUCAUCAAUAUCCCAAUGAACCUACAUUAAUGCCAAUAACAAUAAAUUAGUAAUUUAAAAAAUAUUAUGUUUUAUCAAAAAUAAUUUUUCAUUAUUUUUCCAUAAACUUACCGAUAACUCUCCCAGCAUGGACUUCUUCAGCUCCUUAAGGACCUUUGUCCAAGACUCAAACUCAGCAGAACAAUCCCUCUGCACCAAAUUCCCAAUGUCAUAAUUGAAUUCGGCAUACACCUCAGCCAAAAUUUUGCCUUCAAAGUACGGCACUUGCUUCCGUCGGUACCUCUCUACUCGCACUACAACUUUCUUUUUCCCAUAACCUUCCCCAGAAUCGGCCAUUCUUUUUUAAACAAAAAAAUUUGAAAACUUCGACUCUGAAACUGUGUUUAUAUAGCACUAGGACAACUUUGCGCGACGAAAUAGUCGUCGCGCAAAACUAUAAGCCGUCGCUCAAAAUGCGUCAUUAAUGAGCAAUAAAUUGAAAGGUUUGAACGCAUUCAGAUAGCGAACUGCGCGACAAACACAUGUAUUCGUCGCGCAAGGUGUAUUUGCGCGACGAAUUAUCGUCACGCAAUAUAUUGAGCGACGAAUAGAAUAAAAUAAUUGUAAUUACAAAGUUUACGUAAACAUAGAUAUCUAUGUUUACGUAAACUUUGUAAUUACAAACAAAUAUUCACAAACGAUUUAAUACCUUAAAUAUUUAUUGUUAAAUUAAUUAAUACUUUAAAUAUUUAUUCUAUAAAUAAUUAAUACUUUAAAUAUUUAUUCUAUAAAUAAUUAAUACCUAAUAUAUUAUUCUAAAAAUAGUAAAUACCUUAAAUAUUUAUUCUACAAAUAAUUUAUGUCUUCAUCCAUACAAUUAUUUUCAGCAUAAGUACGAUAUUCAUUAAAGAUUAAAAACACAUAUAAACCAUAGCCAGGGUACUUACUUUAGUCUCAGAAAAAAAAAAAAAAAAAAAAAAAAAACCGAACAAGAAUUCAAACCUAAUUAAGUCCAAAACAUAAAUUAGAAAAAAAAAACCUUAAAUUUAAAAUUGUCGUACAAAACAUAAACUUUAAACUACUAUUUGGAUGAUCCUGCUCCAUUCCGCAAAACCUCAUAACACCACAUAUUGUAACCUUCCUCCAACGCAUCCUCCAGCAACUUCAUUAAUUGUUCUUUCGGUUCAUCAUCAAAAACAUACUUAUGCUGUUACACAUAUAUACAUAUAAUUAAUUCCAACAUAUAACUAAAAAUUUCGCAAACUAAAUAAUUGAUCCAUCAACAAUAUACUUACUAAUAAUUCAUCCAUCACAAGCUUUUUCACAUUUCUCGACACAUCUUUCCAAGAACGCCACUCAGCAGUGGGGCAAUUAUUCCUCAUAGCUGCAGCAAUUGCACGAGCAAACGCAAAAUGUUCUCUCAUAUCAUGCGCGUCAGCCUUGCGCACACUCUCGUUGUUGUUUUUAUCCGCCAUCUCAGCAUGAACAAAAUUGUGAAGAAAAUGACAGUAGAAGCGCCUAUUUAUAGCAAAGUUAGGAUCUUUGCGUGACGAAUUCUUUGUCGCGCAAACAUCUGCAUUAAAUAGCCUUUGAUUUACCUGAUUUAGAAGUAUUGGAAGGUGAAAAGUUGGUGGAACUUGCGCGACAAAUAUUUGUCACACAAAAGUAACAUUUCGUCGCGAAAGUUUUUCCCGCCAAAUUAAAUUAUCCACGUUUUCUUGCUGACUUUAAGCGAUGACAAAAAAUAUUCGUCGCACAAGAAUACUUAGCGCGACGAAAUUUUCAUCGCACAAGUUUAUUUUAUUUAUUUUCUCUAUUUUUCUAUUUUGCGCAACGAAGUUUUUUUUUUGUCCCGCAAGUGCGUCUUGUGCAACGAAUGUUUGUUCGUCGUGCAACGAAGUUUUUUUUUGUUGCACAAGUGCAUCUUGUGUGACGAAUGUUUGUUCAUCGUGCAAAAUGUUGUCGCGCAACGUAUUUUUUUUUACUAGUGUUCCCAUUGAGUAAUCCUGAUUGAUCUUAACCUCAUCACCGUGAAUUCCUUUAUUCAUAUUAGCUAGAAAGACUUCUAGAAAUAUCAUGAGUGUUCAAGCUAAUGAAUCCUAAUAUACAUAUUCCUUAUCAACUCACAAACAUUGUCAAUGUAGAUCUCUAAUAUUCCCACAUGAAUAACAAGUGCUAACCAAGUGUAUAGAUCUCUUCAAAACUUACAUUCUCUCACUAGAGCUACACUUGGUUAACUAUUGCUAACCUUAAAGCGAGAUUCUUCUUAAAUGGCCACGAGAUCAAUAUUGACACAAAUCAUGAUUCCAGGCUUAGGUCAUUAACCAACAUCUGUAAAGGACUAAAGGGUAACAUAUUCUUUAACUUGAAUAAUAUCCCAAUAAUCGCAUUUACAAAGUUGGCCAACUCAUUAAACCCCAACAAGAUAUGAAAAUUAUUGUAUUGAAAAAAGUCUACAUAUGUAUUCAUCAUCAUCUCAAUACAUGGUCCUCUUUCGAAUUGAAAAAACAAUUCAUCUUAAUGGUUGUUAAUCUAGAUAACAAUUGCACAGAUUGUCAUACCAUUAUGCAUAUAAAACAUAUACAAACAUUCUCAACUAAACUGCAUAUUUAAGGGAAAACUUUGACAACCUCACAGUUUCAACUUUGUUAGUCAAGAAUCCUUAGAAAUCUUUGAAUACGAUAAAUAAACAAACUUGGCAACUAGAAAACAAGAAAAUUCUUUAAAUAAUACUUAGCUUCCACUAGUCAGCUGCAUCGAAACUUGCCAAAACUCUCAUCUUUGUGGCAUGCUUCUUGAAAACUAAAACUGGUAUAGUCCUGUACAAGUGUUCAGUAAACAUAGCCCUAGUAUCUUUUGUUAUUCUUGGUGAAGAAUAUGGCUGCAUUAUUGUCACAGAAAAGAUAAAUCGGUCUUGAAAUUGAAUCAACCACUUUUAGACCUGAGAUGAAAUUUUUCAAUCAAAUAGCUUGAUCAGUGGCUUCACAAACAAGAAAGAUACUCAACCACCAUGGUUGAAGCUACCAUUGUUGCUUGCUUUAUACUUCUCUAUGAAAUAGCACCACCUGAAAUUGUGAAAACAAACCCUGAUGUGGACUUAAGAUCAUCUGGACACCCAGCGAAAGUUUGAGUCAUUGUAACCUUCCAAUAUAAGAUUAUAUGCGCUUCUAUAAACCAAUAUGUGCUUUGGUCUUCUAAAGAUAUCUUAAAACUUUUUGUGCUACGUUCCAGUAAGCAUCACCUGCGCAAGAUUGAAAUCUACCAAGUACACUCAUCGUGAAGGCAAGAUCAAGUCGUGUGCACAAUUGUGCAUACAUCAAGCUUCCAACAAGAGAAGCAUAUGGUCUUUCCUCCAUGUUUUUCUUCUCUAAAUCAGUUUUAGGGCACUACGACUUGCUUAGUUUAUCACCCUUUGAGACCGGCAUUUCUGUGGUCCCACAAGAAGACAUGUUGAACCUUUUAAGAACCUUUUUGAUAUAUCCUUUUUGUGAUAACCCUAGUAAUCCUCUCCUUCUAUCUCCUUUAAUUCAAUUCCAAGGACAUAUGUUGCUUCCCCAAGGUCCUUCAUUUCGAAAUUCUUCUGCAGGAAUGACUUAGUUUCAUCUAACAAACAUGCAAUAUUUGUGGCAAGGAGAAUGUCGUCCACAUAAAGAACAAGUAUAAUAAAAUUGCUCCCACUAAUCUUCAUGUAAAUGCAAGCAUCAGAGGGAUUUUCAAUGAAACCAUACUCUUUCACCACCCUCUGAAACUUUAAAUACCACUAUCUCGAUGCUUGCUUGAGACCGUAGAUAGAUUUCUUCAAUUUUCACAUUAGUUUCUCCUUUCCUUCUUCUAUAAACUCUUCCAGCUGUCUUAUAUAUAUAUUUUCUUCUAAAUCACCAUUUAAUAAUGCAGUUUUAACGUCUAUUUGGUGUAAAAUUAAAUCGUAAUGAGCACCAAUCGCCAUGAUCACCCUACAUGCAUCAUUGGUAGACACAUGGCUGAAUGUUUCCUUGUAAUCGACAUUUCCAUUCGAAUCCUUCUUCUUGAAUACCCACUUACACCUUAUUGGUUUCUUUCCUUCCUUUUGUUCUACUAAUUCCUGUACUUUAUUGUCCUUCAUCGAAGUUAGCUCAGAUUGCAUGGCUUUUAUCCACUUUUCAGAGACAACUUGAAUUAGCUUUUUUAAAGGAUUUGUCUUAUAAGACAAGUCUAUAUCAUUCUCCUAUUUGAUUUCCUCAAAAAUGGUGGAACCACACCGACUGAUAUGGCUGGUGAAUCUAGUCGGUGGUCAUUCAAAAUGGCUAACUCCACGUGCCCAGAAUUUAUUUCUGUUUGCCGCUGCAGUCUGUCAUCGCUGCCAUGAGGGUGCCAAUUUUAUCAAGUGCCAAUUCCACGUACCCCGCAUGUUGUUGCAAUCGGUGCAGUCGAUGCUCACUGCUACUGGCCACGUUUGUUGCUGGUUGUCGGUGAUCGCAGCUGCCACUCACAAUUCCUGACUCAUCAUGGCUUGCAUGAUCAUAAGUAUGUUGCUCACUGAGCGUCAGCACAUCAUCGGUGCUUUGGUGUAACAGUUACAUCCCCAGGCAUUUGAUGGACAUUCCACUAAACAAAUACAAAAUAUUAGAUCUUCGUUAUGUAGUUAUCCUCUCGUUUGUUAGACAAAUAAAAAAUCUCUCAAUAAUCACUUCCUCUCAUACAGCCAAUCCUUACAAGCUUAAAAACUCACAAAGAAUCAAACCUCAAAUUCUCUAAUCUUUGAAGAAAGGAUGCUCCAACACACACGGUGAAAAACUCUCAAUUUGACCACAGGAGCAAGCCCUUAAAUAAAUAGUUUAUUUAAAGGCUCACAAAAAAAACAUAAUGAUACCAAGUAUAUUUAAGUUACCAAAAACAUUGAAGGAAAACCAAAAUUUUCCUUACAACACAGGACUAAAAUCAAUUGUUUUGACCUAUUCUUCAAUGUAAUCUAGUGAUUCUAAUAUUCAUUAAUUUAGUUUCUAAUUCAAGCAUCAUUUCUACAAAAAUUAAAAUAAUUAAAUGAAUUUGCGUAUGAAUGGUUUUUCAAUGAAAAUAUAAAAAUGAACCGUGUAUAUCGUAAGAUACAAUGUAGAGUAAAAACGAAUAGUUAAUACUGUAUUAACUUAGUGCCUGAGCGCUUAAAAUGCAAGUAUUAUUAGGUGAAAAUUAAUUAUGUGUUUGUCUCAAGACGAUGGACUGAAUGGGCUAUAAUAGCCUCACUGUGUUUGUCUUUCGAUCCGAAAACAGGAUUUCCACUUAGCAAUGCGCUUUCACUGUUGAUAAGUUUUCAGAGUUGCCAUAUGUCAGAGCUUACAGAUGUCACAAUCUGACAGAUAAACACAUAGUGCUGAGGAAUGAAGAUGAAGUGGCCUGAGGGAUGACGAUGAAGCGACUCAUAAAAAACAAUCUUAUCUCCGAGCUGUACAAAUUUGACCGGAGAAAUGAUUAAAAAUUCAAAAAUCAAUUUAAAACAAUAAAAAUGCAUAAACUAGGGAUUUAAUUAAUUCUUCUUUUAAUUCACAUAGUAUUAUGGUCUAAUAAUAUUCCGCUUCAUUUGUAAGUAAAAUGUUUUAGGUUUGAUUAUAACCAAAGGGAAAGUUGUACUGCAUUAUUAUGGGCAAGCUCAUUGUAAGGCUUAGUUCAUUUUUCCAUCCUCUUAAUGUAAAUACUAUCAUUUGUUUAAAAAAAAAAAUUAUUCUUUUAAUUUAAGGGUAAAUUACAUAAAAUUAUCUCAACUAUUGGGUCAACCACAGUUUCAUACCCCAUUUUUAAAACAUUUCAAUGUCAUAACUUAUCUUACAAAUUUAUUGCAGUGUCAUACCUUCCGUCAGUUUGUCUGUCAAUUCCUCCAUUAAAUACUGACGUGGCUUGAGACGGGACCCACUAUCUAUUAACAAAUUAAUUAAAUAUUAAAAAUAAAAAAUAAAAUUAUCUAAUAUUUUUUUUUAAACGGGGAUCCCUCCCACCCCUAACCUUCCUUUACCACCCCACCACCGCCCUCUCUUCCUCCAUCUCCACGCCUACAACCCAUCCAAACAGUCCCUUAAACCCACCAAUCCACCCAAACAGUCCUUUAACUCCAUCACUCAGACCCAUUCUCAAACCUCUCCACCUUCUCAUCCUUCAAAUUCAACCCGACCAUCGCCUCCCCCAACCCGCAGCUCACCUCCGCCAGCACAUCCGAGUCCCGAUAGUGCAUCACCGCCUGCACAAUUCAUUCCUUCCCCACAUUCCUCCCACCUCCCCAUUUCAAUUCAUUCCACAAUUAAUUUAUUUUAUUUUCUUUUCUUUUUCUUUUUUUCGAAUUUAAUUUUUCCAAAUUUUGAUUCGAUUUUUCGUACAAUUCGAUUUAGAUCGGACCUAGAUCGGACUUAGAGAAAAAAAUGGCAACAUCUUGAUAGCUCUGGGACCUGCAAUCGCAGCUGGGGAACAAGAUAUGCGUGGACGGCUCCUAAAAGAACCUGUAGUGGGCUUCGGUUUCGUACGACGUCUUCAUGUGCUUAGAGUGCUUCGGCAAGCACCGGUACCGCGGGUUCGACGUCCACAUCUUGUUCGUCCGAUCCGUGACCAUAGACUUGUGGUCUUAGAUCCAGAUCAAGAAAAUGGAGGCCAGCGACAAUGAGCAGCUCAAUGCCUUCAUCACCAGCUACGACGUUCCUAAGGAGACAUAUAUCGUCACCAAGUACAACACCAACGCCGCCAACAUGUAUUGGGGUUGGAUUCAAGCCCUAGCCGAGGGGCGUCCUUGGAGGGACCCACUCGUCGUGAAGGAGGCCCUAGGGUUUGAGAAAAAGAAGCUGCCUUUGGCCUAAGGUGACGGCGGUGGAAACGGCAAGGGAAAUGGUUCUGGGAAUAAUAGGGGGUGGGAUAGUUAGGAUGACGACGGUUUUAGAUCGUCGAACGAUAUGAGGAGGAAUCAGUCAACCCAACAAACAUCCCGUAGCACCCCAGUUGCAUCAUCAGCGCCGUAUCCACCGGCAUCACCACUCUUCCCGCCGCAAAGUGCACCACCGGAAGCCUCCUUGGUUGGGAAGGGAAGAAAAGUUUAAGGGUGGGAAGAAAGGGAAAAAGGAUUAAUUUUAAGGGUUAUUAAAUUUAUUUUUUUAGUUUUUAAUAAUUAAUUAAUUUUUUAAUAAAGAGUGGGUCGAGCUUUAAGCCUCGUCAGCAUUUAACGGAGGAAUUGAGAGACAAACUGACGAAAGGUAUGACAUUGAACAAUUUUGUAAAAUAAGGUAUGACAAUGAAAUGUUUUAAAGAUGAGAUAUGAAACUGUGGUUGACUCAAUAGUUGAGGUAGUUUUAUGUAAUUUACUCUUUUAAUUUAAUUUAGGGGCAAAAUGCGCAUAAACAUCACAAUUCAAUAACUAGGUUUUUAUAUUAUUUUGCACCAUUAACUGGUCUAUAUCAAAAGAUCCAUAUAAAUAACUCACAAUUCAAUAACUAGGUUUUUAUAUUAUUUUGCAUCGUUAACUGGUCUAUAUCAAAAGAUCCAUAUAGAGUUUCAUGGGGCUGCACACUAAUACAUAGCUUCUUGCUCUAAUUAAACAAUACAAAAACUCAUAUUGAAAAUUUGACAAUAUGAAAUAUAAUUUACAGGAUCAACUGUCAAUUUAGUCUUUGAAUUAUCACUUCAGUAAAAAUUAGAAACCUAAAUUAAUUUUCGGUAACAUAAGUCCUCAAAUUAAUAAAAAUAAAAAGAAACUGAUAAUUACAUCCUUAAUAUUAGAUUUGAAGCUAUUUUAUUUAAUUUUCGUCAAUUUAAGUCACAUGACUUGCAUGUAAUACACUUUGGAGCGUAAAUUGGUAGUUCAUAAAUUUAAGGACUUAUUUUUUAUUAAGAAGUAGGGUAUGGAGUUAACUUUGGAGGGUUAAUUAGACGUUAGAUUUGCAAUCUAUAUGGAACGUUAAGGGUUUAUAUAUGGAAAAUGACGGUAUUACCCUCUAAAAUGUGUCAUUUGACUUAAGUUGACGAAAAGUUGGAUAAAAUAGCUUUGAAUAUAUAGUAGGGAUGAAAUUAGCAAUUUUUAAUGAAUUUAAGGACUUAUUUUACAUAAAAAAUUGUUAGGACAUAAUUUUUUAUGAGGUAAUAAUUCAAGGACUACAUGAGCAAUUCACCCUAACUUAUAAUAUGUGGUUCUACUUCUUGUUAUACUAAGAACUUUUGUGUAAAAUACUCACACAAGGAUCCCGUAGAAAAUGUUUACUUAAUGCCCAGGGUUUUAGCUACAUGAUGUGUUGUGCAUGUAGUAAGAUGCAAGUUAGAGGACAUUAUCGGUGUGGUUAGUUGUGAGAUUGGGUUGGAAUUGGUCUUUAUCUUGUCUUGCCUAAAGUACCAAGUUUACUACAUUGCCUUGAGUGUGCUUUUGUUUGACCGAUGUAGAAUUGGUUGCACAUUUGGCCGAUUAUGUAGUGGUCCCAUAUGAAGGACGUGUAAAUGAUAGGAGCACAUUUAUGCGACUUAGUUGGCUUGUUCUUGUGCAUUUAUGUCGUGUUUCCUUAGUUAUUUUAAUGUUUAAAGUCAUUUUCGUGUGUUUUCAGAUUUUAUGGACAAAGUAUGCAAGAAGAUGCAUUUUGGAGGCCUUUGGAGCAUGUUUCGGGCUUGGAAUGGAUAGCAAAUGCAUGGGCCAAGUGGAUGGACGAAUUUGAGAACUAAAGAGGCCAAGAAUAUGAAGAAUUAUGGUCCAAAAGAUGAAGAAAACAGUCCAAAAAUCUGUCACCCCAACUUGCAUUCCUUGCCAUGCAAACCACAUAGAAUUCCCUUUGGAUUCCAUGCCAUGCUUGAUCACUCUUGUCCCCUACAUAAUUUCUAAUUUCAUGCUUCAAUUCAUUUAAUUAUUACACUCAAUUGCUUGAUACCUCUUGUUCCUUUCACUCAUUAGAUUUUAGACAACAUUUACAUCCAUUGCAUGCACCAAUUGAUGCUCCAUCAUUCACAUUUGGAAUCCAAUGCCAUGUGCAACACAUGUUGUUGCACCUUUGACCCAUUUGUUGACACAUUUCACCUCCCUUUCCAUCUCUAUGCAAUGUACACAAUCAUUCAUGCUCCCUAGCCACAACACCACUCCAUUUUACCCUUCACACUUUGCAUCAUUACUUCAUUUUCACCCUUGGACCAUUGCACACCACACACACAAAUUGCCAUGCAUUUCAUCCUUAACCUAACAUGAUUUUCUAAGGUUUUUGGGGCCUAUAAAUACAUGUUUACACCCCUUGGCCAAAGGACAUUCCCCCAUAUUCAUCAUUUUAUCACAAAAAUUCGUCCAUACACACCCUAGGAAGCAAAACACCCCAAAAACACCAUUCUAGUGCCUAGAAAACAUAACAGCCACUCCACCUUCUUCCACCCUCUUUGCCUAGUUCUCCACCACCCUCCAACCAUCAAACACUCCUCCACACUCACCCUAAACCCUUCCAUACCAUUCCCCAUCCAUUCUACAUCAUAAAACUACCCAAAAAUCUGUCCAUAACCCAAUCUGCCGCAAGCAAGGGAAAGGAGGAAUUCUUGGAUGCACUUGCUACCAAGUUGGAGCAUUUUAGGUGUUUUCUUUCCUUUGAUUUUAAUGUCUAAUUUUAUGUAUCUUUGCUUUGUGAGUAUGAGGAACUAAACCCCUCUUAGUUAGGGGGUGAUUCGAAACUAUGUUCAUACUUGCAAUAUGAUUUGAUUACAUCCAGUUGUGAUUCAUAAGUUGUGAAUUCAAUUUACUUAUCCGUUCAUAUAAAAACUAAUUUGUGUAUGUUGGUUAAGAGUGCACGCUUAAUUUUCAUGCAUGAAUUUGACGCUAGAAUAUAAGGGAGUUUCACCUAAUCGUUAUGAAACUUAUAUUCACAAGUAGUGAAGGUUGCUAGUCACAAUCACGUUAAGUAAACUUCUUGGCAUAAGUUUCAUGCAAAUCAUAGUAACGAGUGCCUCGUCAAUGCUUAUGUUUUUUCAUAGAACUUAAUGAUUCUUGCUUGUAUCUCUAUUAUGCAAUUCAUGUAGGGAACUUGUAGGGAAUGUUUUGGGUUGUCGUAUGCAAUCAUCCAACCUAAUAACUUGUGGAAAAAACUGAGGGUUAAUUAGUGCAAUUCACGGUUAAUUUGGGGCGUUGAGUAUUCAUAGCUUAUCGAAAAGCAACUGGAAAUCGUUUUGUAUGCAAGUGUGACAUAUGUGGAGAAGAACCUCCUAGCUAAUCUUCCAUCCAUAAGUUUCAUUCAAAUUCACUUACAAUCUGUUUUGUUUUACAAAGUUUGUUUUGUUUUCAAAUUCAUUAAAACCAAAAAUCCCCCUUUUACUUUAUUGUUUCAAAGUGUUUAAUUUCUGUUUUGGUUGUGUGUUAGAGUGUUUUGAUUCACCCAAAUUUGUCUAAGAAUUUGUUUACUUUGUUCUUGUCUUAAUUUAAUUAUUUUCGUCAAAAUCAACCCCAUCUUAUUUCUUUGAGUCAUAUUAAUUAGAACUUGUCUUAGAUUAUGUUUUUAAGUGUUUUAGUUCAUUAGAAAACCAAAAUUUGUCCAAGUUUGUGUGAGAGUCCCAAAAUUGCCCAGAUUGUGUUUUUAAGGUAGUUUUGAGUGUUUAGGGGCUGUUUUGAGUCUUUUGGUUUGUUUUAGUGUUUUAAAGUAUAGUUUUGCAUUCUUUGAGUCUAGUUAGUGUUUUAAACUUUGUUUUCACGUUUUCAAGUCAGUUUCCAAGUGAUUUAGCAAUCCCUCCUAAUCCCCGGCCUAGAACGAUCCCUACUUACAUACUUUACUACAAUUGAUAAAAAGAGGGUUUAAUUUGUGUGUUUAGUUAUUUUACGCAUCAGUAAACAACACAAAAAUCUCAUAUAAAGAAAAAUUAACCAAAUUAAAUAUGACUUAUGUUGCUUGGUUCAACUUCUAGUCACAUCGAAGUUUUAUAUAUCGAUAUGAUUGAGUGAAAGACGUUAACCCAUUUAUGUUAAAAUUUCCUCUAAAAUCUUAAUACAUAAGAACAAUAAUAAGUAAAUAAGUAGUGUGGUUUUGUUGAGAAUUUUAAAAUCUUUGGUGUUUUGAACAAGUGAUAUUAUCUACAUUAAGAGAAUGGGGUGAACUUAGCCUCACAAUAAGCUAGCAAUAAUAUGGUUUAAACUCGCAUUUAGAGAGAUCCGAACCUAAAACCUCUCACUUACGAGUGAAGGUGAAAUUUUAAAAUCGUUGGUGUUAGAUUGGAUGGAUUCCUAGAAAAUUGAUUCCCCCUACGUAAUUAAAUGUAUAUCUUAAUUAAGGCCAAAGAUAAUUAGGUAUAUAGCCUCAAAAGUUCAUGUGGGCAAAGACAUGAAUACUUAAUUAUUUCCUCCCUUUGAUAUAUACACGCAUUAUAGGACUUUAUUCAUAGAAACAGAAGAUCAAAACACUUGCAUCUAAAUGGGAAAGCAGGUAGCUAUUAUAGGAGCUAGAAUUAGCGGCCUCCUUGCUUGCUAGUACACACUUUCAAAGGGCUUUCAUCCUAUUGUUUUUGAAAAUUCAAGUUCCAUUGGGGGAGUGUGGACCAAAACUGCUGAGACUACCAAGAUCUAAACCCACAAUUCUCAGAUUUCCUUGGCCAUCUUCAGUGACAAAAGGCCACCCAGACCAGAAUCAGGUUUUGAAUUACAUCCAAUCAUAUGCUCAACAUUUUGACUUGCUCAAGCACAUCAAAUUCAACAGCAAAGUGAGCGGGAUUGAGUAUGAAGGCCAAUCCGGCGAUGAGAUGCAAGCUUGGAGUCACUAGGGUGGCAUCGGAGAACCAUUCAACUCCGGAGGGAAAUGGAAGGUUGUUGUAGAAGACAAACAAAGCCUUUCAACUAAGGUACAUAAUUGUUGGAACGUCAACUAUCCCACAAAUUUAGGGAUAGAUUAGCAACCAAGUAUAUACUUUGACUGUAAUUGAUUACAGUUGACUUUGUAUAGAAUAAUUUACUUGAUUGUAUUCCUUGAUUAUAGGAUCACAGUUGUAUAUAUUUUUCAACUCAAUGAAUGAAAGAAUUAUUUUGGCAAACAUCCUUUUGUCAUUCUUUACAUGGUAUCAAAGCUAGGGCAAACAACAAACCUUAGUUUUUCUUUCCGUUGCCUUUUUUCUCUGUCAUUGCCAACCUUCAGCCAUGGCCAAUGAGCAGACCUCUACUGGAAGUAAGCCUGAUGCUUCCAAUCCCGUCCAUUAUGCCGACCAUCCUGCGAUGGUUCUCGUCUCCAAACUUCUCAAUGGAGACAACUAUGCCACUUGGUGUUCUUUUGUGAAACUUUCCCUGCACGCGAAGAACAAGUUGGGUUUUAUGGAUGGCACACUGAAGGUUCCUAAUGAGAAGAAGAACCCAGAUGAUUAUGCUUUCUGGAAGUGAUGCAACGACAUGAUCAUUUUCUGGAUCUUGAAUUUCGUCGACCAAUCCAUACAAGAUAGUGUGGUUUAUUAUACCAUAGCCUAAGCAAUUUGGCAAGACCUUGAAAAUCAUUUUAGUCAAGGUAAUGUGCUUAGAAUUUUUCAAAUCCAACGGGAGAUAACUUUUAUCUCUCAAGACAAGUUAUAUGUUGCUACUUAUUAUACCAAGUUGAAUGGUCUGCGGGAUGAGCUUGCAUCCUAUGAUGACCAUGAGUCUUGUACCUGUGGUGUUUUGCAGAAACAAGGUGAACAAAUGGAGUGCACCAGAUUAAUGCAAUUCCUCAUGGGGCUCAAUGAGGCUUAUAGUGCUGCACAAGGCAAUAUUCUAAUGAUGAGUCCAUUACCUACGGUACGUUUAGUGUACUAUAUGAUUGUUCAGCUGGAAAAACAGCGUGAUGUGAAUGAUUCACUCGAAGUUGCCGAAGUUGCUGCAAUGGCAGUUCGCUAAAGGUAGAAACAAAAGAGUGGCAGUAACUCUUCCUCCCGUAAACCACUCCACUGCACCCAUUGUGACAUCAAUCACCACACCAUUGACACAUGCUACUAGCUGCACGGUUAUCCCCCGGACCAUGGCCUUCAUAAGUCCAACAAAGGUGGUAGACACAGCAAUAAUGGUGGAGGGCACAACAAGUGCAAUGGAAGCCCUUCUUCUGCAAACAACACUAUCACUGGCGAGGUUCCCCUACAAGAACUGCACUCAGCAGUCCCUGGCCUUUCUAAUGCACAGUUUCAGCAAAUUCUUUCCAUCAUGAACGACAACGGCACCACACCGAACACUUCCCAAACCACUGCCCCUCAAGCCAAUGUUGUUGGCACUUCAUCAGGUUUGCCAAAUGUCUCACAGCGCUUCUGUCGAUGGAUAAUCAAUAAUGGUGCUACGGACCAUAUUACGUCUUCUCCAAAUUCACUUACUCAUUGCACCAAAAAUAUCACUCUACCACCUGUUCAACUACCUAGUGGUGAACAAGCUCCCAUCCUUUCCAUUGAGAGUUUGUCUUUAACUUCUUCAAUCCAUUUACAAAAUGUCUUAUGUGUGCCCACUUUCAAAGUUGAUUUAAUGUCUGUAACUCGAGUAACCAACAAAAUGGCCUGUUCCAUAACCUUUUACCCUACUUGGUGUAUUUUGCGGGACUUGGCUAUGAAGAAAACGAUUAGUUUAGGUAAACGGUGUGGAGGACUCUAUUAUUUGGUGGCCUUAGUUUUAGCAACACCGCAACCCUCUGUCUAACCUUCCUGCCACCUUGUCACCUUCUCCACCGAGUUAUGGCACCGUCAUUUAGGUCACCUAUCACCCUCUAGAUUGAAGUUUAUGGCCACACAUCUGUUACAUUUUCCUUUUGAUUUGAAUAAGGCUUGUGAUGUAUGCCCUUUGGCCAAGCAACAUCGGCUUUCUUUUGGCACUAGUUCAAUUAAUACUAAGAACUCUUUUGAACUUAUUCAUUGUGACAUUUGGGGUCCUUACAAAAUCAAAUCCCUUUCCAGUGCUAAAUAUUUUUUAACUGUGGUGGAUGAUUAUUCUAGGUCUACAUGGGUUUUUCUUAGGCACUAGAAAAGUGAAACACAACCUUUACUUAAACAAUUCCCUUCCUUUAUGCAAACCCAAUUCCACACACAAGUAAAAACCAUUCGAACUAAUAAUGGGGAGUUCCUUUCUUUACAUUCUUUUUUCAAAGAUCUUGGCAUUGUUUUCCAACAUUCAUGUGUCUAUACGCCUAAAUAAAAUGGUGUUGUCGAAUGCAAGUACUGCCACAUUCUUAAAAUGGCGCGUACCUUGCGUUUUCAAGGUCACUUCCCCUUACAUUUCUGGGGUGAUUGUGUUCUCACUGCUGUCCACAUCAUCAACAGGUUUCCAACCCUUCUUCUCCACUACAAAACACCCUACGAACUCCUUCAUGGUAGAUGUCUUACUUUUUCUCAUCUCCGGGUUUUUGGCUUCCUUGCCUAUGCAACCAAUACCCAUAUUUCUCAUAAAUUUGAUUCCCAAGCAAAGCGUUGUGUUAUUUUGGGUUACCCCGUUGGUCAAAAAGCCUACAAACUAUAUGACUUGGACUCCAAACAAAUAUUCACAAGCCGAGAAGUUAUUUUUCAUGAAACUACCUAUCCUUUUCAAACCUUGCUUCCUUCACACACGUUACCCCUCCCUACUUCUCAUCACACUCUACCUCUCACCCUUACUCCUACCUUACCAACCUCAGACGAGUCCCACUCUUCCUCACCUUCCUCACCAUCUUCUUCAUCUCCUCCUACACCUCAUAGCACGGAUACUGAUCAUUCUCCACAUCCCCAUGCUGCUGAGCCUAAUCCCACUACUCUUGAUCAUUCUCCUAUCCUCCCCAUCGAUCCCAACCCCACUCCACCAGUCCUUGAACCACCCUCCUCCCCCAUUGGGCAUCCUUUGUGCCACCGCACCAUACCUGCCUACCUCAAUGAUUAUGUUUGCUUGUAGGUUAUGUUGCCUACACCCAAGCCGUUGCUUUCUUCAUUGUCAAGCUCCACUAAAGGUACCAGGUAUCCCUUGGACCAUUUUCUUUCCUAUCAUCGUUACUCACCCACACAUUUUUAUAUUAACCAUGUUAGCUAUGAUGUGGAACCUCGUACAUGUUGUUUAUCACCCUCACUGGCAAGUUGCUAUGCAAUCUGAGUUGUAAGCGUUGGCUGAGAAUCACACUUGGACUCUUACUCUUUUUCCUCCUGGCAAGUUUCUCAUUGGUUGCAAAUGGGUCUACAAGAUCAAACAUCGUUCUAAUGGAACCAUUGAGCGCUACAAAGCUCGUUUGGUCGCCAAGGGUUACACUCAGAUGGAGGGUGUUGAUUACCAUGACUCUUUUCUCGCCCACUGCUAAAAUGACCAUUGUCUGUUGCUUAUUGUCCAUUGCCUCCACCCUUAAUUGGUCCAUUCAUCAGCUUGAUGUUAAUAACGCAUUCUUACAUGGUGAUCUUCAUAAGGAAAUCUAUAUGUCCCCACCUUUUGGUCUUCUACGACAGGGGGAGCAUUUGGUACGACGCUUUCACAAGUCGUUGUAUGGUUUGAAGCAAGCUUCUUGCCAAUGGUUUGCUAAGUUCUCUCCUGCCAUUAGUGCUACUAGUUUUGUACAAUCUAAAGCCGAUUAUUCACUCUUCACUCAUCGCAGAGAGACCUCUUUCACAGUUCUUUUGAUUUACAUGGAUGACAUCGUUAUCACUGGAAAUAAUUUGGCUGCUAGUUCUUCCCUUAAAGCUUUUUCGCACAGUUAUUUUCGAAUCAAGGAUCUUGGAGACUUAAUAUUUUCUGGGAAUUGAAGUGUCAUGUUCCCAUAAAGGUAUUUCCAUUUCACAAAGGAAAUACAAUUUGGAGAUCUUGAAAGAUGUUGGCCUCUUGAGAGCACAACCAAUUGACUUUCCCAUGGAACAAAACUUGAAGCUUUUAGAUAAAGGGGAACUACUCAAAGACAUAUCACAGUAUAGAGAAUUGUGGGGCACUUGAUUUACUUGACGAUAACUCGUCCUAACAUCAUUUAUUCAGCGCAUGUCUUGAGUUGCUUCAUGCAUGAGCCACGUAAACCUCAUAUGGAAGCAGUACUUCGUGUUCUAAGGUACCUCAAAGGCACACCAGGUCAAGGUCUUUUCUUUUCCUCACAAAACAAAAUAGUUUUGAGAGCUUACUAUGGCUUGGACUGGGCAGGUUGCCCGAUUACUCGAAGGUCUGCUACAGGAUAUUGCAUAUUCUUGGGAUCCUCCUUAAUUUCUUGGAGAUCAAAGAGACAGAAGACAGUGUCAUUAUCUUCAACUGAAACUGAGUAUAAAGCUAUGACAAGUGCUUGUUGUGAGCUUUCAUGGCUUCAAUACCUUCUUAGAGACCUAAAUUUAGCACAUAUAGGGGCUGCAACCCUACAUUGCGACAACCAAGCAGCUUUACACAUAGUUGCUAACCCAAUCUUCCAUGAACAAACUUGACACAUAGAGAUUGAUUGCCAUUUUAUCAAAGACAAAAUUCAAGAUGGUUCAGUAUAACAAAAACAUGUCUCUUCAUCACAACAACUUGCAAAUGUGUUCACAAAGGCGUUGGGAAAUGAUGCUUUCUCAGCUGUGUUAUGCAAGUUGGGAGUUCUAGAUAUACACUCUCCAACUUGAGGGGGAGUGUUGGAACGUCAACUCUAUCCCACAAAUUUAGGGAUAGAUUAGCAACGAAGUAUAUACUUUUAAUUGUAAUUGAUUAUAGUUGACUUUGUAUAGAAUAAUUUACUUGAUUGUAUUCCUUGAUUAUAGGAUCAUAUAUGUAUAUAUUUUUCAACUCAAUGAAUGAAAGAAUUAUUCUGGCAAACAUCCUUUUGUCAUUCUUUACAAUACUUAUAUUAUGUGCAUAUAUUUAUUUACGUAUGCUUUCAAGUUUAAUUAUAUUAUGUUAUCAAACUGUCAAUAUUUCAGUCAUAAUGAUCUAGUAUGAAUGAGCAGAUUCAUGUGGUGGACUUUGUGAUCCUUUGCAUCGGGCGAUUCAGCGACGUUCCAAACAUUCCCGAGUUCCCUCCAAACAAGGGACCAGAAGCAUUUCAUGGAGAGGUUAUACACUCCAUGAAAUUAUGCCGACAUGGAUUACGAAAGCGCAGCUAAAUUUGUGGAAGGAAAGCAAGUAACUGUUGUGGGAUUUCAGAAAUUUGCAAUGGACAUUGCGAUGGAGUGCUCAAUCGCAAAUGGUAAUUAUACUAAACUGAGAAUUUAAAUGCCACGUUACACAAGUCCAAGAAGUAGCUCAGCAAUAAUUUGACCAUUUUAAUAGAUUGUUUGUGUUGCAUUUUCCCUUAAUUCAAUAGUUGGUAAUAUUCAGGGGUUGAAAAUCCAUGCACAGUGUUGUGUACAAGACAGAACACUGGAAUCUUCCUGGCUAUCUUCCAUGGGGCUUUCCCAUCGCAUACUUAUACUUCAAUCGCUUCUCGGAGCUCUUGGAACACAAGCCCGGUGAAGGCAUCCAGCUCAGUCUCCUUGCAACAAUUAUUUCACCUGUGGUAUACUUCAUUUUGCUAACCCUAAUUAUGCCUUUUGAUUGUGAUGCUUAUAGAUAAAACUAACAAAACUUAUAAGGAUUGAACAGAGAUGGGGGUUUUCGAAAUUUGUCGAAAGCUAUAUAAAUAAGAAGCUUGGUUUAGCCAAGUAUGGAAUGGUACCUAAGCACAGUUUCCUUCAAGAAAUCAGUUCUUGUAUGAUAGCAAACAGUACCGGAAAAGUUCUUUGAUCGAGUCCGAUAGGGAAGCAUCAUACUGAAAAAGUCUCCUGGCGGCUUUGGCUUUUGCCAAGAAGGGAUUCUGGUUAAUGGUGAAAGCUCCCCUGUGAAGUCAGAUUUGGUCAUCUUGGCUACUGGGUUUAGGGGCGAGAAAAAGCUCAAGGACAUGUUUGUGUCUCCCACCUUUCAGGACUACAUCCUCGGUUCGCCUAAGUCCAUAUUACUCCUUUACAGGUUAAGCUUAUUUCAUAGACCAUACCACAUUUACUGAUCACAUCUCUUAGAGAACAAAUUGUCUAUUUGGGUCUAAAUUUCGAAUGACGUGCGAUAUGUAAAUGUGGCACAAAUGUUUCUGUUAGGUACUUUUAUUAGAUACAGCAUUUGAAUAAGAAAAUCAUGUAUGAUUUCAUCUCAAUCAGGGAAUGCAUACAUGGAAGAAUUUCACAGCUAUCAGUAAUUGGAUUCUCCGAAAGUAUUUCGAACUUAUACACCUCCAAGAUGAGGUGCAGUAUGGCUAGCGGAGCUUCUCAGAGGCACAUUUAAGCUACCAAGCAUAAAAGAGAUGGAUAAAGAUGUGGAAAAAUGGGACGCAUACGCAGUAUGGCUAGUGAAGUGAUUUUGAAAAAAAAGCUAGUAUCAAAAAAAGCUGGGGGCAUUUUUGUGUUUGAUAAACUUCCAACUUCAGUUUUUUUUCACAGUUUUGGAUGAAAAAAAGCCUAAAAACAGAAGCGGCAAAAGACAGUUUUGAAAAACUGGCUUUUCAACUUCUGCGCAAACCUUUAAAACACGGGUGAACAGUGACCCUUUAAUCAAAGUUUCUGGCAAUCCUACCCUCCCUUCAUCUCUAUCAUCCCCUUUCUGCUCCUCCUAACUUCAUCUUUACCAAAGAUCUUUGAAGAUUUGUGUCGCCCCCACUGUGAAUCUAUCUCGUCCCUCCCCAUGAAGAUCCGAAUCGUCACCACCAGAGACCCACAAGGGUCGCCAGGAGGAGAGCAUGGAAGAGAUGGAGAAAGAUGUGAAAAAAUGGGACGCAUACGGGAAGCGAAGCGAUACACUUCCAGCCAAUACUACCGGAGAUCAUGCACCGGUGCCCUCCAUCUGUGGUACAAUGACCAGUUGUGCAAGGAUAUGGGAUGGAACCCCAAAAGAAAGAAGGGACUCUUUGCUGAAUUGUUUGAGCCUUAUGGCCCCAUGGAUUAUGCUUCCUCUUGAAAUGGUCAACAUCAACAUAAUAAAAGAUUAGUUUUCCUUGUAUUUUGCUGCAUAACAGCUCAUGUUUGAACCUGUCGUUGUAUUCAAGCACUUGUAUUUUGUUGCAUAAAAGUUCAUGUUGAACCCAUCGUUGUAUUUAGGCAAUGCAUCUUUAAACUAAGAUGACGGUUUUGUUCCUGAUUUGCGUUUUAUAUUUCCAACCGAAACGAAAGCAUGCAAAUGGGUUAAAUUCUGUCCCCUUUAGUUUGAAGCAACUCAAUAAAAGGGUUGUAGUAUCGAGUGGAUUUCGAAGUAUUUUUGUUUUAUUUUUUAAACAAACGAUAUUAUCUAAAAACUCGUUUGUUCAAACUCGCAUUUGGCAAUAAUUGCCAUGGUCACGGGCUUUUCAAAGUCCUUUUGUGUAGCUAGAAACUUUAGCACCAGCUUCCAACGCAGCUUCCAGUGGCUGGAGCGCCCAACGGCAUGCCUCGUUGUCAAGCGUUGGGGAUUUGGGAGGAUCGACAACGGAAGGAGUGUGAAUUUGGUGAAGUCAAGGCCAAGAGAGAUGUAUCCAAGAAGUAGAAGCUACAUUGAUUCCAGGAAAACAAUCUCAUGAAGACUUUAACUCCUGCGGUCUUAUAACUAAAGUUUGGAAUUGGACCGUAUUUGCUAACAUGACUCACCACGUGUUUAUUAUAACUUUUUCACCACGAGGAUUGCGGUUAAAGUAUGGUAAACUGUAAUUUACAAGAAUAUAUACUAAGGAAUAUUCAUGUCUGUUUUUCGUACCUAAAAAUUAUCAAUGAAUAUAAAAACGUAUAAUCAUGUAAUACAAAUAUUGAAACAAAUGCGCAAUUCGCAGCUGAAACCUCUCUUCGGCUUGUGGGAGAUACUCGGCCUAUGAUGUCAUUCAAUCGAAUUGAUUUUGCCAAUCUCAAGUGGCUAGCUGGGAAAAGAAGUGGAUCAUGCAGUUUUAGGCACAUUCUAAAACCUGGAAACAUGUUCCUAGUUCAUAGUUCAUAUAAAUCCUAUCUCUAAAUUUUAAAUAAGAUUUUAAAGGGAAAAAUAGAUGAGGCGGUGACAACAUUAACUUUUAACAGCUUCAUCGGCAUAUUCCAACUAGUCCGUCAAGAACCAGAGUGAAAAUAUUUUGCAGUUCUCGCAAAAAUGAAAACGGAAAAAUGCAGCAUUACACGAAUUUUGAAUGUCCACUAACCUGAGCUGUCUGGAAAUCCCUGUGCACGAACCACCACGGGCCUGAUUUUGACAGAUAUCUGAAAGGAGAACAGAAGAAAAACAAAGAUACGAAUAAGCAGCAACAGAGAUAGCGAUGAUGCUGAUAAACGUAAAAUCCAGAAAUGAAUAAUCAUUAUGCCUCUUCUACUAGCAAAAUAAGCAAAUGAUGUAUUCAUAUUUUAGCAUUAGAAGCCUUAGAUUUUAUUAUCACCAGGAGUUAUAAACCAGCCACUUACUUAAAGUUGGAUUAGUUAUCGAAAAGAGUAUUAUAUUCACGAUUAAUGUUGAUAAUCAAAAUUUGACAUGGUAUAUUAUUACCUGGCAUAGCCUGCGACUGCGCGCAAGCCCAUGAAGAGAGUCAAACCCAGCCAAACUCCAUGAAGGCCAAAGAUGGAAGGAGCAUAUAGCAAAAAAUGCGGAAGAUAAUGCCCCCACUACCAUCUAUUAAUAAUAGAGAUUUUGUCAGAACCAAAAACAGAAAUAUGUACACUUUCAUAGUCAAAGUAAUAAUAAAAUGGAAACAAGUAGAUAAAGACUAUGAUGAUAAAAAGAGCGUGUCCAUACCUGACCAGAUGCAGCCAUUGCAUCAGUUAGAAGGGAUACAGCCAACCAUACUUGAAUACAUACAUAUCUUAUGAGCAGCCAUAGCUACUGGACCUUGACGAGCCGCCAUUGAUGUUCCCAAUGUCAAGGUCGUAUGACAAGCAACAGUUCGUCCAAGAAGAAAACCACCUCCAACAUCGCAGAGUUGUUACCAAAAGCAAUUAGGUAAGAAACUUUGAAUAUGAAGACGAGAGAAUUAUCACUGGGGUAAUGAAAGAAGUUUAACAACCAACACAAAGACAAAAGAAACAUUAAUAUACACUGCCCCGAUACAUGUGCACUGAAUCGGAAGAUAAAGUGAAAUACUAUGAUAGUCAAGAAAAUCAACGAAUCGGAGAGCUGGAAGAAAGCUGUAUAUAUUCAGAUAGAUGAGAGUAAAACGUUCAAUAAAAGGAAAUAAACUUACCGGAUUUAAGGUAUCCACCAAAUUGUAGUGAUCCAACCUUCGGAGGCAAUGGUAUAGCUCUCUUAUUUAGAAACCAGAUCAUUAAAAAGGUGACAGUGUAUCUGAAAAACAGAUAUUCCAUAAAGUUCAUUUUCUAAUUACAGAUAAAAAAGGGUAAUAUUGAAAGAAAGUCUAUUGAAAAUCACAUACUGAGAUAUAACAGUGGAAAUGGCUGCACCAGUUGCACCCAAACGAAAAUAAUAAAUAUGGAGGGGCAACAAAAACACAGCUAACGAAUUACCAAUACCUGCACGAAAAACAAUACAUUGACUAAAAACAAAUGGAAAUCAACAAGUUGGAGACAUGAUUAUAAAUACACUGUGCAAGAAUAAUAGACCACUAUUAUGCGUGUGUUAUAUGGGCGUUGUGUGUGUGUGUGCGCGCCCGCGCGCGCGUAGAAAACUAGACCUUCCAUCCCAAAAGCUUCAAUUAUUUCAUAUUCAAUCAAAAGAUGCUAAAGGCUAUUAGGACAUGUGUCACAAAUAUAUAGCAUUGUAGUGGAUAAAAAAGUGUUACACCACUUCCCCAGUGCUCUCCCCUCAGCAAGAUGCUGACAACAAUAGAUUAACCAGGCAUUUCAGCAGUCACACAAGACAAAUUCAUACUGCUAUCUAGAAAGGGAUGUCACUUGAACGUUUAAAAUAUAUAUAACCAAAAACUUGCCUAGACAUAGUACUGGAGUUUUUGUAUCCUUAAAUCCACGGAAAACUCCUUGAAGAGCCAAAGAUGCUACAACUGCGGGAGCACCAAAUGCUCUUAGUUGAUGAAAUCGUUGUGCUUGAAUGCGCAUAGGUGAGUCCUGUGAUAUUCGGGGGGAAAAAAAGAUCUUCCUUAAAUUAAACAGUCAAAUAUGAGAGGGGAAACCAGAAAACGUAUAAGUUCCCCCCAUAACCAAAAAUAAAAAAUCAAAUUGAGUAACCGCACAUGCACAAGAACUAGAAACUUGUAUAGUAAUUGUUCACAUAUAUAUAAUUGCAUUUAUGCAUACAAAAAAAGAAAGUUUGUAUAAUCAUGUAAAAAGAUAUAAGACAAGGAAGACAAACAAAUCAGUAUGAGAAGUAAUUUUAGAUCAGGUAACCUACUGAUGAUAUGCCCAUCAUAUUUAGAAACAACCCAGAUCCCAAAGACAGAGCCAUGGCCUCAAAGAUUCCAAUCCCAACUGCUAACUGUAAAGCUGUAGACACUGAAGAUAGCUGCUUUCUCUCAACGACUCCAUCAACAGGUUUGGGUUUACCAUUAGUAUUGCCGUCUAGAUAACCAUUUUCUGUACGAAAAUCAGCCAAAAUCAGAUUCCCAAAAAAAAAAAAAAGUUUAAGUAAUCUCUGCUCUAAGUUAGACAUAAAGACAGACCAAAUAUGUGUACAACAAAGAUGACCAGGGAAGUAAAACAAAAGUUGAACUUCGCCUGAAGUAGAACCUUUACUUUCACUCUUAGCAAGGUCUUCAGCAACAAAAGAUGUAGCAACACUGAGGAGAGGGAUAUUAAAUGUCUUUGAGAUAUAAUUAAAGAUGUUCAUUGAAAUACCAGCUGAAGCCAAUUCCACGGAACCUAUGGAAAAACAGAAGCAAAAUAAUAAGGAGCUCCAAAUUCAAAUCAAUUAUACAGUUAUCAGUCAUUGAACACGUUUAAAGGAGUGAAACAAACCCAAAUUGCCAAUGUAUGCAGUCUCCAUUAGUUGUGCUAAUGGAUCAAUGGCCUGACCCAUAAUUGGUAAAGAAAGCAUCAAUAGCUCGCUUUUGACAUCUGGAGAAUAUGUUUCACUGAUAGAAAUGUUAUUAAACUCUAACCCAAAACAAACAAAAAACAAUGCUUAACAUAGGUAGCUUAGUUCUUGGAUCAACUAAAAACUAUGAGUAAUAAUAACAAUUUCAGAGAUUCGCUGAAAUAGACAAUUCCCGAUAGCUAUUGACGGUAAUAUUUCUCAUAUAAGCUUCAUAAUCAAAAUUAAGUGAAUAAAAACAAAAUUAACUUGCUUGCACUUAUAAACCAAACCACAUACGAAGGGAGGGACUAGAAGAUGAAGGGAUUGGGAGGCUUCCAUCAAAAGUAGAAAAAUUUAUCUAAAGCUAUCAUGCUCAGUCACCAGCCACUCUACAAACUCAUAAUUUAUUUUUUUCAAACGAUAAGAGCAUCAAUCAAGAAAAAAAAAAGUUCACAACAAUAAAAGCAGCAUUUCAAGAAACUAAAGGAACAAAAAUUUUAAUAUAACAAGGUAAUGUAGGCUAUAAGGUCUUACAGGUCACCACUCCCUACACCUAUGAGAGCUUCCUCUUCCUCCAAAACCAACUUUCCUUCCACCUCAGAGGAUCCCACACCCAAAUCCGAACUCAAUUGAUUAGCCACCACCGGGAAACAGGGUCUUCUGCGGCGUGUCACUAGCAGUGUGCACAAUGCUCUUCGUGUAGCAUACAGAUUGCAUCCCCCCACAACAUUGACAUUGUUCAAAUCCUUCCUACCACUUCUUGCUACAAUAUUACAAUCUCCCCUUCUGUGCAAUGAAUUAAACAACCUAGACUUUUGAGUUAUCGGGUUGCGGUCACUGGCUCGGGCGGUUAAUCCGUUAGAAAAAGGGCGCCACUUCUGAACUGGGCGAUUAAUCCUCGAUUAGAUUAAGGAGAUCACUCUACAGAUUGAAACAAUCCGGGCUGAUGUGGUAUAACCAUCUAAGUGAAUAUUUGACAAGUCAGGGUUAUGUGAACAAUGAACUAUGCCCAUGCGUGUUCAUUAAGAAGUCACAUUCCAGAUUUGCGAUCGUUGCAGUUUAUGUUGACGACAUGAACCUCAUCGGAACUCCUGCAGAGCUUGAGGAAAUAGCCGCGCACUUGAAAUCGAAAUUUAAGAUGAAAGAUCUUGGGAAAACUCGAUAUUGCCUCGGCCUGGAGAUCAAGCAUUGUUUAAAUGGAAUCCUAGUACAUCAAUCGAAUUACACCUAAAAGGUGCUACGACGUUUUAAUGAGGAUAAAGCGAAGCCUUCGAGUGCUUAUAUGGUCGUUCGGACUCUAGAUGUUUAAACGAGAUCCCUUCCGUUCGAAGCGAGAUGAGGAAGAGAUUUUGGAGCAUAAAGUUCCAUACCUAAGUGCGAUUGGUGAUUUAUUGUACUUGGCUCAAUGCACUAGACCCGACAUCUCCUUCGCUAUUAAUCUUUUGGCUAGAUACAGCAACACCCCUACACACAGACAUUGGAAUGGUGUUAAAGACAUUUUCUGCUACCUCAAGGGUACGAUGGAUUUGGGCUUGUUCUACACCCACAAAUCCUUGAGAAAAGCUGCCACCCCCCUCGGUCCUCGGGUUGAUUCACGCCUCACUGGUUACGCAGAUGCUAGCUAUAUGUUUAACCUACAUAGGGCACGUUCUCAAACGGGUUAUGUCUUUACCGGUUAAAAAACCGCUAUAUCUUGGAGGUCUACCAAGCAAACGCUAGUUGCGACUUCUUUGAACCAUGUUGAGAUUAUCGCCCUGCAUGAAGCCUCGUGAGAGUGCUUUUGGUUGAGAGCAAUAAUGGAACAUAUUCGAAGCACUAGUUGUCUUUCUCCCAUCGUUGACCUUCCUAUGACGAUCUUUGAAGACAAUGCAGCAUGUAUCGAGCAGUUAAAGAAUGGAUGCAUCAAGGGAGACAACACCAAGCACAUUGCACCGAAGUUCUUUUAUUCUCACCAACAACAAUAACAUUAAAACAUUGAAGUCAAGCAAAUCCGUUCCCAAGACAACCUGGUCGAUCUCUUCACGAAGUCAUUGCCCAAGUCUACUUUUCAAAAGCUCGUCCAAGGAAUCGGUAAUGUAAAUUAUCUGGGUUGAAUUGCUUGUACUUCUCUUAUUUGGAAGUUAUGUCUAACUCAGAGAAGUAUCCUAAAGCAUACUCACUUGAUCUUAAUGUACUCUUUUUCCUACAAUUAUGAGCAUUUUUCCCACUGGGUUUUUGCUACCUAACGAGGUUUUGAUGAGGCACCCAUCCUGGGAUGAUCAUACUCUGUUGAGUACACUAUUUUCGUCCUGUUUGACGUUUGUUUUAGACAUUAUGCGUACUUCUAACUUUUCUCAUUAGUCUAUGGGUUUUCCCCAUAACUUGGGUUUUACCAUGGCGAGGUUUUGCGAGUUUUACUACCAAUGCAUACUUUCUUAUAUCUGAGACUCGCAUUCACCCGUUGUGCCGACGACUUUAUCAAUCGUUCUACCUUAUAUGUUGAAUAUCUGAUGCGACGUUUUGUUUGAGUAUUUACACACUCAAGGGAGAGUGUUGCAAUCCUAUCGAAUUAGGAAUGCGAUUGUGUAAAUCCUAGUGUAUUUAGGAGUACCUUGUUUUUUUUCCCAAUAGUAAUUUAAUUCCUAUUAGAGAUGUAAUCCUAUUAGGGUAAGGAUUCUACCUAUCCUACUACUAUAAAUAAAGGCAUAAGGGGGUGAUACAACACACACCUCAUAAUUAAAUCUCUCUUUUCUCUCUCUGUUGCCACCAGCCCCUCUCAUUCUCUGUCCUUUAUAUAGUUGUUUAGGCCCAAAAUAUUGGUUUUGGCCAAGUUUAGAAUUGUUCUCGACCCGGAAGUGUUGCUCAAGGGCCGGCCGUGUUCUAUCAGGAUGGGGUAGUUGAAUCCUGAUACAAUAAGAAGUCUCGGCAGGAUGAGGAUGCUGAAACUUGGGAAUGAAUACGGCCUUAUAAGGAGUUGAGUUCAAAGUCCUGAUAGAAGUAGAACUGGCCGAGAUAAGAUUGGAUCGGGGUGAGAAGUCCUAAUCUGAGUAUAGUUUUCAUUCGAUCAGAAGCAUUUUUGCUACUAUAAAUAGAGGGAAAAGUGCAUCGUUCAAGCCCCCUCCAAUCCAACACACAAACUGCCCUGUGCAAACCCUCGCUUUACACAAAACCUCUCAACAACCUUGAGAUUUUUAUUUUCUUUUUUUGCCGACACAUCUUCAGUUUAGAUAAAGAGCACUGUGAAGGCAACAUGUGAUACCUUCAGUUUAGAUAAACAACAUUAUCGCCGUAGAACCCAGCCGACCGCGAAACAUCUUUAGUUUGGAUAAACAGCACCGUGUCGAGGCCGAUUGGUUAUCUAUCCAAGUCUCAGUCGAGAAAGACUUUUGGGUCUUUAUUGGCAGAGGUCAUCUCAUUAGCCUUUUCGGCGAGGUGAGGUGUUCCAGUUUAUUAGGGCUCAGCACAUUGAACGCCGAGUUGUUUUAUGAUUGGAUACUUGUAUGUAAGCUUCAGAGUUCGGCAUUCUGACGGCCGAACCACAUUUACCAUUAAGACAUAUAUCUGUUUUGAGUAUUUGUGCCCCUAUACUCUGGUGUUUAUUCAGCAUGCUUAUACCCUUACAAAUAUAAUCACUAUGACCGAAUUUGGCGCCGACAAUUUGUGAACUUUGUAAAAUUAGCAACCUUGUCUUCAGGCUCUAGAACCCAAAGGUCAAGAGUGUUCUUUCCUCGGCCGCGAUCGUAAGAUCAAGAAGUCAGCAACGCACCUAACGCAACAUCAACAUAUUUUACUCAGCCUAGCUCGACCAACGAGUUGUCACGCCCCACAUCAACCGAAGAACGUAGUUAGCUUAUUAGUUACUCGGCCUGCGCGCCACAUAGGCUUGGUAGUUUUUAGGGUCAAUAUUUUGGCAUGCCUGGUAGGACCAAGUGUUAAAACUACAAAGUUCAUGACCAUCGAGACACGAUCCGUUAAAAAGAAAACAAUGAUGGGAAAGUCAACGAUCGAUAUGCUAAUUCAAAGUCCUGGACAAGAAGUGUCGCAUAUGCGAAAUCCCCUCGUUGUUGCGACCCUUAAGGCUGUAAAUGUGACACACCGAGAAAAUGAGGUUUGUCUCGGUACCCAGCCCCGAAACAUAGAAGUACCUAACCAAAUCGUAAGAGUUUUCAUUGAAGGAAUAAUUGAGGACUGGGACGAAGAUAGUGGUGAAGGUUCUGACCCUCCAACUAGGUCGUUUCUUUGAAGACCACUUAACGAGCAAUCUCGGUAGGUUAAACAGAUAAUUAUCCAAAAGAUGAACAGUUUGCUCAAGGUAAUACGGAGUAAUGGUGAGACAUACACCUAAUUGCUCGAAUUAUUAGUUAGCAGAGUCUUCGCAAGAGGACCUGCUGAUCAGUCUCGACAAUUUCCACUCAAAAGUAAUCCAUUACAGGUAGAAGUAGGAUCUACUCAGCUCAAAACAAUUGAUUUGGAAAAAAAAAGAUCAAGUAGUAGGUCAGAUGGAUCCGACCAAAGAGUAGAAGUAGCAUCCGUCGAUAUGAUCGUGGUCCAAAGGAUGAUCGAUUCAGCCAUGAAAAAGGGGUCAAAGUUCCCGAAAUUCAUCCAUCCAUAUCCAGCUUAUGUGGAAAAAUUCAAAUAUCCUAAAGGCUUCAAGAUCCCAGAUUUCAGCCUUUUUGCUGGAGAAUCGUCCUUGUCCUCGUUAGAACAUGUGGCCCGGUUCACUGUGCAAAGCAGAAAUGUCAAUAGUGAUUUCCAUAAAAUGCGACUGUUUAACUUUUCGUUGAUGGGCUCAGCAUUCGCAUGGUAUAUCAACCUCCCACUUAAUUCCAUCCAAAGUUGGGAGAAGUUGGUCGAGAAAUUUCACAAACAACUUUAUUGGUCCGGGAUGGAAAUGUCAUUUUCUUCACUGGCUACGAUGGCUCAAGCAUUCGAUGAGUCACCAAUGGACUAUCUUACAAAGUUUAAAUCUGCCAGGAAUUAGUGCCGAGUACAUCUACCCGAAGUCGAAUUUGUUAGGCUUGCUCUAAAUGGGCUAGACGUGGAGUACAAAAAAGAAAUUCAUGGGGGCAAACUUCCAGGAUAUGUAGGAAUUAGCCCAAAUGGUGGUCGACGUUGAUCCAUUCCCUUCGGCAACAGUUGGUAUGGUAGACGCCCAUUUUCCCAAGAGCAAAGGGAAAAGGAACGCCUAGUUUGUUCCAAUACAACACGUCCCAAAGCAAAACUUUCGACCACAACUCAAAAUUGAUCUAUUUUCCAUUAAACCGCCCACCAAGUUUUCAGGAUCGGUCAUAGUAGAAUCUAUGUCAGACUCCAAUGCAGAAGAAACUGACGGGCCAUGGUUUUGUGCAGCAAUUGUAAGGCACGCAUCGUAUUAACCAAACAGAAUGAGAGAACACCUCAAACUCCAACACCACGGCAAUCAUCCAAGGAUGCGACGACACCCGCUAGAAAGUGUUCGAUAGGCUCGACCCUCAAGAACGGACAGACGGCCCUACCUUGGCCAGACGACGCCUUGAUUUCGACGCGCCGUUUUAUAACGAGGAUUAUUACUCGAGUAAUUCCAGCAAUUCAAGUUCAUCGGCGAAUCAAAAAAACCUUCAGGCCUCUUGAGUCACGCAACCAAUGUUGGUACAGUUACAACUCUCACACUGGCAUGUAUACUACACUAUCCAAAUCUCAAAAACGUCGACGCCAGUGGAUAUAUUGCAUGGCUCGACGACAGGCAGCCCAGAUCGUUUCGGCAGCUAAAUGGCAGCCGAAAGAAGCGAUAAGAAGCUGAGAUGAUCGACAAACCCUAACAAUUAUGGAUGAAUUACAAGGGCGAAAAGGAACCGAUCGCAACUUUGAAACCACUAUUGAUGAGUCCGAGAAGCGCAUCAAACUCCUCAUUCGGCCUAGCGAGAUGAAAGUUUGUUUCAAGUUGUUUGGGAAAGACGUCAAAAGCAAACUUUCCCCAUUACUCCCGCAAAAGUCAUUAAUAAGAGUUCGACAAAAUCUAUACCCUUCAUUCCUCGGUGAAUCCUUGGAGUACAUGAGAGAGUUUCAUAAGAAAUAUUCUGCCAACGAUUUGUACGGCCUACCCAAGGCGUGUCAAGAAGCUAUCGACCUGGCACUAAUUUGUCUUGAUGCUGAACAAAUUAUCCAAAAAACCACCGAUCCAGUAAUGAAGGCCAGGUUCCAGCACAUACAAGAAGCUAGGGUCUUUGGCUUCGAGGUCAAUCCAUACACGGACAUUGAUAUGGCCGAGCUUCCCUUUUCUCUUAAAUACCUUCAAUACUUAUGACACCACUUCGAAGUCUUCUCGGCCGUAUCUCUCUUCGGUCUUAUAGCCGAUGAAGAAGAUCGGGUAGCAUGUCUGGACGCCUACCUAGAUACAAGGGACAUUCGGAUCGCCUAUGAAGGACGAGCCCGUAAAGCACUGUAGGGGCAAAGUCAGACACCAUAAACGAACAGGCUCGAAGACGACAGUUAGAAGGAAGCAAGGACGGGUUGCAUAUCACAAGUGCAAGUACCUGUUGAGGCAUACGAUGAUCAGGCCGAGGAUGCUCUAACACACAAUGCUGCAAUCCUUGAUAACCUGGAAGACGACGACCAAGAUCCGAUGGGCCCUUUGGUUCUUAAGAACAUGGAAAUUAGCAUGGUUCAUGUUCUACCAGCUGAAUUCCAGCCAACUGCACACCAACCAAAUUUCUUGGAUGGUGAUGUGGUUGUCGAAGAAGCAACACAAGUAACACACCCCGAUCCAGAUAUUCCCCAAAUACCAGCAUAGGCACGUGCUAGCCGACACCCGAGGGUGAUGAAAGCCAUUUAUUAAGUGCAAAUGUUGAAAACAAGGGAUAGAUAAGACUUAGAAAUAUAAAAGAAUAAUGAAUAUGCAUUUAAGGAACGUGUUCAGAGCAUACAACUAACUUAAAUACUAAAAGAAAUAAUAUAAAAAAAAAUUGAAUGAACACCAAGAAGACUCGAAGAUGCCGCUGUGGAAGUGCCUUGACGCCGGGAUUGUAUGCCUUGAUUCUAAGUCCUGAAUGCGGGCGCAAAACAAAUGUGAGUGGACCAAGUUCAUAUAUACAGUAAUAAUAAAACAGUUAUUAAGAUACUAACCCCCACAGUUUAUAUACAGAAAAACUACUAGCAUAAUAAGUGAUACGUUUACUAAAAAACCCUAGCAUGCCAAAAACAUCUCAAAAGACAUAUCGCGGAAAAUCAAAAACAUCAAUCGUCUCGUAAUCGCAGUGUGCUGCCAGUAAGAUCACUGAAUAAAUAUAACUCUUGGCCCUAUGCCAGCAUCGUGGUCUCUGCGCCCGUAGCCAGAGAUUACCAACUCUCGGCCCAAUGCCUGCUUCGUGUCCCUCAGCCCGUAGCUAGGGAUUAUUUCUCCCAGCCUAUCUGCCAACACCAGAUCCUCGUCCCAAAAACCUUCUCGCUGCUGAAGGCCAGGAAUUUGAUCAAAUCAGGCGACCUUGUUAUUGCUGUCUCAGACGUCUUGCAGUGCAUCCAAGUUAUGAAUGUUCCUUGAAAACUGGAUUUCGAUUACCUUGGAAGCAUUUUCUCGAUCCUUCUAGCUUGUGUCAUCUAUCAAACUGCUAAGUUAAUUGCUUUUGGUUGAAAGAAAAAGGGGGAAAUCUGGAGGUGACUCAGCCUUCCCCUAAUGAUCUUCCCGGAGCAGGCCUCAAGAUCCAUCGUAAAGUUCAGAGGAGCUGCCUGGUAUUGUUCAUUAAUUACCUUGCGAAAUUAGUUUGCUUAAUUAGUUUUAGGGUUAUGACGAGAACCGUAUCGUUGAAAGGCAGAUAAAUAUCUUUAUGUUUUGGGAUUACAGAAAUAAUGAUCCUAUGUGUUUUGAUGUGUCUCUAAAAUUCGAUCAAGCGUGAUCAACAAUUAACCAUUUUCAAGUUACUGUUUAAUGUCACCCCACUGGUUUCUGAAAUUGAAUGUAUUUGGGUUACUCAUGUUGUUGAAGUGGAUGCAAUUCAUUUAGAUCGUUGUCAUUUUAUUUUUUCACGUAGCCACAUUGAUUGGAUUGCAUAUGUGCUUUUCAUCGAUGCAUUCGAGUUUGAAUCUCUUUUUAUAAUAAUCUCAAGUAGAAUAAUGUACAAAUAUAACUUCAUAAUAUCAUCAAGUAUGUAAGCUUGGGCAGUCAUUGCUGUAUUGGGCUUUGAGCGAAUAUUCCCUUUUUUCUCAAUUGCAUAUUGGUGUGAAAAUUCUAGAGAAAGAAAUGAGUACGGUGGCAUAUAUUCAAGCAA